AUGGCAUAUUAUAUGUGCAAUAAACCGUUAGAUUCGUGCUUGAGACAUCUUAUGGAGGUCAAGGAACAAAGUCCCGUAAUGCUUGAGUUCAGUUAGGUUUUCAUUUAAAUUUCCCUUUUUAGUAGAACUUUUCUAGAGGUAGCUUGGAAUUUAUUCUUUGAUUUCUUUUUCCCCUGGCUGCUCAGAGUCAUCUGUGACUGCAUUUUGUUUUAAUUUGUUGUUGGCACCUGUGUUCAAGUCUUAUAUUUUACACUUCCAUUGGCAUAUUUUUGGUGAAUCCCUUCUUCACCAGGCCAAAGUUCAGUUGUUGAGGAAAUAUUAAAUUCUCAACUAAAAUUUUUGUAAUAGCCCAAAGUUGACCGGGUUUAAAUAAAGAAAAAAUUAGAUAAAUAAAUAAACAUUUAUUAAAAAAGUCCAUUGAAAGUCCAGGCCUACUGUUGCUACCCAAAGCCCAAAUACAAAAACCCAUAUCCGGGUAUAACCCAAUAGCCGGAACAAUACCUAAUACCCUUAAGCUAAACCCAAACCCAAAUAAGGCCCGUUACACCCAGCAGUCCGUCAGACUCAUUAUCCCUGCUAGCCUAAGUCAGACCUAACCCAUUACAUUACAGACCUUGACCCAAAACAAAACAGCCCAAAAGGCCCAAUAGACUUAAGAGAAACAGGGAAACCCUAGGGUUUCCGAAUACUGUGGCGCCGCAAACAUUUCUGGAAGCUUCGGGGAGUGUCUGGCAACCCCCAAAUCGAGGCCACCGUUUAAUGAGUUGUCCCAAGGGGCUUCAAUGCUCAUCAACGCCCCGAUCCUCGGUCGUCCCUUGGUCUGGCCCCAAAUUACGUUAUGAAUGUCAUGACCAUCACCAAGGCUCCAUCAGCGCCGUGAUCAGUGCACGCGUCUACACCAGCAUGGUCACUGCCAGAUCCCUCGCUCGAUUGCCUGCAAGAAAAGGAAACAAACAGCAGAUACGCGAAAAAGCAGAGUAGAAAAUGGCAAGGAAAUCACAGCACAUCAGUCAAAGAUACAAGAAAUCAGAGAUUUCUUUCCUUAUGUAACAAAUCAGUAGGCUAUAAAAAAAGCCUUUGUAACCCUUGUAACGAUUACACAGAUACAGAAAUAAAGAAACGAAUACAAAUAGUUUCAAAGGUGAUAACUGAGUGACUUGUUCUCUAUUUUUUUUAGCCCAUAUAUAUGAACUGUUUAGCAAAAUACUAAGGGUAUUUGAAAAGAAGAAGAACUACCUGUUUUGGAUCUAAAGGAAUGAGGAUUUUUAAACCCUCCGAUCUUCGUAUACAGUGGCCCUUAGGGCGGCGCGUGGGCGCGUGGACCGGCACGUGGCGUACGAAGGCCAGAACCGGAGCUCCCUUCCUCUCUCUCUUUCAGAGAGAAUUUUUUAGUUUUUUUUUUAAAAAAUCGGGGUUCAAAUGAAUCUUAAGCUGAGAAGGUAGCUUAUAUAGCUUGAACGAAACGGCGUCGUUUUGCGACCCCCAGGAUCCGCGUGUUGACCCGAUUACCUGGGGAGGAUCCGCGCAUUUUUUAAAAUUGGGUUAAUUUCCCAAUCGGUCCUUCUACCCCUUUUGUGUUUACAAUUAAACUAUUUUAUUUAUGAUUUGGCCCUAUUAUUUUAUUUUAGUUUUAAUUUGACCCUGACAGUUGUUAAAUUAUAUUCUGAGAAACGUGGCCGUUUUAAGAAUAGGGCAUUUUGCCCAGUGAGUCCCUCUAAUUUUACGCGCGUUUUAAAUAGGGCCUCAAUUCAGUUUUGUUUCUUUGAAAUUCGCCCUGUAAUUUUGCUGAAUUUUAAAUUUAGUCCUAUAUUUAUUCUAUAUAUAUAUCUAUUUUAUAUAUUGAUAUUUAUUUUUAUCCUUAUUAUUUAUAUUAUAUACUAUAAGAUUAUUUUAUUAUACAUAUAUUAUUAUUCUUCAUAUUACCUAUUAUUUUUCAAAUUAUUUUACAUCAUUAUUUUUUAUAUUAUUAUAUUUUUACUUGUAUUAUAUGUUAAUUAUUUAUACAUAUAAACUUUCAUUAUUUUAUAUUAUAUCUAUUAUAUAUCUUAUUUCCUAUAUAUUUAAAUUAUAUUUUAUAACAUUUAUUUUAUUUUAUUUUUAUUCUAUAUUUUUUAUAUAUAUGUUAUGUGUAUCAUAUAUUAUCUAUUAUAUUAUUCAUUAAGAUUUGUAAAUUAAAUUACAUUUUAAACUCAUAUUAUAUAUAUUAAAUUAUUAAUUAUGUAUUAUUUUAUUUUAAAAUGAUGUUUUGUGAUAUGUAUUAUUUUAUAAAUCCUUUUACCUACUUUUAUUUUAUAUAUAUUUUUAUAUAAUUAUUAUUCUCUUAUAAAUAUUUUGUUAUUAUAUUUUAUAUAUUAUGUAGCAAAUACUAUUUUAAAAUUAUUAUUAAAAUUUAGGUCUUUAUUUGUGUUAUGUGUAUACUUUGUUGACAAUAAUUUAUUCCAUUGUUUUUAUAUUGCAUAUAUCAUGCGUUAUUUUAUAUUUAUUAUUUGAUAUUACAUUUCAUGAGCAUAUACAAUGAUAUUAUAUUACUCUUUUGUAUGCCAUACAUUAUUUAAUUAUUGCUUUCUUAUAUAUAACGUGCAUUAUUUAAUUAUCACUUUGUAUGUUUGUAUAUCUUGUUUAUUCAUUCUCAAUACAUGCUAUAUAUAUAUCUAUGUAUGCAUAUUGUUACUAUUUGCUUUAUAUGUAUUAUUUUAUAUGUAUAUAUCUAAUGCACGAUCUUUAUAUCAUAGUAUUCAUUUUUAAAUGCACGUAUUAUUUACCUACUACAAUAAUAUGUUACUAUGUAUGAUUUAUAAUGCAAUAUAAUUCCUCACACAUCACCAUUUUUUUAAAAAAAGAGCUCCAAGGUUUUCAAAAAAAUAUAAAGGCAAUGCUUGAUGUUUGGAAAUUUCGGGAAAGUAGUGCCCUAACUUAUCGGUUUGCGACUCUUCUCGUUGAGUUCGAAUAAUCAAAUACCCUUUUAAGUUUUUAAAGGUUUUCAAAAUGUAAGUGACUGUCUUGGAAUUUCAAAGAAAUAUGACCAAACUUACUGGAUGUGGCGUUUUGUUGUUUCAAGAUAGGGAUUUUCGAAAGGCUAACUCAAUGUCAAUAUUUUACGAGUGAGUUCCAAUUUUCAAAAUCCAAAAUAUUUCAAAGAGGAUUGCGUCUUAAAAUUUCUAAUUUCCGACCUUAAAGACAUUUGAUAAUCAAUUUGGUACCAAUUUUUGGGCGUUACGAGGGUGCUAACCCUUCCUCGUACGUAACCGACUCCCGAACUCGUUCUUUUGAUUUCGUAGACCAAAACCGAUGAUUUUAAAAUAAAAUUGAUCUAAAGGUGAUCCAAUCACACCUAAAAAGCUUGGUGGCGACUCCCGUUUUCAUUUUUUUAAAGUCGAUUCCCAUUUUCUAAAACUCGAUUUGAAAAUGAUUUCGACAGCUUGGCGACUCCACUGCGGACUAAUAAGAGAGUCAAGCCGUGUAAUUGAUUAUCUCUUGUCUUAAUGUCGGAAAUUAAAAAUUUUAAAAUUUAAUUUUCUUUGCAUUACAUGUGUUUGUGUUAUUGCAUGUGUUGCUAUAUUCUAAUACGCAUUGCAUUUGCAUGACCGUUGUGGUCACACCCUUAAGUGGGAGUGAGAAGCUACGCCUUCGUGAGGUUUUCGCCUCCGUGCAGGAUAGUGGAUCACUUUUGGGAUACAUCCGUACCUAUGGUUUCGUGAGAUUUUCAUCUCCGUGUAGCCAUAGGGAAAUGUGUCCCCCUGAACUGAACUCGAUUCAAAUGAGCCUAUAAUGGGUGAGGAUCGAGGAAUCUGCUGGUUCAGGUACCUCAACUUUAGAACUAAACCACAUAUAGAAGGACCGUAAGAGCUCAACCUAGAUAGAAUUAUACCGUAAUUAUUACCCUUACAGGUUAUCUUUGAGUUUAUUGUUAUCAUGUGAUACUAACUAUCUCUUUUCUUUUGUUGCAUAUCAUUUCGCAUUUAAAAGGUAUCAAUUCGCGGUCAGUGUCUAAAUUAGAGAGUUUUAUUAUAGAGAACGGACUUCUUGAUAGAGUGGAGAGCAAUGCCAACGUCCAUAGAUGGUCUGAGCAAACUCAGUUAGAAAAGGGAGAUAGUAUAGCUGUGGGAUAUAUGUCGGAGCUGUCAGGAUAUACUCGCAUCAGUGUCACGCAGGAUAAUCUCCAAGAACUUAAGGAGAUUUGGGAUCAAUGGGGCAACGAGACUAAACAGUUAUUCUAUGGUAAUUACGUAGAUUUACCUUACUUGCUCGAUGUUCAAAUAGAUGAGCACUUGUUCCGAGCCCUCGCUCAGUUUUGGAAUCCAGCGUAUAGUUGCUUUACUUUUGGGGAGGUAGACUUGGUGCCUACCGUAGAGGAGUACACUGCCUUGUUACGUUGUCCCAGGUUCCAGGUUGAUAGAAUCUAUUCUCGAGCUGCUAAUGUCCCUACCUUUUGGAAGAAAUUGAUGACUAUUACAGGGAUGAGUGAGCAGUGGAUUACGACCAGAAUUAAAGAGAACGGUGAGUGCAAGUGCAUUUCAUGGGACGCUUUGAAGGGUCUGAUUUUGAUGCAUCCCGAUGAAACAAAGAGGGUAGAUGUUUUUGCCUUAAGUUUGUAUGGAUUGAUGGUGUUCCCUAGGGCUUUGGGAUAUGUGGAUGAGGCAACCACGGAUCUUUUCCAUAGACUCAGUAAGAGGGUCACUUCAGUCCCUGCAAUUUUGGCAGAGACAUUCAGGUCCUUAGGCACAUGUAGAAAAGCUGGUGCAGGCAGGUUUGUUGGUUGUGUACAAUUGCUUCUAGUUUGGUUCUAUAGUCAUUUUCAAUUGGUAGAUAAGGUCGUUUGUCGGGUUUUCUUCGAGGAUUACUCACCGCUGAAGGGCAUAGUCGCUUCAACUAGGAGAGUUGAUGUUCCAGAGGAGAAUUGGAUAGCACUACUUCAAAAUCUUCAGUCGAAAGAUGUUGAGUGGAGAGCUCCAUGGAUGAUUCCUGGUGAGAUUCUUUACCGUUGCGGCAGUUUCGAUUGGGUCCCUUUAUUGGGAAUUUGGGGUGCCAUUGGUUAUGCCCCCUUGCUCGUGUUAAGGCAAUUCGAUUUGAGGCAGUUCGUGCCAGCAACUCAUGGGCUAACUCAAAGUGAGUUCGCAUAUAGAGGAGCUGAUUACAAGAAAAGGGUCGGUGAGAUCUCUAGCGCUUGGAACAAGGCGUGCCGAUUGAAAGGAGUAGCUAUUGGCCCUGCUACGACUCCAGAAUAUGUUGAAUGGAGAGGUAGAAGGAUCAAUGAUAACAUUCCUGAGCCAAAUAUGGAAAGAGCUCGACCGAUGGAGGAAUAUCUGCAAGUGAUGCCCUCGGAGUUAGAAAUUAUGAAGCAAGAAUUUGAGAGGAAAAAUCUGGAGCUCGAGAAAAGGAUAGCAAAGCUUGAAGAAGAAAAAAUGUACUUGAGUUUAGAUAUUGAUGUCCAGAAGAUGGAGGUCGAAAAAAAAAGAAAGGAAGGAAAAGAGGAAGAUUGAAGAGGAUAGAGAUGACUUGAAGGAAUACUACAAAAAGGCACAGGUAUCCUUGAGAAGAGCGAAAAUAGGAGGGUCUUCAGAUCAAUUGCAGAAAGAGGUCCAAGAAGGAAAGGCAAGAGCUGAGUACUGGGAGAAGAAGUUUCAAGAGAUGCAAUCGCGAAAUUUGGCAUUAGAAGAAGAGAAUAAAGGGUUGAAGUCUAAAGUAACUGAGCUUGGAAGAUCCCUUCGAUGGCAUCGCAACCAUGAUUCUACGGUCGAGUUAAAAGAGCUAAAGAGUAAAGUUGAAGAUUUGGAAGCAGCAUUGCAGGAAAGUAAACUUCAGAUCGAGCAACUCGAGACACAAGGAGAUUAUCUAAAGGGAGAGCUUCAUCAGUCUAGAGGGCAGAUUAGAGAAAUGGAUCAUGUCAUGGAAGAAGCCAUAGCUCAGAUUCGAGAGGUUGCUGAAUAUGUGCGAGACUUGGUUGUACGAGCCGAGGUAUUGAGUAUGAUGUGUGGGUCGUCGUCAGACAUCGGAAAAGAGUUAGCCCUUUUAUUAGAUAAAGUUAAAACUUUGGGCAUUAGGGCGAAAGCAUACUUGUAAUCCAUUUAUAUGUAAAGAUAUUCUUUUUCUAAAUGAAGUUUUCUAAAUGAGAUUGAAUCGAGAUUGAUGCCUUUGUUGCAUUCAUACAUUUGCAUUACAUCAUAUCAUAUGCAUUCAAGGUUAUAGAAAGACCCUAAUUAGUUAAAGUUUCUUUAUAAAGGUAGAAAAGAAAAACUGGAAAUUACGCAUUCUUACGGCACUCGCACUAAAACUAAGAACAUGGAUCAAAGGUUUGAGCAGUUGCAAAAGGAUAUGCAAGACCAGUUGCAAGAGCAGUUGGCUAAAAUGCAGAAUGAGAUGAGGGAGCAAAUGAUGGAAGCUCAGAGGAAUAUAAUGGCCGAAAUGGCUCAGUUACUGAGGGCCACUGAUAAAGGAAAGGCUCCUAUGGCCAUCAUUGAAGAGGAAAAUGAGGGUCCUCUUCUAGGUUUUACACCGCCGCAUGUAUCAUUGCAAACCGAGGCACCUCCUAGAAGGCCAUCUACUACUGUGAGGCCUCAGCAUGGGCUAAUCGAUGCUGGUAUCCAUGUGAAUUUUUCGGUUGGUUCAGGGCUUAAUAUGGGUGACAAUCUUACUAAUCCUCUUGUUCCUGAUCUAGAUAUGGUGAAAAAGGAAUAUUUGAAGGCCGAAGCUGCAAGGUAAUUAGAUGAACGCUGUAGAUGGUUAGAAGAAAAGUUCAAGGCUUUGGAAGGCACUGGCAAUAAUCAUGGGGAUGAUGCCAAGGACUUAAGUCUAGUCCCAAACCUAGUGUUACCUCACAAAUUCAAAAUGCCAGAAUUUGAAAAAUACAAUGGUACUACUUGCCCAGAGGCCCACAUCACAAUGUUUUGUAGAAGGAUGACGGGGUAUGUAAACAAUGAUCAGCUGUUGAUCCAUUGUUUUCAAGAUAGUUUGAUAGGUGCGGCAGCCAGAUGGUACAAUCAGUUGACCGGGCUAGAAUAAGUUCAUGGAGGGAUCUUGCAUAAGCCUUCAUGCAACAGUAGAAUCAUGUAACAGACAUGACCCCUGACAGGAUUACCCUGUAAAACAUGGAGAAGAAGCCUAAUGAGAAUUUUAGGCAAUAUGCACAGAGGUGGAGAGAGGUAGCGAUAGAGGUUCAACCACCACUGUUGGAGAAGGAGACCACUAUGUUAUUCAUUAAUAUUUUGAAAGCCCUAUUUAUUACUCAUAUGAUUGGAAGCACUACUAAAAGUUUUGCGGACAUAGUUAUGGCAGGAGAGAUGAUAGAGAAUGCCAUAAGAGGGGGAAGAAUUGAAGGAGAGGGAGUCAAAAGAUCAGCCCUAAGAAGAAAAGACAAUGAGGUAAACAAUACAAGUGGUUUUAAUUCAAAAGCAGUCACAGUUAGCCAGCCCAAAGUAGCCACAGUUGGGCAACAAGUCUCUUAAAAGCAGGAAUCCAACACUAGGUAUGAGAGGAUGCAAUUUACACCUAUACCUGUGACGUAUAGGGAACUCUAUCAAAAUCUAUAUGAUGCGCAUGCUAUAGCCCCUUUCCAUUUAAAACCAUUACAGCCUCUGUAUCCUAAAUGGUAUGAUGCAAAUGCCAGAUGUGAGUAUCAUGCUGGAAUAUCGGGGCACUUAAUCGAGAAUUGUACUGGAUUCAAGAAAGCCGUAGAGAGGUUGAUCAAGAAUGGGGUUUUAAAAUUUGAGAGUACCUCAAAUACUGAGAAUCCUUUGCCAAACCAUGACAAUCAGGGAGUAAAUGCCAUUGGUGAAGCCGGUGAAAAAAGGGAAAAGGAAAAUGUUGAUGAGAUAAGGAUGCCUAUGAGGGUAAUCUGGAAGGAGAUGAUGAAGAAAGGUAUGUUGACCUUUAAAAAUACGAAAGAAAUAAUGUGGGAUUACGGUGAGUUUCGUGAAGAUUGCGAGGAAUUCAAGGCCUUGGUGCAAGGCUUCAUAGACAACAAAGAGCUACAGGUUUAUGAAGGUAGCUCUAGUGAAAAGCAAGUAUGUGUGUUGGAAAAUGAACAGCAAAGAACCAACAGACCAAGGAUCAUUAUCUCCUUGCCAGGGAAUAAUGAAAUAAGGACACCAUCAGCGCCCAAGGUUAUUAUCCAUACACCUACUCCUUUCCCUUACAAGGAUAGCAAGAAAGUACCAUGGAGUUAUGACUGUAGCGUGACGGUGCCGGGAGAAGGAAACAUAGCCAGCGCAUCUAAAGAUGUACAAGAGGAAGGUUCCCAUACGUGAAGUGGGAAGCGUUAUGAUAUGGGGGACGUCAGGGUGGAGCCCACAAAAUCUAAGAAUGCUGAAAUUGAGAAAAAGAGUGAAGUACCUGUUAACGAGCCGGUGAGAGAGGAGGAAGCUAAGGAAUUUCUAAAGUUUCUUAAGCAUAGUGAGUACAGUAUGGUCGAGUAGUUGCGUAAGCAACCAGCGCGUAUAUCGAUUUUAGCCUUACUGCUAAGCUCUGAAGUGCAUCGAGAAGCGUUGUUGAAGGUACUCAACGAGACAUAUGUCACUCAUGAUAUAUCUGUCAAUAAGUUGGACCGGUUGAUAAAUAACAUCAAUGCUGAUAAUUUCAUCUACUUCAAUGAUGAUCAAAUUCCACCUGGGGGCAUAGGGUUAACUAAGGCUUUGCACAUCACCACUCGUUGCAAAGGAUACACGUUUCCAAGUGUACUCGUUGAUAAUGGGUCCGCUUUGAACGUCCUUCCAUUAUCCACAUUCAACAGAUUACCUAUUGACAGUUCACACAUGAAGACAUGUCAUAAUGUGGUAAGAGCCUUUGACAGAACUGAAAGGAAAGUAAUGGGACGAAUUGAUAUCCCUCUGGAGAUUAGACCAAAUACGUAUGAAGUUGACUUCUUGGUAAUGGAUAUCAAGCCCUCCUAUAAUUGUUUGUUGGGGAGGCCAUGGAUACACUCGGCAGGAGCGGUGCCUUUUUUACUGCGCCAAAAAUUGAAGUUGGUGACAGAUGGACGCUUGAUAACCAUCAAUGCAGAGGAGGACAUCAUAGCAGUCGUCACUAGUAAACCUCCUUAUGUGGAGACAAAUGAGGAGGCUAUUGAGUGUUCUUUUCGUUCUUUAGAAAUUGUUAAUACUACCUUCAUUUCGGAGGGAAGCGAGGUGCUGGUUCCCAGGAUGUCUAGAGCAACAAGGAUGGCCCUACAAAUAAUGAUGGGGAAAGGAGCAUUGCCAGGAAAAGGACUAGGAAAAUAGUUGCAAUGAGGGAUUCAAGUCCCAAAAUUGAUGGAGAAGAAGGAUCGCUUUGGUUUGGGUUUUAAGCCAGACCAUAAACAAAAGAGACAAGAGAUGAAAAAGCGUCAAGUAAGAAGGAAGGCGCAUUUGAACGGAGGAGAAGUAGAGUGGGAACUGAUGACAUUCCCACCUAUAUCCAAAACCUUUAAGUCAGGAGGGUUGCUAGUAAAAGAGAGUCAUCAAAUCAAUAUUGUACAUAAUGAGUGGUUUGGACAGGAAAACCUUGAGGGUAUUCACCCUUACGAACCGGGGAGCUCUCUGAACAAUUGGACUGCGGAGGAUCUUCCUGUAGUCUUUAGAAAUUUUUCAGAGUAAUUCUCGAAACAUGUUUAUUACUCUAGGGCCUAGGAGUAGUAAGAUUACAUUUUGUGAAAAUAGGCCUAUGUUCAUAUAUUAUUAUUCAAAUAAAACAUAACUUUUACCAAUUUAAAAGAGUAUUGUCUCAUUUUUAUCAACCAAUAUUUCUUUAAAUUCUAACAAUUCUUAUUCUUUUAUUCAUAGCACAUAAACGAUCAUUCUCAAAUUCAUUCAUUCUUUAUAUAUUCUUUCAUACCCCUUACAGGUCUCUAGAUAUCAAUGAUAUGAGCGCUAAUACUGCCGUUCCUGAUUUCUCUUGUGAGCAAGACAUGUGUUUAGAGGAGCCUUAGGAUUUUGAAGAUGUUCAAGAUUGUGACGUAUCUCUCGAUCUAUUAAGAAUGGUAAAACAGGAGGAGAAACAAAUCAUGCCACAUGAAAAAGAGGCAAUAGAUAAUAUAGCCCUAGAGGAAGGGAAGGAGGUCAAAAUUGGAACACUGAUCGCUAAUGACACAAGGCGUAGCUUGAUUGAGUUGCUUCAGGAAUUCAAGGAUAUCUUUGCAUGGUCUUAUCAGGAUAUGCCCGGAUUGAGUACUGAUAUUGUAGUACAUCGUCUUCCGAUAAGACAAGAAUGUAGACCGGUCCAACAGAAGUUGCGAAGGAUGCGGCCAAACAUUGUCCUGAAAAUAAAAGAUGAGGUUAAGAAGCAGUUUGAUGCAGGAUUUCUGCAGGAAGUGAAGUACUCUGAAUGGGUAGCUAAUAUUGUACCUGUUCCUAAGAAAGACGGGAAGGUACGAAUGUGCGUUGAUUACAGAGAUCUAAACAAAGCAAGCCCAAAGGAUAAUUUUCCUCUACCACAUAUCGACACUUUAGUAGACAACACAGCGGGAUAUUCGUUGUUCUCCUUCAUGGACGGCUUCUCAGGAUACAAUCAGAUAAAGAUGCAUCCAGAUGAUAUGGAUAAAACUACUUUCAUAACAUUAUGGGGCACCUUUUGUUAUAAAGUAAUGCCGUUUGGGUUGAAGAACGCAGGGGCAACAUACCAACGAGCCAUGGUAAACUUGUUUCACGACAUGAUGCAUAAGGAUAUUGAGGUAUACGUUGAUGAUAUGAUCGCCAAGUCGCGAACAGAAAAAGAACACAUUGAGGUCUUGAGAGGAUUGUUCUUAAGAUUGAGAAAAUUUCAGUUGAAGCUCAAUCCAGCAAAGUGCACCUUUGAAGCCAGAUCGGGGAAGUUAUUAGGCUUCGUAGUCAGUAAAAAGGGAAUUGAAGUUGACUCAGACAAGGUCAGAGCCAUACGGGAGUUGCCUCCACCACGUACUCAAAAAGAAGUUCGAGGAUUCCUAGGAAGGUUGAAUUACAUUGCUCGGUUCAUUUUACAAUUGACCAAGAAAUGUGAUCCUAUCUUUCGUCUCCUCAGAAAGCACAAUCAAGGUGCUUGGGAUGAAGAAUGCCAGAAUGCUUUUGAGAAAAUCAAGCAGUAUUUGUUGAAUGCUCCAAUGUUAUCUCCGCCUAGUCUAGAUAAACCGUUAAUACUAUACUUGUCAGUGUUUAGCAAUUCUAUGGGAUGUGUGCUUGGUCAGCAUGACGAGUCAGGGAAAAAGGAAAAGGCAAUUUAUUAUCUCAGUAAGAAAUUUACUGAUUGUGAAAUGAGAUAUUCACUAAUCGAAAAGUUGUGCUGUGCGUUGAUUUGGACCACACGGAGAUUAAGACAAUACAUGCUAUACCAUACAACUUGGCUCAUCUCAAAAUUAGAUCCAUUAAAAUACAUGAUGGAAUCAACGGCUCUAAAUGGAAGAAUGGCGAGAUGGCAAAUUUUGCUUUCAGAGUUUGAUAUAGUUUAUGUAAGUCAGAAGGCUAUCAAAGGAAGUGCGGUGGCAGACUUCUUGGCCAGUAGAGCUUUAGAGGAUUACGAGCCAUUGAAUUUUGAUUUUCCAAAUGAGGAGCUAAUGUGUAUAGCAGCAACUGAAGAUUCUCCAUGGAAGCUAAAUUUUGAUGGGGCUUCUAAUGCAGUCAGAAAUGGAAUUGGGGCAGUCUUGGUAUCCCCGAAUGGCGACCAUUACCUGUUCAUGUGCAAGUUGGAUUUUGACUGUACAAAUAAUAUGGCUGAAUACGAAGCAUGCAUCAUGGGGCUCCAAGCGGCCAUAGAAAGAGGCAUAAAAACCCUAGAAGUAUAUGGAGAUUCUGCGUUAGUAAUCUAUCAGUUAAGAGGUGAAUGGGAGACAAGAGACCCUAAGUUGAUCAAUUAUCGAAUGGUAGUUUUAGGGUUACUAAGAGAGUUCGAUGACAUCACCUUCAACUAUCUCCCACGAGAUGAGAAUCAGAUGGCAGAUGCUUUAGCAACCUUGGCUUCACUGAUUAAGGCAAACAAAGAGGAAGAGAUGAGACCAAUUCAAAUGAGUGUCUAUGAAUUUUCAGCUAGCUGUUGUAACCUUGAAGAGGAAGAAAAGGAUGACAAUCCUUAGUAUCAGGAUAUAUUGCGAUAUGUAAGAGAUCGUAAAUAUCCAGCACAGGCAUCCGAAAAUGACAAACGAACCCUGAGAAGAUUAGCUUGUGACUAUGUUUUGGACGGGGAUGUUCUGUAUAAGAGAAGGAAAUACCAAGUACUUUUGAGAUGUGUCAAUGCUGUGGAAGCCAAGCUAAUUCUAGAAGAGGUCCAUGAAGGUGCAUGUGGUACGCAUGCAAAUGGGUUCACGAUGGCAAGACAAAUCAUGAGGUUUGGCUAUUACUGGGCCACUAUGGAAGGAGACUGUAUCAAUUAUGCCAAAAAAUGCCAUAAGUGUCAGAUUUAUGGGGACAAAAUUCAUGUACCACCCUCACCUUUACAUGUCAUGACGUCUCCAUGGCCAUUUUCCAUGUAGGGCAUGGAUAUCAUCAGACCAAUAUCGCCGAAAGCUUCGAAUGGACAUCGGUUUAUUUUCGUAGUUAUUGACUACUUUACAAAAUGGGUAGAGGUUGCUUCUUACGCAAAUGUUACUAAGUCAGCUAUAAGUCGAUUUUUGAAGAAGGAAAUCAUUUGUCGGUAUGGAGUGCCUGAGAGGAUCAUAUCCGACAAUGUAUUGAAUUUGAACAACAAAACGAUAGCAGAGGUUUCGACCAGUUCAAAAUCAAGCAUCACAACUCUUCACCCUAUCGUCCAAAGAUGAAUGGGGCAGUGGAGGCUGCCAAUAAAAACAUUAAGAAAAUAGUGGGAAAGAUGACUGAGACUUAUAGAGAUUGGCAUGAAAAGCUACCGUUUUCACUCUUGGCUUAUCGAACAUCUGUUAGAACUUCUACUGGGGCAACUCCGUUCUCGUUAGUUUACUGGAUGGAAGCAGUUUUACCUAUUGAAGUGGAAAUACCCUCUCUCCGAAUUUUAACAGAGAUAAGGUUAGAUGAAGCUGAAUGGGUUCAGUCUCGAUAUGACCAGCUAAACUUGAUUGAGGAAAAGAGGCUGAAGGCUAUCCAACAUAGUCAGAUGUACCAGAAGCGUAUGAUACGAGCUUAUGAUAAAAAAGUUCGUCCAAGGGAAUUCCAUGAGGGGGACCUUGUGCUAAAGAAAAUCAUUCCCAUUCAAAAGGACUUUAGAGGAAAGUGGAUGCCAAAUUGGGAGGGGCCAUACGUCGUGAAGAAGGCUUUUUCUGGUGGUGCAUUGAUUUUGACAGAAAUGGAUGGAAAAAGCCUACCCAAUCCGGUGAACUCAGACUCAGUUAAAAAUACUUUGUCUAAAAGCGAAAAGAAUCCAAGGUGAAAACCUGCAAAAGGGCGCCUUGAAUUUUGAAAAAAAAAUGGAUAGGCCAAUGUGAAAACCCACAAAGGGCACCUUGUGACUAAAGGGAUUUUGAGUUGAAAACCUGAAAGGGCAGCUCAAAUUUUGAAGGGCAUACAGCAAACUUGCUAUAUUUGACUUGACAGAGAGUGAGGCACAGUGUACAUUGGGGCAUCAACAAAGUACUUUGGAUCUUUUAAACACAUGUCGAACUCAAGAAAGGCUUCGGGGAACUAAUGUAUAGAUGCUCAAGCGGCGAUAUUUAUCCUGUUUGCUGUCUUUAGAUUCUAUUUCUUCUUAAAGAUAUGCUAUCAAACUUAUUUCCUUUGUACUGUUAACAAUUCGAAUCCAAUUAUUCUCAAAGAUUUACUCAUCUCCCGAUAUUUUUUAAGUAUGUUGCAUUGAAAUAAUGAUAGAUGAGCUAAAAUAUUUUCACAAAAGAAGUUUUACACAUCACUUUGGAAUUUCUAGAUAAUACAAGAAACUAAAACAGGACAAUUGUUCGAGAAAUUCACGUAAGUAAGGAAUGAAGGAACUCGAGAGAUUUCUUUCUUCCAGUUCAAAAAGAAAUGGAUGAUUCAAUUCUUACAGACAUCCUCAAUAGAUCAUAGCAUUGGAGGAAGGCCUACAAGCUGAGUAAGAAUAAAGUUUUGAGAAAGAGAAAUGAAGGAAUGAAUAAUGACACCUGAGAUAGGGGUUAUAUUCACAGCACUUUGCAUCAUAACAUGUUAAGGGCAUUUGACUCAUUUCAAUCAUAGCAUACUUAGGCAUAGGCACAUACUCAUCCUACAGGUCAUGAAGAUCAAAGAUUUCAACAUGGUAGCCUAUGCUUAUAGGAAAUAAAUUGAAGACAACAGAUCUAAACUUCAGACAUUUAUGUUGAAGCAGAUCCAAGAUGAUUUGGUAUUCUUGUGUUUACAAGAAACAAGUCGAGGACAUAGCAGAUUUGACUCUCAGACGUUCUCAAAGAUAGCAGAUCUAACCUUCAGAUGUUUAUACUGAAGCAGAUCCAAGAUGAUUUGGUAUUUUUGUGUUUACAAGAAACAAAUCGAGGACAUGGCAGAUUUGACUCUCAGAUGUUCUCAAAUAUAGCAGAUCUAACCUUCAGAUGUUUAUACUGAAGCAGAUCCAAGAUGAUUUGGUAUUCUUAUGUUUACAAGAAACAAAUCGAGGACAUAGCAGAUUUGACUCUCAGGCGUUCUCAAAUAUAGCAGAUCUAACUUUCAGAUGUUUAUACUGAAGCAGAUCCAAGAUGAUUUGGUAUUUUUGUGUUUACAAGAAACAAAUCGAGGACAUAGCAGAUUUGACUCUCAGACGUUCUCAAAUAUAGCAGAUCUAACCUUCAGAUGUUUAUACUGAAGCAGAUCCAAGAUGAUUUGGUAUUCUUGUGUUUACAAGGAACAAAUCGAGGACAUUGCAGAUAUGACUCUCAAAUGUUCUGAAACAGACUCAAGAUGAUUAGACAUCCUUGCAAAUUGAAGAAGUAGAAUCAGUGUCUCUAUGUUCGGCGGAAAGCAGAUUGAAGAUCAUAGAAUCGAUCAAAUUUGGGUCUUUCUAUGAAUCUUUGCUUGAUUCCUGUUACACAGCAAUAAACAAAGAGGGGCAGCUGUAAUAGCCCAAAUUUGACCGGGUUUAAAUAAAGAAAAAAUUAGAUAAAUAAAUAAACAUUUAUUAAAAAAGUCCAUUGAAAGUCCAGGCCUACUGUUGCUACCCAAAGCCCAAAUACAAAAACCCAUAUCCGGGUAUAACCCAAUAGCCAGAACAAUACCUAAUACCCCUAAGCUAAACCCAAACCCAAAUAAGACCCGUUACACCCAGCAGCCCGUCAGACUCAUUAUCCCUGCUAGCCUAAGUCAGACCUAACCCAUUACAUUAUAGACCUUGACCCAAAACAAAACAGCCCAAAAGGCCCAACAGACUUUAGAGAAACAGGGAAACCUUAGGGUUCUUGAAUACUGUGGUGCCGCAAACAUUUCUGGAAGCUUCGGGGAGUGUCUGGCAACCCCCAAAUUGAGGCCACCGUUUAAUGAGUUGUCCCAAGGGGCUUCAAUGCUCAUCAACGCCCCGAUCAUCGGUCGUCCCUUGGUCUGGCCCCAAAUUACGUCAUGAAUGUCAUGACCAUCACCAAGGCUCCAUCAGCGCCGUGAUCAGUGUACGCGUCUACACCAGCAUGGUCACUACUGGAUCCCUCGCUCGAUUGCCUGCAAGAAAAGGAAACAAACAGCAGAUACGCAAAAAAGCAGAGUAGAAAAUGGCAAGGAAAUCACAGCAGAUCAGUCAGAGAUACAAGAAAUCAGAGAUUUCUUUCCUUAUGUAACAAAUCAGUAGGCUAUAAAAAAAGCCUUUGUAACCCUUGUAACGAUUACACAGAUACAGAAAUAAAGAAACGAAUACAAACAGUUUCAAAGGUGAUAAUCGAGUGACUUGUUCUCUAUUUUUUUUAGCCCAUAUAUAUGAACUGUUUAGCAAAAUACUAAGGGUAUUUGAAAAGGAGAAGAACUACCUGUUUUGGAUCUGAAGAAACGAGGAUUUUUAAACCCUCCGAUCUUCGUAUACAGUGGCCCUUAGGGCGGCGCGUGGGCGCGUGGAUCGGCACGUGGCGUACGAAGGCCAGAACCGGAGCUCCCUUCCUCUCUCUCUUUCAGAGAGAAUUUUUUAGUUUUUUUUUAAAAAAUCGGGGUUCAAAUGAAUCUUAAGCUGAGAAGGUAGCUUAUAUAGCUUGAACGAAACGGCGUCGUUUUGUGACCCACAGGAUCCGCGUGUUGACCCGAUUACCCGGGGAAGAUCCGCGCAUUUUUUAAAAUUGGGUUAAUUUUCCAAUCGGUCCUUCUACCCUUUUUGUGUUUACAAUUAAACUUUAUUUUAUUUAUGAUUUGGCCCUAUUAUUUUAUUUUAGUUUUAAUUUGGCCCUGACAGUUGUUAAAUUAUAUUCUGAGAAAUGUGGCCGUUUUAAGAAUAGGGCAUUUUGCCCAGUGAGUCCCUCUAAUUUUACGCGCGUUUUAAAUAGGGCCUCAAUUCAGUUUUGUUUCUUUGAAAUUCGCCCUGUAAUUUUGCUGAAUUUUAAAUUUAGUCCUAUAUUUAUUCUAUAUAUAUAUAUUUUAUAUAUUGAUAUUUAUUUUUAUCCUUAUUAUUUAUAUUAUAUACUAUAAGAUUAUUUUAUUAUACAUAUAUUAUUAUUCUUCAUAUUACCUAUUAUUUUUCAAAUUAUUUUACAUCAUUAUUUUUUAUAUUAUUAUAUUUUUACUUGUAUUAUAUGUUAAUUAUUUAUACAUAUAAACUUUCAUUAUUUUAUAUUAUAUCUAUUAUAUAUCUUAUUUCCUAUAUAUUUAAAUUAUAUUUUAUAACAUUUAUUAUAUUUUAUUUUUAUUCUAUAUUUUAUAUAUAUAUAUGUUAUGUGUAUCAUAUAUUAUCUAUUAUAUUAUUCAUUAAGAUUUGUAAAUUAAAUUACAUUUUAAACUCAUAUUAUAUAUAUAUUAAAUUAUUAAUUAUGUAUUAUUUUAUUUUAAAAUGAUGUUUUAUGAUAUGUAUUAUUUUAUAAAUCCUUUUACCUACUUUUAUUUUAUAUAUAUUUUUUAUAUAAUUAUUAUUCUCUUAUAAAUAUUUUGUUAUUAUAUUUUAUAUAUUAUGUAGCAAAUACUAUUUUAAAAUUAUUAUUAAAAUUUAGGUCUUUAUUUGUGUUAUGUGUAUACUUUGUUGACAAUAAUUUAUUCCAUUAUUUUUAUAUUGCAUAUAUCAUGCGUUAUUUUAUAUUUAUUAUUUGAUAUUACAUUUCAUGAGCAUAUACAAUGAUAUUAUAUUACUCUUUUGUAUGCCAUACAUUAUUUAAUUAUUGCUUUCUUAUAUAUAUCGUGCAUUAUUUAAUUAUCACUUUGUAUAUUUGUAUAUCUUGUUUAUUCAUUCUCAAUAAUAUAUCUAUGUAUGCAUAUUGUUACUAUUUGCUUUAUAUGUAUUAUUUUAUAUGUAUAUAUCUAAUGCACGAUCUUUAUAUCAUAGUAUUCAUUUUUAAAUGCACGUAUUAUUUACCUACUACAAUAAUAUGUUACUAUGUAUGAUUUAUAAUGCAAUAUAAUUCCUCACACAUCAUCAUUUUUUAAAAAAAAGGGCUCCAAGGUUUUCAAAAAAAUAUAAAGGCAAUGCUUGAUGUUUGGAAAUUUCGGGAAAGUAGUGCCCUAACUUAUCGGGUUGCAACUCUUCUCGUUGAGUUCGAAUAAUCAAAUACCCUUUUAAGUUUUUAAAGGUUUUCAAAAUGUAAGUGACUGUCUUGGAAUUUCAAAGCAAUAUGUCCAAACUUACUGGAUAUGUCGUUUUGUUGUUUCAAGAUAGGGAUUUCCGAAAGGCUAACUCAAUGUCAAUAUUUUACGAGUGAGUUCCAAUUUUCAAAAUCCAAAAUAUUUCAAAGAGGAUUGCGUAUUAAAAUUUCUAAUUUCUGACCUUAAAGACAUUUGAUAAUCAAUUUGGUACCAAUUUUUGGGCGUUACGAGGGUGCUAACCCUUCCUCGUACGUAACCGACUCCCGAACUCGUUCUUUUGAUUUCGUAGACCAAAACCGAUGAUUUUAAAAUAAAAUUGUUCUAAAGGUGAUCCAAUCACACCUAAAAAGAUUGGUGGCGACUCCCGUUUUCAUUUUUUUAAAGUCGAUUCCCAUUUUCCAAAACUCGAUUUGAAAAUGAUUUCGACAUUUUUUAGGCCAAAUUUCUCUCUUCUCACCCUUUUCUCUCUCUUAUUUUCCUGGUAUUAUAGUUUAUCUUGUUGAAUUUUACAUUGUUUUGAUGUUGUCUAUGGAAAUGAUUUAAUAGUGAUUGCUGCAAGAGGAGGGAUGGAGACUUUGAGGCCUGCUUUACAGAGGUUAUACAUGACAAGGGCUUCUGCAUAUAGAGAUGCUCUUAAGAGUUUCAUAGAAGGAUAUCAAGAGGGUAUCCAGCAGAUCAUGGAGAAAGAGGAAGAUUUUUCUAAAGCACAGCAAGAAGGCAAUACUGAUACAACUUGACGGCUGAUAAGUGCAUAAUCGAAGAUGCAUGUGAGUACUUCUCCAGCAUACCUAUUGUAGAUACAAGUUUGGAGAUUUGGUGGAGCUAGGUUGGCAUGAAAUCACAAGAAUGAUACAUGUCCUGAGAAUUUUCUUGUAUUGAGAAAGUGACCUUUAGAAACUACAAGUAUAAUGGAAAUCUCCAUUGACAAUGGUGAUGCUCUUUCCUUCUGUCACAAUUUAAAUGAAAUGAGAAUGUGAAGUGUAACAUUAUAUUGUUUGUUAUAUGUAACAAAGUAUCGAUUAAAAUUAUUACUUAACUCAUAAAUUAACAUUUAAAUUAUAUCAUUAAUUCUAUUUUAGUGUCUAAAUUUUUUUAAUCACAAGCUAUUUAUUACUUUUAAUACUUUUUUUUUAUUGUAGAAUAAUUAAAUUAUUUGUUUCACUAAUGAUAUUUUAGCACAUUAAAUAUGUAUUGCAAUUUAAAAAUAAUAAGGUAAGUUUUAUAUUAUUUUUAUAAUAUUAUAUAUUAUGAUUUUUUAAUUCAUAUAAUAAUUAUUUUAUUAAGAAUGUUAUUAAAUUAUAUAAUAUUUUAUUAAAUUGUAUUUAAUAAUUAUUAUAUUAAAAAAUGAUUAAAUCAUUUAUUUUUAUUUUAUUAAAAUAUAGUUAACAAUAAUUUUAUUAAAAUUUAAUAAUAAUAACAAUAAUUAUCUAUCUAAAAAAAAUUAAAGCAUUUUCAAUGGUUGUUUUGGUUGCUUAUUACAAUGCUUUUUUUUUGUCUUGGCAGCCCUUUUUUUAUUCAUCUUGUGGAUGCUAUUAAAAUGUUUUAUUGAUCAGAGUGAUGAGGGGCGGAUCUGGGUAGAAUCACAUUUUAGGGAAAACUGAUGAUUUUAUUUCGUAAUCUUUUCAAUGUAAAUACCAGCUCCUACCAUACACUCAUUUGUUGUCUUAUUCAUGUACAGUUUCUCUUUUCUUCCCCUUUUUUUUUCGGUGGUUGAAUUAAAUAUGAGAACUAUGGGAAACUGAAUAGAAUAUUUAAGGAUAUCAAGUUAUUUCAUUAACGCAUUACUUUAACCUAGGGAUAGAUUGCAAAACCUCUGCACAUUCAAUCAUGUCCUUCUACAAUGGCGAUUUCUAGCGAAAAAAUAUUUUAGUAUUCCAAUCUUAUAGUGAAUGAUUUCUAGAGAAAAAUAUUGUAUUAUCUCAUUAACGAUUUCUAGAGAAAAAAAUAUUGUAGUAUUCCAAUCUUGAAAUUUAUUCGAGGAACAUUCCCAGAAACAUAUGAAUAUUAUGUUUAAAUGUGAAAUAUAAUUCUCAAGUUAUUUAUUACUUCUUAUAUUUUAUUUUUUAUUGUAGAAUUAUCAAAUUAUUUGUUUCACUAAUGAUAUCUUAGCAUAUUAUGUAGUGCAGUUUAAAAAUAAUAAAGUAGAUUAUAUAUUAUUUUUAUACUAUUAUAUAUUAUGAUUUUUUAAUUCAUAUAAUAAUAAUUAUAUUAAGAAUUUUAUUAAAUUAUAUUUAGUAAUAAUUAUGGUAAAAUAUGAUUAAAUUAUUUAUUAUUUUUAUUAAAUUAUUUUUAAUAAUAAUCUUAUUAAAAUUUAAUAAUAAUAACAAUAAUCAUCUACUUAAAAAAAAUUCAAUUAAGGGUAUUCUGGUCAUUUUAGUUUUUUCUUAUUCUAUUACAACAUCAUUCCAUUCAACCAAACACAAGAAUUCUAUUACAGUUCUAUUCUAUUCCAUCUAACCAAACAGUUGAAUUACUUAUUACAGUUCUAUUCCAUUACAGCUCUAUUUCAUUACAGCUCUAUUCAAUUACAGCUCUAUUCCAUUACAGUGAACCAAACGAACCCUUAGCUUUUUGAGUCAAGACUGCGACAAAGAAAAUGUUUUUCCAUUCGAAUACAAAAGGUAGGAUUAAAGAACUUUUGGUUUUUGGCUUUUAUAUUUGGAAGUGAAAAAAAUAUCAAAAUAUCCUUAUUUAUAUUAGCUAUUUAUAUUUUAAAAGGUAUAUAAAAAAUUAUUUGAAUAUCAUUUACAUUUUAUAUAUUAUUAUAUUAAAUAUUUUGAAUAUUAUUUAUUAUUAUUUUAAAUUGUUAAAAUAUUUUUAUAACUUGUACAAAUAAUUUGUAUUUCAUGUAUCAUAAUAUUAAUUAUUUAAAUAUAUAUCAUAUAAUUUAACUAAUUUUUCACUUUUGACUAUCAUAUUUAAAAAGAAUAUUUAAUCCAUCAAACCUAAUUUUUUUGUAGUAAUAGAGAACACUAAAAAUUAACAAAUUACACUUUUUCAUAGUACUUUUCUACCAAACUUUUCAAAACUAUUUUGGUUUUAUUUCCCAUUGCUUUUUAAAAGUAUCUUUUAUGACCAUAAAUAAUACUAAACAAAUAAAUUCUAAAAGUAUUUUUGAAAAACACUUUUUAACCACAAUAAUGAAUAGAAAACUAACCCUAAGUUGAUGAAAGGGUAACAUAACAACCUAUAACCAAGCCCAAAUGAGAACCUUCGGCUGAAGAACUCACCUUAAAGUAAUGGGACUGUGAUAAUUACCUUUAUUUUUUCGAUAAUUGAUAUGUAUCUUAAUGUACCCUUACUUAACACACUUUAACCAACUAAACGGUAAGUUGGGUUUGCAAGCAAAUGAUUAGCCCUUGGCAACGUGAGCCCAAACUUUUCAGUCAUAUCAAGUUCAUCAGGUAACAUCCCAUCAGGCAACUCCCAAUCAAAGCAAUGAACUAAUUGAGCUAUAAUUAGACUCAUGGUGGUCAACCCCAACUGCAUUCCAGGACAUCCUCUACGGCCACUCCCAAACGGGAUGAGUUGGAAAUCAUGUCCUCGAACGUCUAUGUUGCUAUCCUUGAACCUUUCUGGAAAGAACUCUUCAGCAUUGUUUGACCAUACUUUAUGGUCUCGCCCGAUGGACCAAACAUUCACUAAAAUCCGCGACUUCUUUGGAAUGAAAUAUCCAUCAAUGGUGAUAUCUUCUGUCGACUCACGUGGAACUAGUAAGGGCGCCACUGGAUGCAACCUUAAACUCUCUUUCAUGACCAUAUCUAAGUAAGCAAGCUUCGGUAGGUCCGACUCUUCUACCAUUCUAUGCCUUCCAACAGUUCUUUCCAGUUCUUGUUGGAGAGCAGCCAUGACUGAAGGGUGCCUUAGAAGCUCUGCAAGUGUCCACUCAAUGGCUGUAGUUGUGGUCUCAAAUGAAGCUGCCACCAUGUCCACCAUUAUGGCCUUGAUGUUUUCUCUACCAAUGAUGUACCGCUGCUCUUCAUCGUUAGGGUUAAUGGGCGUAUUCAACAAUGAAACCAUUACAUGAAAGAAAUCUGUGUAAGGUUUUUGUUCCUUGGCGUUAGUCCCUUGUAAAUGUUCAUCAAUCAUUUUGUCAAAAAUUGCGUGAAGCCCAUUGCUUGUCCUCUUAAGCCUUCUUCUAUAUCCCUGCAGUGAAACGAUAGAUGGAAUCUGUAAUAUAUUAUUUUAUUCUUCAUUACUGUCAAGUCUUUGUGAAAAUGCUAGAUUUAUUUGGUCAAUCAAAUAUUUUAAUUUUUUUUAAUUCCAACCAGAUAAUUUCUUAAGUAAGGUAACGAUAUUACCAACAUGUCACAAUUUGAGGUUGAACAAGUAUUUUAAUCUUUUAAAAACCUAUAAAAUCAAAUUAUUCAAACAUAAUUAAACUCUUAAAACACUUCUUUAUAACUAGUCUAAACUGAUUGAUUGAACCAGCAGUUGAAUAGGUUUUUUUUUUUUAUAAUUUUUAAACAAUUUAUUUAAUCGAAAUGAUUUUAAUUUGAAAAAUCAUAAGAACUGAUGUGAUGCAAAACAACUAAAAGCAUAAAAUUUGAAUUUUUUAUUUUAGAAAAAAGAAAGGGGUUGGAGUAGACUUGAUCAUGGAUCGAGUUAUUUAUCUAGGCUCGAAGGUUCGUCCGAAAUUUAGGAGGGUUUAGGCAAAAUAUUAAGUUCGAAAAAUGAGCUUGGAAAAAAAUUAGGCUCGUUUAAAAUAUGGGUUGAGUUCUAGCUUUGAACAUUCAAGGCUUGAGCCCGGUCCAACCCGUUUAUACUUUAUAUUAUGUAAGUUAGAACACAUUAAAAAAAAACCUGUAGUAAAUAUAUAAUACUACUCUAAUGUAAAUAUUAAAAUAAUAUUAAUAUGAUUAUAUAACAAAUUUCAAUAAAUAAAAAUAUAUAAAAUUAUUAAAUAUUAAAAUAAUAUAAUAUAAAUAUUUUUAAAUAAAUUAAAAUAAUAUGGAUGAGCCUAAAAUGUGCUUGGGUUAAUUUUUUUUAUAAAUUUGAGCGGGUUUGAAUAAAAUUUUAGGCUCAUAUUUUGGAUCAGACCGAACUUGGACAAAUAUAAAAUAUAUUAUUAUCAUACUUAAAGACCGACUCAUAAACACCUCUAGGUUGAAUAUUUUUGAAGCUUGAAGCUGGAUGGAGUAAUAUAUUAAAUAUUUAUUAAAUUUAUAAUUAUUUUAUUUAAAAUGUAUUAAAUGGAUAAUAUACUUAAUAUAUCUAUGCAACUGAAUUUUAUGUCACUCCCAAUUUGUAAGCCAUAACUAGGUAGUUCUUUUAAUUAUCUAAUUAUAAAAAUAAUUUUUUAUAAAUAUUAUUUACUCUCUUAAUAACCUUUCACUUUUUAAAUAUAAUAUUAUUUUAUUAAAAUAUUAUGAAAGUUAUUAUUUAUCAAAAUAUAUAAUAAGGAUCUCAACUUAUAAAAAGAGUUAUUCCAUGGAUAUGUCCUAACACAUUAUUUAUAGUUCCUAAUCAAUUAUAUAAAAUUUAACUUACAAAUUGGUACUUAAAUUAUACUGAUUUUUUUUAUCUUGGGACUUAAACUUUUUUUAGUCACAUGUGAUACCUAAACAUCAUUUUUUUUUUCAAGUUAGUACCUUUAUUAAGUAAAUCGUUAGUCAAACCGUUAAAUCUAUUUAAGAAAGAAGCUUAACCUAUAAAUUGAUACUUAAGCUAUACAUUUUUUUCAGUUUGACACCUAAACAUUUUUCUAGUUACAAGUGAUACCUAAACUACCAGGGUGAAGCCAGAAAUGAAAUUUUAAAUUUUAAUAGUCUAUAUUUUUAUAAUUUUUAAAUGAUUAAAUUAAAUUUUUAUAUAUUUAAGAGGGCUAAAGUGUAAUUUUACCUUUACUAAAUUAAAAUUUUAAAAAUUUCUAAAAGACUUAAAUAAUAAUUUUCCAUUUUAGAGGUGUUGGCCCCAGCUAUUGUCUUCAUGGUAGACUUUUUUUUUUUAAUUUAGAAGGGUGUGGCUUGAUACAUUGGGUAGUAUCUACUUAAAAAUAUAUAUAUUUCUUUUUUCUCUCAUCAUGUAUACUUGUGAAAAUAUGACUAUUUUAAAAAGAUAUACACUGAUUCCGCUAGACACGGCACCAAUAAUUUUUUUAAAGAAAAAACAUAAUUAUUGGUUUAUGAUUGGUUGAAAAAGUUGUGAUAUUGCCGAUAUGUCAUAUAACCCCGGUUUGCAAGGUAACAAACAAGUCAUUUUUAUAAAUAAAUUUUCUCAACCUAUUUUUGUAAUUAAUUAAAAUUUUAUAUUAUUUUUAUAAAAAAAUCUACAUCUUAUACAAUUUUCCUAAUUUAUUUAUUUUUAUAUUAUUUUGAUAAAAACCAAGAUGGAGCAAGUAAUAACAAGAUAAAUUGUGAAAAGGAAAAUCAUAUAAAAUAGGAUAAAAUGAGAAAAGGAAAAGGAUAUUUACCUGAAGGUCAAGUGGAGCAAGAAAAGGUAGAUAAUCUGAUAGAUUGAAAAUCCCAGCCAAGAGCAUGGUCUCGUCAACUAGCGGUUUAAAUUGGAAUUUAUCAUCCAUGGACUGCCCGAAAAUCACUUUACACAUCAUUACUUCCAUAACCUUACCUAACUUCCGGCUAAGGUCCACCGUCUCACCCGCCGUCACUGCCUUCCUCACCGAUUUAACCAAUGACACCACCUCUUCCUUCCUAACCGGGGCAAAACAUUCGAUUUUUGAGGCACUAAGGAAGUGCAAAGUGCACCAUUUCCGUACAGUUCGCCAAUAGGAACCGUAGGGGGCAAAAGCCAAGCCCUUGCCACUGUAGGUCAAGUACUCGGUAGAUUGGAGGUUAGGCCUGGAAGCAAAAACAAGGUCAUGGACCUUGAGGAACAGUUCAGCGGCUUCAGGUGAUGAUACCACAAUCGUCGGUACAUAGCCUAGCUUUAUUGACAUUAUGGGUCCAUAUUUUUUGCCAAGAUGGUGAAGGGUUUGGUGAGGAAGUUUCCCUAGCAUAUGGAGGUUACCAAUAAUGGGAAGAGGAGCAGGACCGGGUGGAGGUUUCUGGCCAUUUUUGUGGUGGUUUCGUGGGCGGAAGAAAUAGACAAAGGAACAAAGAGGUACAAGGAGUACCAAGAGAAUGGCUAACGUUGAAUAAUACAUUUGGGAUGGGAAAGGAGAGGCAGCCGAUUGACAAUUGACAAUUGACAACCCCACCUUAAAUAAGAAAGGAACAAAUAUGAGUUCCAUGUUGGCGGACAAGUAAUACUGUAAUUACAAAUAAAUAACCAAAUAUGAACCAUAUUUUUCUCAAUCAAAAGAAAAAAAACAUGAGCCACAAGUGGGGAAAGAAGUAAAGAGUAGAUUUUUACAUUAGAUUUAUUUCCAAUGAUGUCCAUGCCUUAACUUAUAUAUUUUUUGACACAAUGUAUAGAAGAUAAUGUGUUUCAGUGCGCUCAAACUCAUAUACUCUUGUAUUGACAACAAUACACAUACUAAUCUAUAGUUUCUUUCCAAUCCAUAAAUAAGAAGAUAAUGUGUUUCAGUGCACUCAACCUCAUAUACUCUUGUAUUGACAACAAUACACAUACUAAUCAAACUAAUACUCAAUCAACUAUGUUAACUUAUAUAUUGAUUGAGAUUGAUGUUUAAUCUAUUUAAAAAAAUAUCGAUUUGACAUUCAUAUGACAGCUUAAUAUUUAUAUUUAUGAUUUUUUUAUAACUAACCCAAAUAAAUUGAUUAUUUACGAAAUUGAUUUAGGUGCAAAAUCUUAUACAAAAAUGAUCUGUUUUUUUACAUUACAUGUUGAUGUCGGCCAUCCAUCACCCCUUAAUGAUUGCUCGAUCUAUAAAAAAUAAAUUUUUUGUGUGUUCACGGCACCGGUAUGUAUUUUUUUUUCAAAUACACUUAAAAAAUACAGACAUUCCAGGAUUUAAAAAAAAUAUUUUAAUAGGUGUGGACAUUCUCGUUGCUGACACCGGUUGAAAUUAAAAAAAUAAUUUUUUAUUUUUUUUAGUGUCAACAUUCUCUUUGCUAAUGUGGUUUUUGAAUUUUUUUUGCCAGCGUGCUUUGGUUGCCAGGAUAGGUUAAAAGAAGAGAGGAAGAGAAGAAGAUAAGGCAGCUUGAGCAAGAACAAUAUAGACAUGGAAAAUAUAACAAUUAAUGAUAACAAUAACCAAAUUAAUUAAUUGUAAAAUAAAUAAGAAGCUGUGGAGUUAUACCUCGUAUUUUUCAGUUUUUCUUCUCUAAAUUAAACUCUAUUUUUUAAUUUUUCACUUAAAACUCCGAUUAGUGUAUAUUAUUUUAAUAUUAUUUGACCUAUGAAUUUAGCUAUAAAUAUGUCCUUUUCCACUUUAAGAAAAUAAUCCAUUACACAUUUAGGUAUUAACUGUUACAAGCUUUCGGAAAAUUUUGUGUUUACAUUUUGAGAGUUCUUAUUUUGGGUUUCAGGAUUUAGUUUUAUCCCUAUCUUUUGUACUCUUCAUUUUUGCCAUUUUAGUGAAAUUAUCUUUACUCGUGAUUUUUUAUCUUCUUCGGAAGGAUUUUUUCACGUAAAAUAUUUGCAUUCAAUCUUUUCAAUUUCCUUGUUAUUUUAUUUGUUCGUUGCUUAAUCCGGUUUAUCUCCAACAAAAAGCCAACAUGAUCAAAUGAAAGGACAAAUAGUUAACAAAAAGAGAUAGUAAAAUAAUUAUUUGUUCGUUGCACUAUAAAAACAUGUCAUUUUGGUACAAAAUUUUACACUCGGGAUAUUUUCGUACAUAAACAAUUUAUUUAGGUCAAUUACUGAAAAACCCCUAUACUCAUCCUUGCUGAAGAAUUUUUUUAAAAUAAAUUUAUAUUAUCAACACUUCAAGAAAAGAAGUUUAAAAACAAAAAUUGUUGAAAAACCCCUAUACUCAUCCUUACUAUUGGAUUAAAAAUUGUUAGCAAUAUCAACACGAGAGACUCGGGUUGAGCUUGUUUAUUUAGAUUACUUGUGUGGCGUAUUUGGAAAAAUAGAAACCUCUUUAUUUUCUAAGAUAUUUCUAUGAAUUUGAAUGAUAUUAUUAGGAUUCUAUACAGCUGAGCUAAUCAAUUUAUCUCAAUAAGUAGAGCUAUGUCGAAAAUGGCAUCUAAAUCUUUGUGUGCGCUGUUAGUCCCAAGUAUGUGUUUUUAUCUCAAUACGGAUGGUGCUGUUCAAACAAACAUUGGGUUAUCUGCUGUAGGAGGUGUGAUUUGGGAUGAAAUUGGGAAGUGGACAUUAGGAUAUAAUAGGUUCUUGGGGAAGUGUUAUGUCUUUGUUAUCGAAUUGCGGGAAAUCUUUGAUAGUUUGCUCUUACUUUAUUUUAUGAAGACGAGUGAUUUAUGCGGUACACUCCUAUAGAGAAUAAUUAGAUAGCAGAUACAUUAAAUAAAAUGACUUUUGUAAAUGAAGAAGAGUUAUGUUUAUUUAACGUUCGUAUUUGAAGAUUCAAGAAACUUUAGAAGAUGAUAGAAUAAGGGGUAUUUUAACCCCGAGUACUCCUAUAUAAAUCUUUUGGUAUUUUUGUCUGUUUUCUACACAAAAAAAAAUGUUAGCGAUAUAAAUAUAUUUAUAAAAUUCACAUUUAUAAUACGUAAAAUAUGAAUAAAUAAUUAUCAUAAAUUUAAAUUUAUGUUUUUAGUAACACUCAAUUUAAAAUUACUUAUUGUUAAUUAAUUAAAAUAAUAGAAAAUAGAAAGCCCAAGAAAAAUGUGGACAAAUUUUAGUUGAUAACAAUUUCCCUCCUUGCUUUCACCAUCGGGAAAUAAUCAACUCUCACAGUCCGAUAAAGACUCCAACCGACCAAACCUAACCAAACCAAACCCAACCACAAAAGAAGUAAUUACUAUCUAAAAGUACAGCUCAGGUAAUAGUAGAUAUUAAAUCCUCAAGGACCACAUGAUUCAUGAACGGGAAGCCUCAAAUUAUCAUUUUAUUUUCGAUAUUUCGAAAAUAUUUUAUUGGUUUUUUUAUAAAAUUAACUCAAAAAUUUUAAUUAUUACAUAGAUGACUCAUUUUUUUAUUAAACAGGUAAAUAACCUAAAAUCUACAGUGAAAGUUGGUAGAGUCAAAAGAGUUUGACGCCACCAACAUGUCAUGUCAGUAAUCGAGAUAAAAAAUUAUUUUUUUAGUGGAGCCAUGUAGAAUGACGCUAUCUAAAUAAAUAUCAGAGAAAUACUACAAUUUUUUGAAAAAAAAUAAGGGUUUAAAAAAAAUUUAUUCUUCUGGUGGAGCCAAAUAAAUUGGCACCACCAAUUUCCAAAGCUAUUUGCGUCAUCCUUUUUGCAAUGUGAUUUUUUUAAAGUUUUUUAAAAUUUUAAAUAUAUUAAAAAAUAUUAAAUAUAAUCAAUUUUAAAAUUUUAAUACAUUUAAUAUAUUUUUAAAAAUAUAUUAAAAUUUUAAAUAUAUUAAAAUUUUAAUAUUCUUAAUAUAUAUUUUUAAUAGGUGAAGACAAAAAAAUAUUUUUUUAAUAUAUUUAAGAUUUUAAAAAAUUUUAAAAAAAUUAAAUAUAUUAAAAUUUUAAAUAUAUUAAAAAAUGUUAAGUAUAACCAAUUUUAAAAAUUUAAUAUAUUCAAUAUAUUUUUUAAUAGGUAAAAAAAGAUUUUUAAUAUAUUUAAAAUUUUAAAAAAUUAAAUAUAUUAAAAUUUUAAAUAUAUUAAAAAUAUGUGAAGUAUACCAAUUUUAAAAAUUUAAUAUAUUUAAUAUAUUUUUUAAUAGAUAAAGGUAAAAAAGAUUUUUUUAAUAUAUUUAAAAUUUCCAAAAAAUUUAAAGAAAAAAAACCUCAUUGCAAAAAGGGAUGACACAAACAGCUUUGGAAUAUAGUGGCGCCAAUUUAUUUGACUCCACCAUAAAAAAAAGGAAUUUUUUUAAACCCCCAUUUUUUUUAAAAAUUAUAGUGUUUCCCUAAUAUUUAUACAGGUAGCGUCAUACUACAUGGCUCUACAAAAAAAUAAUUUUUUUAUUUCGAUUGCUGACGUGGCAUAUUAGUGGCGCUAAACUCGUUGGCUCCAACUGUAGAUUUUAGGUCAUUUAUAUGUUUAAUAAAAAAAUGGGUCAUUUACAUAAUUAAUUAAAUUUUUUGGGUUAAUUUUAUAAAAAAAGUCUAUUUUAUUCAACAUUAAAAUAAUUUUAAUAAUUUGAUCACUAUUUCUAUGAUCCAACGAUUGAUAUGAUAUCAUAAGUUCAUUGUGAUUCUAGGAGUUUAAAUGACUACUUUUAUAUAUUUUUAGCUUUUUAUUAUGUUUUUUUAAUAAUUUUUAUAUUAUUUAUAAAUUUUUAUAAGUUUUUAUAAAAAUUCAAAUAUAUUUUAUUACUUUUAUAAUUUUAUAAUUUUUUUAUAAUAUUUAUAAGUUUUUUUAUGAUUUUUUUUAAUUAUUAUAAGUUUAUAUCAAUUUCAAUAUUUUUUAAAUUGUUAAUGAUAUUUUUCUUAUUUUUAAUGAUAUUUUUUAUAUUUUUAUAUGUUUUUAUAAAAUUUUAAAUAUUUUAAAUAUGUUUUAUUCAUUUUAUAUUUUUUUUAUAAUUUAUUAGAUUUUUUAAAUAUUUAAGUUAUUUUUAUAAUAUUUAUAAGUUUCUAUAAAUUUUAAUAUUUUUAAUAUUUAAUAAUUUAAUAAUUUUAAUGAUUUUUUAAUAAAUUUUUUAUGAUUUUUAAUAGUUUUUAUGAGAAAAUAUUAGAUUAAAUAAAAAAUUGUCACAUGUUAUUAUCUGAUUGAUCCGUCAUGUCACAUCUCAAAAAUUGAGUUAGUAGAAAUUUGGUUAAUGAACUGAGUGUGGUCACGCCCAAUUUUUUUUUAGAUAACCUUAGUACAUUUGUCAAUAUAUAAGUAUCAAGCAUAGUGAUUGAAUAGUGGUGGAGGUGUCAUUGAUGAUCUGAGUUUGAAUCCCUUCUCUCUCAUUAAUUUCCAUUUGGUGUAAUUUUGCUUUAAACCUUAGUAAAAGUCACACCAUAUUUUUAAAACAAUUGUUGUAGGAAUGUGAAUAAGGAAAUAAGUUGAUUUAGUGGUUCGGAGCUUAAAUAAAUUCCUAAAUGUCGUAGGUUUAAGUAUUCACACUCUCAAAUUUCUCCUUAUUUGAUCCUUUUUUGUUUUUUUAUCUCAUUAACAUGCCUAUUUUCUUCACCUUUACCUUGUGUGAUGUACAUUGAACUUGGACAAGGUGAAUUACACAUUUUGUUUUUCAUCUUUUAUUUUUUCUCUCCAUAUUGGAGCCCCUCUCUUUUGUUCCUUCCCUCUCUUCAUUUUUUCUUUUGUUUUAGCCACCAACCACCACCUUUACUUUUUUUCUUCUCCUCUCCUUCACCACCCUUUGCCAACGAAACCCUACUAUCACCACCACCACCACUAGACCUCCUUUUUGUCACUACUCCACCUAUUCAUUUUGCUCCAACGUCACCCCUUGCACCACCACCUUGCAUCAUCGGGGAUAAAACCUUCUUUUUCUCUCAUUUUCUCUAUUUUCCCUUUUAAUUUUCUCCUUCUCCUCUCUAGUGUCGCAACACUCUUCUUUCCCUCCUCCCUAGUCGAGUUCUCGUCAGACUACUGUCGUCAUCAUUGUCGUUGCUGCGGCUCCACUGGCUUUGGUUAUUCUUUCUCUUUUCUUCAUCAUUUUUCGAUCUCCAUCACUCCUAUAGUAAUAAAAAAAUCCUAUAUCCCUAUUUUAAUUAGUUUACUUUUUUUAAAAUAUUAUACUUAAUGACUCACUUUUACAAGUGACUAUUUUUCUCUAGACUUGGUUUCCUCUCCGAUUCGAAACCCCAGUGAUCCAUCAACCCUUUCAAUCCAACCAAUAUAGAGUAAGUAUAGUGGUUGAAUGAAAACCACUAUUCCUUCCCUAAUUUUUACCUUAGGCCGAAUGUGUAUAAAAGAUCAUGGUGUAUUUUCCUUCAAGUAUUAACAUCGUGUUCUACAUUUGAUUAAUGGCCAAUCGAUACCAUCCCGAGAAACCCCUAACGUUGGCAACGAGAUCACAAUUUUCAAUUGAUUAAUUAUAAGAGUAACCUAUCGAUUAGAUCUAAGUGUGGGAGCUCUGAGAGUGGUGAUUGGCUUUGGAUCUACUAUCAUGUGUGGGUUUAAUCUAAAUAAAAUUAGAUAUACAUUAACUCUAGUAUUUAAAUAAAUAUUGUUAUUUGUAUUGUGUUUUAUAUAGAUACUUAAAGUAUUCCAAAAAAGGAGAUUAAACCCAUCGAUGUGUAUUAUACAAAUUAAGUGACCCCAACCAAUUAGUUUAUGAAAAGUAUGUUGUGUGGUUAUGAUUUUUACUGUUUGAAAAGUAUGUUAUUCUCAUUCUUAUGUUAUGUGAUAUAUUGACAUAAUUCAUUUUACAUGAAAAAUAAAUUGUGAUAUUUUGAGAUAUUGGAAUAAUACAUGAAUCACAUGUUAAACAUGCCCUACAUGAUAUUAUGUGUUAAAGAAAUUAGAUUUGUAUGUUUCAACAUGCCCAAUGAGAUAAGUGAAAGCUUGAAACCAGAAAAAUAUGUAUAUAUAUGUUCAUUGUGGCCUUAUCACAUGCAUUGGGUAGAACAUUGCAAGGAGGAAUAAUUGGUGGCUUCGCCCAUAACCUAUAUGGCAACUUGUCUGCAAAAUUGGUGGUUUAUCCACAACCUACAUGAUAGCUUGUCUGUGAAUAUUGGUUGCUUCGUCCACAACCUACAUGAUAGCUUGUUUGUCAAUUUGGUGGUUUAUCCACAACCUACAUGGUAGUUUACUUACAAAUAUUGGUGGCUUCAACCACAUAUAUUGGAGUGAUUGGAUGGAUGAGUUCUUAGGAACUCUUUUUGGAGUGUAGCGGUGAUCGGGAGGAUGUUUUAUAAAAAUUUGAAUUAUUGUUUUAUAAAAAUUGUAUUGCCAUGAUCAUGUGCAUAAAAUUGAUUAUGUUGUAUGAUAAGUAUGUGCUUAUGGUUAUUCAACUUCUUAUAAGACUCACACUGGGCUUUAAAAGCUCACCCAUUUAGUUUCAUAAUCUUUCAGGUGAUUCAUGGACGUAGGGUUUGGAUUCAACAUUCGGAGGAGCUUAUCAGAUGGAACUUUAAUAAAUGGAUUAUAAACUAUUUGAGAUGUCAUUUUAGACUUUGGACAUAGAACUUUUUAUUAGGUUGUUCCUUUACUUUAUAACUCUAAAUUGCCAUGCAUGCAUGGUUAAUGGAUUUACAAGUAUUUUGAAUUAUUGAGUUUAUUUAAAUUAAUUAUAAUUUUUACUUGAUUUUAAAUAAACUUUGUGAUUUUUCUAAAUAUUUUUAAAAGUGUGUUGCGAAAGAUUUUUACCAAAAUCAAUUUUAAGAAAUAAUUAAAAAUAUUACAAAUUCUUAAAUUUAAUGAUUUAAGACGAGACUUCGAUAUAAAAAUGAUACUUUUCAAAUACUUGGUAUUUAAAUUUUGUUAAGUGUUUUUCAAAUACUAAAUUACUCGGUAUUUAUAUUUUAAAGUUUUCGUAAAAACAACUGAAACCUAAUUAUAUCUAACAAGAAAAUGUUUUCAACAGUUGUAAUGUGACUUCCGAGAUUCGGUCAUAACGUCUAGGCCAGGUUUGAGAUGUUGCACGUCAAUUUAUUUUAACUAUUAACGUGAUCAACCACUGAUUUCAUUAAUAGAGAGGCUUAAUUAAUUAUUUUUGUUAACAAUAAAAGCUCAAUUAGGUGUGAAUUUAAUACAAAGCUUACUUGAUUUUUCACAUUUUUGUAAUUUUUUCUUGGCAUAAAAACUUUAUUUAAGAGUAUAUGUAAUAAAAGCACCAUCUAUCCCAUCAAAAUGAACAAAAGUAAAAGAAGUCCAAUUCUAAAGCUUGAGCGUUGCAGUAUCCAACUUAAAAAAUGUUCUUUUUAAAAGAAAAAAUCUUCAAAAAAAAGCUUUUAGGCCAGUAUUUUUUGUUAAUUUUUUCGUCUUCUAAUAAAAUAUCUAGUCCAUUAUUAUCAACAAAAAGUAAUAAUUAAGCUUUUGUCGUUAGUUAAAAUAAUCAAUUAAACCCUUUCGUUAACAGAAUUUAUGGUUGACUACGUUGAUUGUAAAAAAUAAAUUGAUAAAUGAAUCAAAUGAUGACAUAUGAUAAUUUAUGAUUUAAUAUGAUAUUUUCUCAUAAAAUAAAAGAAAUUAUAAAAAAUUAUAAAAUUAUUAAAAUAUAUAAAAAAUAUAAUUAAAUUGAUAGAAAGUUAUAAAAAUUAUAAAAAAUAAUAAAUAUUAUAAAAAUCAAAUUAAUUCUAAUAAAUUGUAAAUUUUUUUAUAAAUUUAACAAAACAUAUUUAAAAUCUUAUAAAAGCGUAUAAAAAUUCUUUAAAAUCUUAUAAAAAGUUCAAUAAAAAAUAUUAAAAUUGAUAUGAACUUAUAAAAAUAAUCAUAAAACUUGAAUUGAAUCAAAUUAGUAGAUUGGACUGGUUAAACAAAAUUGACAAAGGUACUAGUCCAGAGAAAGCCAUUACACCAAUUGACUUGAAAACUUGAUGUUUGAAUCGUUUUUACUUUUUUAAUAUUUUUUUAUUUUUUAAUGUUUUAUUUAAUUGAAAUGGACGGACUGAUUGAACUAGUCAAACCGAAAAACAAGUGGACUAACUAGUUCGUCUAGUAGUCUUGCUCUGAAAACUUUGGUUAGAGUAUUCAUACUAAUGGCCCCUUUGGAUGGGUGUUUACCUCCAGUGCAGUGCAUUUAGCUUUCUUUUUGUGUCACGCUAUAGUAUCACUACAAUAUCUAAUCUCAUCGCGACCGUUGUUUUUACACUAACUAUAACACCUCUAACCCGUAUUUGUCACUGGAACGAGAUUACGAAGCAUUACCGAAAUUUACAGAUCAAUUAAACAGAUAUUUCACCUCAUACAAUAUUCAUAUCAGAAAUCAAUUAAUAAGUCCCUUAUAUGAACCCUCGAGGUCCAAAAUAUACAUUAGAAACAAGUCGAGACUAAACUGAGUACUCGGAGAAUUUUUUGCAAAAUUUCAAAAUUUUUCCAAGGUGCAGGGAACACACGCCCGUAUGGUCAGGCCGUGUGGCUCACACGGCCAAUAAACACGCCUGUGUGGUCAAGCCAUGUGGCUUACACGGCCAAUAAACACGCCUGUGUUUCAGGUCGUGUGAGCAUUUAAAAUAGGGCACACAGCAGUGUCCCAAACCGUGUCCGUACCCGUGUAACUCUCUGACUUGGAUCACAUGUGGCUUGGUCGUGUGUAGAUGUCGGGGUCACAUUGCCAAAGCACACGCCCGUGUGCCAGGCUGUGUGAAAAAUAUUGAGCAUUCUAUUUUGAAUUUUUAAAAUGCAGGAUACACAUGGCAAGACCACACGCCUAUGCGCUAGGCCGUGUGUUACACACGGCUGAGAUACACACCCAUGUCUUUGCCCGUGUGGACGAAAAUAGGCCAUUUCCAAGGCCACUUACCCAAAUUGUCUUUUACCUACAUCAACACUUUAACACAUUUACAAGGCAAUACCAAUCAUUCAAAUCAAGCUAAAACCAAGUUUAAUACAUGUUAUAACAUCCCAUAUGUCUAAGUAUUCAAUUUCCCUUAAUUGAUCCAAUUCAGAUACAUGCAUAUCUUACCAAUUAUACUAACUAAAAUCAAUUAAUUAUGAGCCUAUAUAAUCUUCAUCAUAAAACCAAUUCAAAGACUCAUCAAACACAUUAUGACCAUAUAUAACCACAUCAAAAUAUGUCCAUCACAAGCCAUUCCAAUGGCUAGCUACAACCAAACAUUUACAUUGCCAUCAUUGGUCAUGUUUAGCCUAUACAUACCAUUAUAACUAUUUUUUUUGUCAUAUAUAUACCGAAAAGUCUGAGGGAUAGUGUGAUAUGGUUCUGACUAGCUUCCAACCUUUACGAGCUUCCAAGUACUAUAAAGCAGAGGAAAUAAAAUAGAGUAAGCAUUUUAUGCUUAGUAAGUUCAUAUAACAGAAAAUUAAUUAACUUACCAUCCAUUUACAUUUAAAGUAAACAUGCAAAAUUCAUCUAAAGAAAUUUGGCAAUUUGCCUAAGCACAUAUAACCUUAAAAAACAUAUUAGCCAUGUACUUCAUAUGAAUAUCAAGAACCAAGGAUGAGUUUAUCAUGUAACAAUUUUCAUAUACAUAUGUUUUCCACAUCAUAUAACAUAUACAUUUCCAUAAUAAUUCAUCUCAAGUUCAGAUUAUCCCAUGUCGGAACGUUGCCCGUUGAAUUUAUUUGAAAUAUCGAUGGAUACAUAGGUAGUACACUUGAAAUGUACAAAAUUGUAAUCCGUCAAUUCACUCAUACAAACACAUAAACAGGAAGCUUAUGUGAGCCAUAUAAAGGGAAGCUUAUCUGGGCUGUAUAACGGAAAGCUCAUAAGAGCCAUAUUCAGAAAACUCAUGCGAGCUAAUAACGGGUAACUCCGAAGAGCCAUUAAUCAAGAAGCUCUGGAGAGCCAUUAAUCAGGAAGCUUACAAAGAGCCUUUAAUCGGGAAGCUCACGAAGAGCCAUAUAUCGGGACGUUCAUAAGAGCUGCAGUGUGUCCACAACAUAUGCAAGAUCACAACCGAUUGGGAUGCUCCGAAGAGUUACUAACGGGAAGCUCGUUAAAACCGUGUAAUGAGAAGCUCGAAAGGGCUAAUAACGAGACGCUCUUUCGAGCUGUGAUGUGCCUGCAACGUAUGCAGGACCACGACCAAUUCGGGAACCCUGUAUCAAUCGAAUCUCAUUUAUCCAAAUAGGACUUAAUAUUAAUCGGACAUUGUUAGAUAUGUGAUCAAUUUUAUAUGUAUGAUAAUUUCAAAAUUCACAUAUACAACAUUCAAUUCAAACAUAUAAAUAUACACAAUUUAGUUACAUGAACUUACUUUGACAAGUAUUCGUAUACGCAAAAUCUACUAAUUCGACACUUUUUCUUUUCCACGAUCUAACUUCGUAUUUGAGUUAUCCGGAUCUAUACGAAUGAAUUUAAUAUCAAUUUAAUAUAAUUCAUAUUCAAUUCAAUCCAAUUCACAUUUUAAAAAAAUUACCAUUUUCCCCCUAUACUUUUAAUUAAUUCUGAUUUCGUCCCUAGGUUCGGAAAAUAAAAUUCAUGCAAUUUAAUCCUUAUUCCAAGCCUGGCCAAUUUUUACAUGUAACAAUAACAACCCAUAUAUUUCAAAAAAUUCAAAAUUUUUCCAUGAAUUUUACAUUUUUACAAUUUAGUCAUUAAAUCACAAUUUCAUAAAAAUUCACUUUACAAAAGUUGUUUAUCUAUCAACAACCUUUCAUUUUCUACCAUAAAACUUCAUAAUUCAUGCAUAUUCAUCCAUGGAAAAAUCUUAGUACUUUGAUAACUUUACAAAUUAAUCCCCGAGAUACCUAAAUUAGGCUAUUACAAUCUCGGAAACAUAAAAAUCAUUAAAAAUGGAACUUGAAUACUAAUUGAGCCAAAUAAGCUUGCUACCUUCAAGCUCUUCUAACUAGGGUUUUCAUGUAAAAUAAUUUGGGAAGGAUGAUAAUAUGAUGAUAUUUUCAUUAUUUUAUUACUUAUCAUCUUUAAUUAUUUUUAGUUUCCAAUUUAAUCCUUUUCUUUAUUUAAUUUUCUAUGGAUGAAUCAUCAUACUUAUCUACUAACUCCUCUUAAUGGUCUAUUUUCCAUAUAAGGACCUCAAAUUUUGAAUUCCAUAGCUAUUUGAUACUUAUAGCUACUAAAACUCAACUUUUGCAUUUUAUACAAUUUGGUCCUUUCCAUUUAAUUAGACAUGUAAUCGGUAAAAUUUUCUUAACAAAAUUUAAAUACGACAUUCCUAUCAUACGGUAAAUCAUAAAAUAAUAUUAAAAUAAAUUUUCUUUAGAACUCAGAUUUGUGGUCUCGAAACCAUAGUUUCAAUUUCACUGAAAACGGGCAGUUACACUAACCGUAGGUAAACGCAUUGUCCAUCUAAAGGGGCCCUAAGAUAUUCUAAUGAUUGGAUAAUGAAAUUUUGGUUUGAUAGUAUCUAACUAUACCAAAAAUACUUUAUAUCAUACAAUACUUAGCAAAAAAAAAAUCACUUUCAAUAUCCAAACUACUGUACUGUACUUAAAAAAUUGGAGAUAAAAGUUUUAAAAAUAAAAACAAUAAUUUAUCAAUAAAAAGGAGAGGAUCCCACAAUUAUCGUCUUAGUUUUGAAAUAUUGAGAACAUUUUAUUUAACAUGAAAAUGACCCUAACGAUCUGAUGACUAUUCUCAUUAUCCGAUGAUUGGUGUGAUGUCAUGUGCUCAUUAUGAUUUUAGAGGUUUAAAUGACUUUUUUAUUUUUAAUGUUUUUAUGAUCUUUAUAAAUUUUUUAGUAAUUUGGAUAAUAUCUUAUAAUUUAUUAGAAUUUAUUAUAUUAUUUAUAUGUUUUAAUGAAUUUUUAUAAGUUUUUAUAAAAUUUUAAAUAUAUUUUUUAAUAUUUUUAAUUUUCAAUAGUUUUGAUGAUUUAUUAUAUGUUUAUAAUUUUUUUACAAUACUUAUAAUUUUUUAUUAUUUUAUUAUAAUUUUUAUAAGUUUAUACCAAUUCCAAUAUUUUUUAAUUUUCAAUAGUUUUAAUGAUUUUUUUAUAAGUUAUUAAGAAUUUGUAUAUGUUUUUAAAAAAUUUAAAAAAUUUUGAUUUAUUUAUAAAUUUAUUAGAUUUUUAUAUUUUUAUAAUAUAUAUGAGUUAUUAUUUUUUAUAAUUUUAAUAUUUAAUGAUUUGUUUAUAUUUUUUUAUUUUUAUAAUUUUUAAUAAUUUUUAUAAUUUUUUAUGAUUUUUAAUGUAAAAAUAUUAGAUUAAAACUAAAGCUGUCACAUAUUAUAAUCUGAUUAGUUCGUUAAUUUAAUUUAAUGGUCAACAAAGUCAACAACAAAUUCCGUUAAUUGAGGGGCUUAAUUGAUAAUUUUUGUUAACAACAAAAUCUCAAUUGACUACGAAUUCAAUAUAAGAGUUAUUUUUUUUUUGUAUUUUCUUAAAGGCUUUUUCUAUAUAUAAUCCUUUAUUUAAAAAUAUAUGUAGUAAUUGUACUAUUGCCAUCAGUUAUAUGUAAUAAUUGCACUAUCUAUCCCGUCAGAAUUCCAAUACCAAAGCUUGAGUGUCUCACUAUCUAACUUAAAAAACGUUAAAAAAAACUUAUAUACGAAAAAGGCCAAAAAAAAGCAAAAAAAAAUAAGUUUCUAUAUUAAAUUUGCACUAAAUUCAUUUUUUAUGUAAAUUAAAAUAAUUAAUUAAACUCCUCUGUAAAUGGAAUUCAUAGUUGAUCAUGUUGAUAGUUAAAAUAAAUUAACGGACCAAUUAGAUGGUGACAUAUAAUAACUUUUGUUUUAAUUUAAUAUUUGCUCAUAAAAAUAUUAAAAAAAUAUUAAAAUUAUAUAAACUUAUAAAUUUUUAAAAAGUUAUUGAAAAAGCUUAAAAAAUUAUAGAAUAUAAUAAAUAUAAUAAAUUCUAAUAAAAUUUAUAAAAUUAAUAAAACAUAUUAAAAUAUAAAUUUUAUAAUAAUGUAUAAAAAUUCUUAAAAAAACAUAUAAAAAUCAUAAAAAUAUAAAAAAUAUUUAAAAUUAUUAAAAUCAAUAUAAACAUAUAGAAAUUAUAAAAAAUCAUAAAAAACUUGAAUCGAAUCGAAUCAACCGGUUGAAUCAGUUAGAUUGAAAUAACAAUAGUAUAGGUAUAGAGAAAUCCAUUAGAUCGAUUGACCUAGGAAUCUAGGCUUUUUUUUAUUUAAAAAAAAUAUUUUUUAUUGUUUUAUUUGACUGAACUGGACGGACGGUCGAAUUAGUCAAAUCGACGAACUGAUGGCUUGAUCGAUUCAACCACUAGUUUGGUUCUAAAAACCUUGGUCAGAAUUUUUCAUACUGACAUAUACUAAUAGUUGGAUAAUGAAAUUUUGGUUUGAUAAUAUCUAAUUGUACUAAAAAUACUUUAUAUCAUCCAAUACUUAGCAAAAAAUUUUCCACAACUUGAUUCUAGCAACAUUUAGGAUCUCCACUAGCUACUUUAAGUGGUAGACUCUUAUAUUAAUUGAAGAUUUAAAACUGUUGCUGCAAUAUAAGAUAGGUGCUUGGAAGGAACGAUAGGGUAGUGGGCACUUCUCUGGCACCAAAUUGUAAAUAGUAAACAAACAGAACACACAUGUAGUUUGGUUUUUUUACGUUUAUGGAGCCUAGUUCAGUGAGAAAUAUCAACUCUCUUUAACAAUUACAAUAAGUAAUUCUAACCUAUCACACAUCUUGUGACAAUUUUCCUCACAUUUGCACCUUGAAGAUCAAUACGAUCAGCAUUAAGUCCACCCUUGUGAACUCAGCAAGUAAAACCACAACACAAAUGGUUUUACUAUCAAAUAGCACCCUAAGAAAAGUUCCUUAAUCGAACAAAUUUAAAGCUCUCAAUUCAUAGAUAAAGUGGAAAUAUGAAAAUUUAGGGAUAGGGUAAAAGCACAUAAUAUUUGAGUUACCUAUAGCAGAAACUCGACUCAGCACUUGAUAUAAUGUCAAGUUUUGAUUGAUUCAAUGAGACAAAAUACAUCAUCAACAUGCGACUGCUAAAACUAUAAAAUAAUAAAUAGUAUAUCGUGCUAAGAAAAAAGUGCUAGAUACCGGUAAUGGUAAGAGGAAGGAUGAGUAAUAUACUCUUAGAAGACCCAUAACAUAAAUGUGUUAGAGUGUUAUAAUUAUGGGAACACUCUUAGGAUCUACCUAUGUGAGUGUGAAGCGUAGCCGCUUCUAAGAGCUUUAGGGCUUGACCUUAAUAGCACUCAUGAAAAGAGGUUACAAACACAUGACCAUAAUAAUGUCCAUGAAUACUCUGCAUUGACUGCUGUUGUAACCAUUGUGUGAGAUGUGUUCGGUUAAUCAAAUGGAAUAAUCGGUUCAAAACAUAAUCUACUAUGAAAUUUUGAUUAACUUUAACAUGUCUUCACUAAGUAAAUGUUCAAUUGUAUAACACUUUCACUUAUGCAAUUGAUUACCAAGAUUAUCAAAAUCUAAAAUAUUUAAAAAAUGGAAAGAGAUUGUUGAAACAUAUUCAAAAUACUUAUAAUGUUUCAAUAAUUAUAAUUGAAAAGUUAACUCAUUAAUUCCUAUAAAUAGGAGUGGAAACACAUGUAACUCAUGCGUUUUUGAAGUUUUUAAUACUUUAUAUUAUGUUAUUUUUAUAUAUUAUGUAAUUUAGAACACAUUAAAAAAAUAAACCUAUACUAAAUAUAUAAUACUACUUUAAUAUAAAUAUUAAAAUGAUGUUAAGAUGACUAUAUAAAAACUUUCAAAAAAAUAAAAUAAAAUAAAAAUUAAAAAAUAGUAUGAGCUAGCCUAAAAUGGGUUUGAGUUAUUUUUUUAUAAAUAUGAAUAAGUUUAGAAAAAAUUUUAGUCCCAAUAUUUCAAAUCGAGCUAGACUUGAACAAACAUAAAAAAAAAAAUAUAAUAACAUGUUUAAACACGCCAGGACCCAACCCUUCAAUACCUCUAUAUGCAUCAAGCCUCCUAAACACCUCCACAAUGAUCAUAACCGUCACAACCAACUCCCCUCAUUUAUUUAUUAGCUCUUUUAAAAUAUAUCUAACAAAUCCUCCGUUUCUUUAAAUAUGACCCAUAAAACUUAAAAGACAUACUUGAAGCUUGCAUGAUCUUGCUUUAAUCUUUGCCUUUUGUUUUUUGGGAGAAAGAGAGUGGUUGGCAUCUAAAAGUCCAAUUCAGAAUUUGACACAAUUAAACAGUUUGAUAUUACAUUCCCAAUAUUUGAAUCAAGCCAAUCUUCAGUUUAUAUAUAUACCCUUUAAAGAGAAGCUUAAUUUUUGUAGCUGUUGGUCUGUUUUUGCUUGUAGAACAGUUGCUUCCAUGGGGGUUUCCUCCUUGUUCCUCCAUGACCUGUUUCUUCAUUAAAAUUUAAAAGGAUAUUGCAUGAGAUCUAACUUUGAAAUGACUGCUUGAUGUAAACUCUGAAAUUUGCUUUACUACUAAUAUAUGGUAGGUAAAUGUCAGUGUCAUGUUUGGGGCUAAUGAUAUAUGAUACUAUCAAAUGUUACAGAAUUGCUUCGUUGGUUCCAAGUUUCACCCAUGAAGAUAAUGUGAGUUUUGUGCUAUUAACAUAGAAAUAAGUUCAGAAUCACGUCCAUUAUGGGACAUAGAAUAGCAUUCAUGUAAUAUAGAUUUCAUUGUUUAAAUAUAAAGCUUUGACUUAUCUUUGACGCCACUCUAAAGUUGCUCUAACAACUGGGUCUGCAUCAUACUGAAGUCUAAAAUGAAGCUAUGGGUUUCUUUAUAUAUAUAUAUUAAACAGAGAUAGUUUCCAUCAUCUAAUUAAAAAAAAAAGUACACACCAAACACCCCUUUGCCUUUCACUAUAUAUACACUCUUUUGUAUUCUUCAAUGAAUACAUACUCAAGGAGUAGUUCAUAAGUUCACUCAAACGGAAGAGAAAUCAGACCAAGAAAAAGAAAUGGGAGUUUUUCUUCUUUCAUCACCAGCAUUUCUGGUUUUCUUCUCAUUUUUCACUUUCUGUCUACUUGUUGACCCCGUACUUGGGAUCACCAGGCACUACAAGUUUGAUGUAUGUAUUAAUUUGAUAGGAUUAUCAACCAAAUAUAUGUUUGAUUGUGACUAGGUGUACCUUACCCAUUUUGUAGGUCAAGCUGCAUAAUGUAACACGUUUGUGUCAUACAAGGAGCAUUGUUUCGGUGAAUGGACAAUUUCCAGGGCCUCGCAUUGUAGCAAGGGAGGGUGAUCAGCUUCUCAUCAAAGUGGUCAACCAUGUGCCUAACAAUGUUUCUAUCCACUGGUAUUGAAGUUUACUUUGAAAAUGACAUUAUGCAGAUAUUACAUUUACAUGCUGAAUAAAUUAUCUAUGCUUCAUGAGGGAAGGUCUAAAGUUACAUGCUAGAUAUGGUGAUGUCUUUUCGAAACAGGCAUGGCAUUCGACAGCUUCAAAGCGGUUGGGCGGAUGGGCCUGCAUAUGUGACUCAGUGUCCCAUACAAACUGGCCAAAGCUACGUUUACAACUUCACCAUUAUAGGCCAAAGAGGGACUCUCUUCUGGCAUGCCCAUAUAUCAUGGCUAAGAGCCACUCUUUAUGGUCCCAUUAUCAUUCUUCCCAAGCGUGGCAUACCUUACCCUUUUGCUAAGCCUUACAAGGAAGUUCCCAUUGUCUUCGGUAAUGAAAUCAUAAUGAACCGAUUCAUUAAGAUUCUACAUUUAUUUUGCUAACUCAAAUUGACAUGAACCCCUUUAUGAUAAAAUUGCAGGAGAGUGGUUCAAUGCAGAUCCUGAGGCUGUUAUUAGCCAGGCACUCCAGACUGGUGGGGGUCCAAAUGUCUCUGAUGCUUAUACCAUCAAUGGUCUCCCUGGACCACUUUAUAACUGCUCAGCCAAAGGUAAUAAAUAGCUAAAAUUUUGUCUUAAGCUUUAGACAUACACAUACAUGCACACAUACAUUAUAGAGCUAUGGGAUUCGCUUGUGGACUAACAACUUUGACAGAUACAUUCAAGCUGAAGGUGAAGCCUGGAAAAACUUACCUUCUUCGUUUAGUCAAUGCGGCACUCAAUGAUGAGCUCUUCUUCAGCAUAGCAAAUCACACACUAACUGUUGUUGAUGUUGAUGCCGUUUAUGUUAAACCAUUUGAGACUGAAACACUUCUCAUCACCCCUGGUCAAACCACAAAUGUGAUCCUUAAGACUAAACCAAGCUAUCCAAAUGCCACUUUCUUCAUGACUGCUAGACCAUAUGUGACAGGCCAAGGAACAUUCGAUAAUUCAACUGUUGCCGGUAUUUUAGAAUACGAGUCAUCACCCAAUAGCCUUCAUUCGAGCAUAAUGUUGCCCUUGUUUAAACCAAUUCUACCUGCUUUGAAUGACACUUCCUUUGCUACAAAAUUCGCAAGUAAACUCCGUAGCUUGGCCAGUGCACAAUAUCCUGCCAAUGUGCCUCAGAAGGUUGAUAAGCAUUUUUUCUUCACUGUUGGUCUUGGAACCAGCCCAUGCCAGCAUAACCAAACCUGCCAAGGACCUAAUGGAACCAAGUUCGCAGCUUCAGUGAAUAAUGUAUCGUUUGCAAUGCCGACUACAGCAUUACUCCAGGCUCAUUUCUUCGGCCAAUCUAACGGAGUUUACACCCCUGAUUUUCCUAGCAGUCCUAUAACUCCAUUUAACUAUAUAGGCUCACCACCUAACAAUACUAUGGUAAGCAACGGAACAAAGGUAGUAGUGCUUCCUUUUAAUACUUCCGUGGAGCUAGUUAUGCAGGACACGAACAUUCUUGGAGCUGAAAGCCACCCUCUUCAUCUACAUGGCUUCAAUUUCUUUAUUAUCGGCCGAGGUUUUGGAAACUUUGAUCCAAAUAAGGACCCCGCAAAGUUCAAUCUGAUUGACCCUGUUGAAAGGAACACUGUUGGCGUGCCAUCAGGAGGUUGGGUUGCAAUUCGUUUUCUAGCCGACAAUCCAGGUAAGUGACAUGUUAAACACCAAUUAGAUUCAUCAAAUGCUUGCUUUGAGUUGAUGACCAUUGACAACAAGAACCACAUGCAUGCAGGGGUAUGGUUCAUGCAUUGCCAUCUAGAAGUGCACACCAGCUGGGGCUUGAAGAUGGCUUGGAUUGUCUUGGAUGGUGAACUUCCUACUCAGAAAUUGUUGCCUCCACCAGCAGAUCUUCCUAAAUGUUGAUCGAUAUGACACUUCUUGUGUUAUUUUGGCCAAAAACCUGCCUGAACUUUUUUUUUUUUAAUUUCAGCCAUUUUGAUUUGGUGACUUUUUUUUUUUUUUUUUUGCUUUUGUUUCUGUUUUUGGCAUUGGCCUAUCAAUGGUCCAAAUUUGUUUUCUUGAUUCUUGCGAAGUUAGGACAGUCAGCAAGCAAUUUAUUUUGUAACAGGAUCUGCAAAUUGUCAAUACAAAGAAAUCUCAAUAAUUUAUUGGCAUCCUUUUGUUCAAUCAAUCCUAGCCUCUGAAGCAUAUCUGUACAAUUUGCAACUCCUCCGCACUAAAUUUAUUCCUUUAUUUUCGUUAAAAUACCAUUUCCCUGACUGAUCAGCUCAACCUGAAUCAUACCAACUUAAAUCUAAUAUAUUCUUGGAUAAUUGGAUUAUCUUUCUAAUCGUUGGAACAUUUUGAUUUUCAAAAUAUAUAUAGUGUUUCAAUAGUUGCAAAUGAAUAGUUAUAAGUUAGCAAAAGUUAUAUCACUUAAUUACUAAACAAAAGUUGUCACUAUUUAUAGUGAUUAGUUAUGUCUCUUAGGCUCCGUUUGUUUGACUGAAAAUAGUUUCCGGAAAAUAAUUUCUGGAAAAUGACUUACUGUUCUAGAAAAAGAGUUAAUAUUUUUUGGUAUUUGGAUGAAUAUGUGCAAAAUAUUUGCUGUUGUUUGAUAGAUUUCCUGAAAAUAUUUUAUAAAAAUUGUUUUCAAUAAAACAAACAUACAUUUGAGAUUUUAUUAUAUUUUUAUUGUUUAAUUGAGUUUAUUUCCUAAAGCUUAUUUAUAUUUUAAUUAAUCAUGUUUUAGUUUUAAUUGAUCUUAAUUUACUUAAUUAAACUUAAUUGUUAAUUUCAUACAUUAAGAAAUAUAAAUUUACGUUUAAUUAAGUUGAAAGUGGUAAAUAUUUAUUUUGAAUAUUAUUUGGAUGAGUAAGUCGAAAAAUGAUUUAAUUUGAUAAAAAUUGAAGGACCAAAUUGUAAAAUUUGUAGAAUUUUGAAAUCUAAAGGUUUGAGUAGUGAAAUCUGAAACAAUGAUGUAGUAACUAAAUUAUAUGGUCAUGAAAUAUGAAAAUUUGGAAAGUUGAGCAUAAAAUAGUAAAGCUUGAAAUUAUAGGGGUUAAAUUGUAAAGAUUUCAAAACUUGAGUUUUAGGACUAAUUUACAUUAUUUGAGAAUUUACAAUUUUGAAAAAUAGAAUAUGAAAUUUUAACUGUUCAAAAAUCAAGGACUAAUUUUUUGGAAAUUUUGACAAUUUUAGUUGUAAGGACUAAAUUAUAAAAUCUAGAAAGUUUAGAAAAGGGAUUGUUUUGCAAAAUUGUACAAAACGAGGUUUAGGACUAAAUUGUAAAAUAAGAAAAUCUACUUUUGAGGAAUUAAAUUGUAGUCUAGUAAAAAUUUUGAUUUCAAGGAGUAAAUCAUAAAAAAUAUAAAAUUAGAAUAUAAGAGACUGAGCUUCCCCUUCGUUGCUCUGAAAGCUUCCCCUUUUUGUUUUUUCGAAAGUGAAGACAAUGAACAAAGCCUUAUCAGUUUAGAAAAUGUCUUACAGAAAAAGAAAUUGGUAAAGACAUUUUCGUUAAAAAAGUUUUGGUGUUACCCUUUUCAAGGAAAAUGAUUUCGUUUGGUAAUUCAUUUUCCAUCAAACAAACACCGUAAAACAAUGAAAAUGUUCUACGGAAAAUAUUUUACAUGCAAAUAAACAAACCCUAAGUUUAUAAUAUUUUACAUCAUGUUAUUUUUUAUAUAUUAUGUAAUUUAAAACACUUUAAAAAAAUAAAUCUAUACUAAAUAUAUAAUACUACUCUAAUGUAAACAUUAAAAUAUUGUUAAGAUGACUAUAUAAAAAAUUCAAUAAAUAAAAAAUAUAUAACAUUAUUAAAUAUUAAAAUACCGCAAUAUAAAAAAUUUAAAAAAAAUUAAAAAUAAUAUGGAUGGACCUAAAAUGGGCUUAUGGGUUAGUCUUUUGUAAAUAUGAGCAAAUUUGGGCAAAAUUUUAAACCCAUAUUUCGAGUUGAACAGGGCUUGGGAAAACAUAAAGUAUGUUAAUAUCAUGUUUAGGCCCGAUCUAAUCCAGCCCAUGAACACUUCUAGUUAGAACUCGGAAGUUCUUUUAAUUAUCUAAUUAUAAAAACAAAUUUUUAUAAAUAUUAUUUACUCUUUUAAUAACUUUUCACUUUUUAAAUAUAAUGUUAUUUUACUAAAAUAUUAUUAAAUUUAUUAUUAUUUAUCAAAAUAUAUAAUAAGGAUCUUAACUUAUUAAAAAAAAAUCAUGAAUCUUUUCUAACACAUCAUUUAUAGUCCCUAACCAAUUAUAUAAGGUUUAACUCACAAAUUGAUACAUAAACUAUAUUAUUUUUCCAAUCUUGAUACCCAAACUUUUUUUAGUCACAUGUGAUGCAUAAAUUACUUUUCUUUCCCAAAUUGGUACCUCCGAUAAGUAAACCAUUAAAUGUAUUUAAAAAAUAAGCUUAACCCAUAAAUUGGUACCUAAGCUACGCAUUUUUUCCAUUUUGGUACCUAAACAUUUUUUUAGUUACAAGUGGUACCUAAACUACUCUUUUUCCUAAGUUGGUAUAUAUGCUAGUUUAAUUGUUAAUUAAACUGUUAAGCCUAUUUUUGGAAAAAAGAUAAUAAUUAAAAAUUGACAUGUGGCAAAAAAGGUAAAAACUAUUAUUUUCUCUAAUAUAUAUAUUUCUUUCUUUAGAAUCGGACUGAUGGUCAAAUCGGUUAAGCUACCAAAUUUUAGUUUGAUAAGUUUUUUUGGUUCGAUUAAAUAUGAUUAAAAAUUUAUAAUAUAAAACAUUAAAAAUAGAUAAAACAUGUUCAAUUGUCUUUUUAGCUUAAUUCAACCAGCUUGUAUCGAUUUCCGAGUCAACCAGUUCAAUCCUUAUUUCGAUUUGGUUUUGAAAACACUAGUUAUGAUCAAUGAAAUUAAUUGCCAACAUCUCGACAUCAAGACGGCAAAUUUUAAGCCUUGUUAGUAUUGUCAUACAUUAUAAAACGAAAAGGAAAUGAAAAGAAAUGAAAAUAGAAAAAAAAAAGAAUUAAAAAAUAUUUUUUAAGUUUAUAUGACGUGGCAAAUUAUUAUUGGUUGGAAUUGUUUUUAAUAGACAUAACAUUUAUGUGUAAAAUGGGUAACAAAAGAAUAGUUUAGGUACCAAAAUAGGAAAGACGAACAAUUUCACUAAUGGAGAUACCAACUUGAGAAAAAAAUAAUUUAGAUACAAAACUUAGAAAAUUGGUAUAACUUAAGUACGGAUUUAUGAACUAAGCCAUUAUCCAGUUACAUAUAACUUUAAAAAAUAUUUUAUUUGUUGACACCACUUUAAAAAAAAAACAUUUUUUUACAAAUGUAAAAUAUUAAGCUGUUAAUGAGUCAAUUGACACCACUAUAAAAAAAUUUGUUGACACCACUAUAAAAAAAAAUUUGUAUUCGGUAUGGUAUUUGUUUAGUAUUAAAAAAAUAUUCGUAUUCUUUUGGGUGCUACUUGACUAGUGGACAACACCACUUAAAAAAAUAUUUUUUUACUUCACUGGAAUGAAAAAGCUUGGGGAAAUUUUAGAGUGUCGUUGCCAGACACAUUAGCGAUACCUAAAAAUAUUGUAAAAACUCACCCAUUUUUAUAAUUAAUCUACAUCUUAUGGAUUUUUUACAAAAAUAAUAUUAAAAAAUAAUUAAUUACAAAAUGGGUUGGAGACAAAUUAUUUAAGAAAAUGGGUUGUUUGUUACUGUGCAAAUCGGUGCAUCCUGACAAAUCGGCGGCACCAACCAACAUUUCGGCCAAUCAUUACGUUUAAUUUUUUUAUUGGUGCCAUUGUGUCAAGCAGCACCGAUGUGUAUUUUUUUUUCAAAAAAAUAUUCAUAUUUUCAAGGGUCUACACCUUGAGAGAAAAAUGAAAAAAAAAUUUACCACUUUAAAUUUUUUUUUACUUCACCAGAAUGAUCGGUAGAAGUUGGGGGAAAUGCUAGGGUGGUGUCGCCCAACACAUUGGAAGCACCCACAUAAAAAAGAAUAUUUUUUUAUUUUUUCUCUCAUUGUGUAUAUCCGUGAAAAUACGAGCAUUUUUAAAAAAAUAUACACUAUAGUGUCGUCUGACACAGUGACAACAUCAAUAAGUUUAAAAAAAUGUAAUUAUUGGCUGAUGAUUGGUUUAAAAAUUAGGUGAUAUCGUUGGUGUGUCAGGUGGCACUGAUUUGUAUUGUAGCAAACAACUCAUUUUCGUGGAGGGAUCACAUUGUAUGCAAAAAAGGCAUGAGAUGCAUCAUUGGUAGGAAACAUGUGAAAAGAUCCAUAGCUUGAAUUAUGUCCAAACUAAAAAUCUCGGUCAAACUAAAAAAAAGUUUUGUAGCUUACAUGAAACAUGAUCUAGAUCUGUCUACUUUUAACAAAUUAUAUUUAUACAUUUUAUGAGUUUUAUUUAAUUUUCAAGAACAAGAAACCUAAUUAUUUUAAUUGCUUUAUUGUAUAUUAUUAGGGGAACUUAGUUUUCAAGUCUCUCACAAUGUCUACAAGUUUCAUGCUUGCUACUGUCAUAUUGCUGAUGAUUCUUUCUGGUUCUUACUUUAAAAUUCUCAAGAUUCAAUGUUGUUUUCAUUUUGAUUCUCUUAUUCUUUUGACCCAUAGACAAGUAUCUUUGGCCAUUGAUUAUCUUGAUGGUUGCCUACUAUAGUUAUCCCAUUAUAGCUUAAACAUUGAAAAACUCUAACAUUAUUUUAUAGAAGCUUUAAAUUUGAUUAUUAGAUGUAAUUAAGUUUGCAAUUAAGCAAACAAAGCUCUAAACGACCUAUUGCGGUGCUGAUGUGGCGUUGUGCCGCUUUUUAAUAAUUGUUGCGGCGUUACAUAACAGAUUUUAUCCGCAACGAUCGUGAUGCGAUUUCUUUGAUGCGUUGCGCCGAUAUUGCAUCACGGUAGUUUCUAUUUCAGUUACAAUGAAGCCAUUACGUUGCGUUGCGGCCGCAAUUUAAUACUUUGGAACCGUAGUGGGAAAAAGCCAAGCCCUUGCCACCGUAGGUCAAGUACUCAGUAGAUUGGAGGAUAGGCCUAAAAGUAAAAACGAGGUCAUGGGACUUGAGGAAUAGUUCAGCAGCUUCAAGUGAUGAUACCACAAUGUCUAAAUCAAUGUGAAGUCUAUUAUGCCACUAAGUCAAUAAAUAUAAUUUCCAAAUAAUUAUAUGCAAUAUUCACUUCAGGGAAUAUGCCAAAAUCUUCAAAUGUAGGGCAUUUGGUGUAGCAGCCCGAUUUUGGGCCUAGUCGGAACAGUGGUUUUGGGACCACUAUUUCGAGGCCAGAGAAAAUUAUUUUAGUAUUAUUUUAUGUGUUAUAAUGUGAAUUUAUAAGUGCAUGUAAAUUUUGGUAAGUUAAUUUUAGCAAUUUCUAGUCCAAUUUCGAAAAAGGACUAAAUCGCAUAAAAGGUAAAAGUUGUGUUUUGGUGCCUAAAGGUGUUUAAUAGCUAGAUAAGUAAAAUUGGGGGCUUUAAAAUGGCAAUUAGACUCUUUUAUUGAGGUGGCCGGCCAAGGGAGACAAGAUUGGUUAAAAAGCCAUAUUUUAUGGGAUUUAAAGUGAUUUUUUGGUUAAUAAAAUAAAUAAAGAAAAAGUUGUCAUUUUCUCUUUCAUUUUUUUCUCUUCUCCUCCACCGAAAUAUGCAGCAAAGAAAGGGUUUUGAAGCUGGAAAAUUUCAGCAACAUAUUUCCCUUGCUUGUAAGUGAUUUUAAUGUCUUUGCUUGACGAUUUUUACAUUUUUGGAACCCCUAAAGCAUGAGCUUUCAUAAGAGGGGACUAUUUUGAAAAAUGAUAAAGAGUAUAGGGUUUUUCCAUGAGAUUAAAUAUGUUGUUUGCUGUGUUUUUAUGGAAGAUUAUGAGUCCUAGUUGUCUAAUAAACAACUUUUGUGAAAGAAAUUGCAUGAAAACACCUUAAAAAGGGCUAGAUUGCUAAGUUGUAAAAUGAGUUGUAAAUGUGUAAAAUAGUUGAAAUUAUGAGUUGCUAUAGCUAUGAAAAUGGUUCAUCUAGACUCAAGGAGUAAAGAAAUGUGAUAAAAAUUAUUUUACGAGCAUUGGGGCAAAAGUGAAAAUAUGCAAAAGUUUAGGGGUCAAAAUGAAAAUUUGUAAAAAUAUGAUUUUUAGACCCAUAUGAAUAUGGUGACUGAUUGGUAGGCUAAAUGUGAUAUUAUAGAUCAAUGAAAUCGAGAUUUGGACCUAGAACGGAAAGAAAUCGAUUAAGGGAUGAUUAUGUCCUUUUUACCUUUGUGGUAUCAAGGUAAGUUGAUAUGUAAACAAUACCAUGCUAUACAUGUAUUUAAAUGUUAUCAUUACAUGAAUUGUACAAAUCUUAAUGUGUAUGUGAUUAAUAGAAAUAUGAUGAGACAAAGCCUUAAUAGACGAGGAAAAAUCCCGUUUGAACCUUAGGAAUAGAAUAGGAUACGAGUGACAUGUCACUAGGAAUUAUGAGUCUAGAUGACUAGCUCGAGAGUGAGCAUUGAAAUGUCAUGGGAUAUGAGGUAGCUUUAGCUACAAUUGAGGUACUUAUGUGCAAAGGCUUUUCCGAGUAUCCAAUUAGUAUUCCAAGUGUUCAACGGGUAAUCCGAGGAAAGAGUUGAUGAUGGUCCCAAUGAGGUAAGUCAUUGGUGAGUAUGCACUUGAGUUAUGUUACGAGUUGUGCAAGUAUGUAUACUAAACCUAUGAGAAUGCCUUGAUAUGUGUUGAUCUAUGAUGCAUAAAAUGUGUUCUUACCAUGAUGGAUGAAAUGAUGUUGUAUCAAUUUUGUGAACAAUGAUCAUGAAUGAGUAACUUAGCCUUGACAGAUUUGAGUUAUUGCAGUAGUGUAACUUUGAAAAUACACUAAAAAUAGUGGAAAAUGAGUUAGAGGCAGAAUAAAAUAUGGGAUUAAAUCUUAAUGAGUCUAUUUUCACAUGAAAGAAAUAUGGGAAGAAAAAGAAUUCUAUAUUGUGUGAUAUUUGAAUUCUUUUGAAACAGGGUCUGAAUGAAUUCGAGAUCCCCUGUUCUAAAUUUAUAAAUUCACAAUAAAUUGUAGAAAAAUUAUUAAGAGUCAUACCUUAUAUUCAUGGAUUUUUUAUUGAGUCUAUUUUUAAGGGAAAUAAACGACAUGGUCAUUGGAAUUCUGUACAGGGAGAAAUUUGGUUCGUAGUGCACAAGGGUCAGAGUAGUUAUACCCUGAAAUAGGGAAGACUUUAACUAAUAAACUGUACUAAAUGGCUCGACCAAAAAUUCUGGAAAUUUUAUGGAAGAAAGAUAAAUGAGCCUAGUUUCAGAGAAAAUUUAAGGAACUUAAUUUAGAGUUUUAUAGCUCCAGAGAUAAAUAAUUUAGUGACUAUUUCUCAGGAAGACAACUUACAGUGAAAUUAUGAUUAUGUGGUAAACAUUGACAAAAAUUUGUUAAUGAGUUGCUUAUUGAUUUCUUAUAAGCUUACUAUGAUCUGUAGGUGUGAAAUUCGAAUAUAUUAAAUAUAUAUAUUAUAUUUUGAAAGUGAUGCUUGAAUAGUCGAAUAAUGACUAGUUUAAAGUUGUUGAAUUUAAGCUCAAGAGCAUAGAAGGGCAAAUUCGGAUAAGGGAAAAGAGAAAGUAAUCGAAUAGCCGUUGUAAUCGUACGACAACAUUCGAGGUAAGUUCAUAAGUAUAUAAAAAUUAUUGUGAGGUUGAAAUAUGUAAUAUGUGUAUUAGAUUUGAUGCACUACGUGUGCGAUAAAGGCAAUAACUACAACAUUUAAAAUGGCGCUGGGUGCGUGAGAUUGUAAUAGCAUUGGCUGAGUAAAUGGAACUAUGUGGGUGACAUAGAUAUAAGUUCGGUUUAAUGUAAUGGCACUAAGUGUGCGAUAUAAUUAUAGCUUCCGCUAAUUAAUUGGCACUAAGUGUCGAUAUAAUUAUAGAUUUGGCUAAUUAAUUGGCACUAAGUGUGCGAUACAAUUAUAGCUUCGGCUAAUUAAUUGGCACUAAGUGUGCGAUACAAUUAUAGCUUCAGUUAAUUAAUUGGCACUAAGUGUGCGAAACCAUUAUAACUUCGAUUAAUUAAUUAGCACUAAGUGUGCAAGUUUGUUGAAUGUUCAAGGAUGAUUGAAUGAAUUAAUGUUUCGAGCAUUGAAAUGAUAAGCAUGACAGAUAAGAAGGUAAUGGUACAGGUAUGUACGAAACCUAUGUGGUGGAUGAUGUUAAGUAUGAAGUAGAUGAAAAUUUAUGUAAAUGAAUGGGGAAAUAUUAUUCGGGCCUUUGAGCCUAGCAGGCUAUAAUGUCAGUGAGAUACUAUUCGGGCUUUCGAGCCUAGCAGGCUAUAAUGCUGGUGAAAUGAUAUCGGGCCUCGAGCCUAGUAGGCGAAAUGCCGAUGAUUUGAGAAAAGUCUAAGACUAAGGUACCUCGUGUUAGAUUGACAAAUGAAUACAUUCAAUACGUUAAGAGGGCCAGGUACGCAUUAUGUACUCAUAUGUGAGUUUGAUUUGAAUUGAAUCAUAAGUGUGAUGUGAUACAUAUGUGAAUAAAUGUUAUAACUAUAUAUAUGACCAUGAUACAUUCGGUCAAGGUGUGAAAGUAUGUGAAAGUAUUUGAUUUAUUUAUGUUAUAUGAAUUCUGAUUAAGUGUUAUAAGAAUGAUGAAUAUGCAUUAUGUGCUUGUGUAUAUUCGGCCAGAUGGCAAUAUACUUAAAAUAUGGCCUCUUGAGAAAUUGAAUAAUCGAAGUAUAAUUGUAUUUAUUUGUUUGCGGAGUUCGCCGGAGAUAUUAUCACACUGUCGAGCUAACACUAUGGGUGUAGUGAUUUCAAAUACUUUGAGUCUAUGGCAUGUAUAGGUGUGUAAAUAUUAGAGUAUGUGAUUUGGCUUUAACCAUAUGUGUUGGCCUAUUUUGAUUAUAGGGUUGUAAAUCUAUUUUAAUUAUGCAUGAAUGUGCUAUGGUAUUAUGUGACGAGUUUAUAAUGAUUAAAGCAUGAAUUUUCCAAGUUUUUCUUAAGUUCUCGGUUUAGUCCCGAACCACCCCAGAUAUAUGUUUUGGGUCUCGUGAACCCGUUUAAGGGACAAGAUUGUAUGUGAAAAGAAAAGUUUUUAAUUAUUUGAGAUUUCAUGGCCCUGUUUAGUGUAGAAGUGUUAGUAAAAUUCAAGUAGCACCUCGAACCCCGUCCUAGCGUCGGAUGCAAGCGAGGGGUGUUACAUUUGGUCUAGUGGUAUGAUUUUAGCUUCGGACGCGAGAAGUCUUGUAAUAGCUCGAUUUUUAGUGGUGUCGGAAACAGUGGUUUCAGAGCCACCAAAUCUGGCAAGUAAGUUUGUAAAUAUUAUAUUUAAUAUUUAUGAGUUAUUUUUUAUUUUAAAAAGGUUUUUGAUAUAGUGAUUUUUGUUGUAUAAAUGAUUUAUUAAGUUCAAGUGGUUUUAGAAAAUGAGGUAUUGAGACCUCGUUUCUAUAAACCGAGCCGCAAAUAUUUAUAAAUAUUUAUGGAGUGUAAUUAAGGUGGUAUUAAAUUUUUUUUGGAAAAUUUUAUCGUUUCGAUAGUUAAUUAAGCAAAAAGGGCUAAAUCGCAUAAAGUGUAAAAGUUGUGUUCUAUAAGUAAAGGUAUUAAAUAGCUAUAGAACUUUAAAGUGGAAGUCCUUAUACGGUAAAUAAACCAUUAAAGGUGAUAGUGGAUGUGCAUAGCUUGGCAUUAGUGUAAUUUUUAAAUAGGUAAAAGUAAAAUAGUAAUUUGAUUAUUAAAUUAAAUUAAAUAAAAACCAAAAUGUUAUAUCAUCAUUUUGGUGUCUUCUUCAAGAAUGAAAAGGAAAAAGAGAAGCCAUGGAUGCUGGAAAAUUUCAGCCAUGUUUUUUCAUUGCAUGUAAGCCCUUAAGCUAUUAAUUUCUUGUAAUUUUUAUGUUUUUGAGAGCGUUGCAAUUAGGUCCAGCUAGCCCGUACCUUUGAUUUUAAACUGUUAAAGAUUUUGAAUGUUGCCAUUGAUGAAUCUUGUGAUUUUUGAUGUUAGAUGAUGAAUUUGGAAUGUUGAUUUAUAUUUAAAAGUAUUUUGUUAAGUGGUUUUGAUGAAUUUUUUGAUUAGGGACAAAUUUGUUAAAUUAAUAAAAGUACAAGGAUUAAAUGUGAGAUUUUUGCAUAAAUGGGAUGUUUUGGAUACCAGGAAUUUUUUUCUAAGCUCAAUUUGGGGUAAAAAUGGUUAAUUUGCAUGUUUUGGGCUCAGGGACUAAAUUGAAUAAAAGUAAAACUUUAGGGAUAAUUUUGUAAAAAUGUCAAAAAUGAAAAAAUUGUAUGAAAUGAAUUUUUUAUUGUCUAAAUUAAUAUAUUGAAUGAAAUUAUUAAUUUAGAUCAAGAUCGGGUGAAAAAUCGAGUUAAAUAGUAAAUUAUCAAAAUGCCCCUGAACUUUGGUAUUUCUGUAAUUUAGCCAGGUAAGAUUUUAUGAACUAUACUAUGUAUAUUGUUGAUUAAAUUGGAUAUAUAUAUUAUACAAUUUAGCUUAUAAUGAAACGAGGAAAAUUCAACAACGCACAACGACUAUCGAGUCUCGUUUGAACCUUAGGAAUAUUUAGAAUACGAAUGACAUGUCAUUAGGGGUUACCGUGUUAUGGGUGCUGGUCUUAUAUGUCCUAUCGAUGGCUGAGUUUCCAGCAUUUGUUGCGGUUACUUGACAGCUUGUGUUAGCAGCACCAUGUAGCUACGUCUCGACUGACAGCUUGUGUGAGCAGACCCAGUUAUGGCUCAAGUGAGAGCAUUGAUAUGAGAUAUGAGAUAGUAGUGGCUUCGACCACGUGUAGGCACAUAGUGUGCGAGACUCCAUUGUAUCCGAUAUUAUUCUAAGUGGUUUAACGGGAAAUAUGCUAUUACGAGACGCUAUGAGUUUGAUACAAACUAAUACUAGUAUAUACAUGAAAUAUAUGGAAAUGAUGGUACAUGAUAUAUUGAUAUAUUGAAAUGGAUGAUAUAUGUAUAUGAUGAAACGGAAAGAUAAUGAUAUGUAUCAUGACAUGCACAUAUAUGAAUAUCUUUGAUAUAUUGAUACAUGAUAAUUAUGUAAGUUGAGACAAGUAAUGAACUCAAUUGUGACAUGUUGAGAAAAUAAAAUUAUCAAUGUUGAAUUUAUAUGAAAUAUGUUCAAGUACGCUAACAUGUGUUGCUGUUUGAUGCUUAGGCAAGUGCCAAGCUGUUGGCUGAAUGAUAUUAUGUUUACAUAUAAGUCGUAUUGAAAUGGUAAGUGCUCAAAUGAAAAUAUGCUUAUACUCAUGAAAAAGUGAUAAUGUUUAAAAAUUAUGCAAAUUCUUAGGAAAUGGUUUAUCAUGUGAUUAAUUCUAAAAGAGCUAUGCUUAAAUGCACUACCUUGUGGCUAUGGUUGAUGAUAUGCUUGUGUCUUGUGUACUAUGUAUAUGAAAUGAGUGAUGAAAAAGAGAAUGAUGAGUUGAAUUGAUGAUGUUAUUUAAGCUAAAGAAAGUAAAUGUAAUGGAAAGUAAUGACAUGCAAAUGAAAGGAAGAAAAUUGAAAGAGAUUUAAAGUUUUCAUAAAAUCCUACUUUGUUAAGGAUGAUAGGUAUAAGUGAUGUUGUGGAAUUAUUCAAUUUCUAAGUUGUUGAAUUUGGUUUCAUGAAUCGUGUGGUAUCGGUAUAUGAUUAUUCUUGAUAUGUAUAAAUUUCAUAUUUGAAAUGGAUAGAUAUGAUUAAAGUUUAUACGAGCUUACCUUAGCAUUAUUGCUUACGUAGUUAUUUUUCUUUACUUACAGACUAUUGGAAGCUCGAUUGGGUUGGAAGCUCGUCAAAGAUUUAUCACACUAUCCAGCAAUUAUAUCGGUAGAUUUUGAGGUCUUGGUUAAGGUUAUAAUGGCAUGUAUAGGUAUUUUGGCUAAUGUUAGCCCAUGUGUUUUGGGUGUGGAAAUGACUAUUUGGUUAGUUUGCAUUUUGGCCUUGUGUUGGUAAAAUGAUAUAUAUUAUAAGGUGAAUAUAAUUAGCCUUGUAAUGGUUGAUAUAUGACUUAUUAUGGUUGAAUGAUGGUAGAUAGAAAAGUAGUUGAAUGUGCAUAUUAGAUAUGACAUAUAACUUGUUGUGAAUUGGUGUUUUGCCAUAUUAAGCAUAUAUGUGUUUUGAUGCUAUUGAUUAUGUGGUACGGUUGGUACCAAAUGGUAUGUUUUGGUAAGUGAUUUACAUGUUGUGUAAUGUUGCAAAUUUAGUUAGAAGUCAAUCAAUUAUUUUGGCCAAAUUGAGUACAUGGUUAAACAACCAUACAUGUUUUAAAUGUUGUCAUUUGAGGUGCCUUUGGGCAUAUUGGUUGGAUGUUAUUAUACCAUAUGUGUUUGGUUUGAUUAAGCAUGAUUUUGGUGCCUUUUGAGGGCUCACGUAUAUGUGCAAAAGGGAUUUUAGGUACAUGUUGAAAAGGACAAGAAAAAUGGUUUGUAAAAUAGCCUAUUUUCGUCUACACGGGCAGAGACACGGGUGUGUGUCUUAGCCGUAUGUGACACAUGGCUAAAUAACACAGCCGUGUGUCCCCUGUAGUUUUCAAAGGAUUGUAAGUUAGGUUUUAAGCGGCCUGGCCACACAGCCGUGUGACCCUUGCAGUUUGUAAAUUUUCAUUUUUUCCUUAAAAUUUCUAUAUGUUUUUGUUUUAGUCCCGAUUUAUUUCUAAUGUGUUUUUAAGGCCUCGGGGGAUCGUUUAAGGGACAAUAUGUAUGCUAUUGAUUAGUUUUACUGUGAUUGAUGAUAUGAAUUACAUGUUUUAUAAUUUUUUAUAGUCCUGAAAUGUAAACUCUGGUAAUGCUCUGUAACCAUAUUCUGACGGUGGAUACGGGUUAAGGGUAUUACAAGUCUCGAAUUUAAUUCAAAAUACUUUUAAAACCCUUUUAAUAAGAGUUUUGCAUAAUCAUUUAACUACCAAAAAUAAUUGCCUAGGUCGUGUAUAGAAACAAGUCUAUACUAAAUAUAUCAAUAAAUGUCACAUCUCAAACAUAAAAAAUAUAACAUAAAUUUUUUUAUAACCAUCAUCAUAAACAUGUAUGAAAUUUAAUUCAAAAUCCAACCAUUCAAGCUCAUAGAACUUUUCAUUUACAAUUGUUCAUAAUAUUUCUCUAAAUAAUUAACAUAUGGAAUAGUAUAAAACGUAUGAACGACUACCUUUAACAAUUCUUUGAACUAAAUCAAAUCCGAAUAACCAUAAAAGUCAUUGGUUUAUUAACACAAAUUUGCAUACUAGAUAUGUUUUAAUCAAAUAUAUUAUUUAAUUAUAAAACCUACAAUAGCAACAUAAAUAAAUCAGUUAAUAUUGAUUUUUAUGAACAAAUUAAAUGCUUAAAACAAUAUGUAAUCCAUGUAAUCAAAACUUAAAAAGAAGACCAUCUCAAAAUAUUUAAAUCAUAUAUCAAGUUGAUUUAAUAUUUAAAAACGUAAUUUUUUUCUUUUCUUUUUUUGUUCUGUGUUGAGUCUUGAUAAUAAGAAGUAAGCAAAUUAAACUUCAGUAAUAGACUUUGAAUCCAACCAAAAUCUAUUAAUAGCAAAUUUUGAGAGUGAAUCUUAUUUUCCAAGUAUACAAAAGGUACGUAACCAAUGACUCUUCAUAAAUAAAUUGUCUCUCUUCUUAAAAAGUUCUCGAAAAUUAUUAUUCUUUUCUUGCUUUUUUCAUUUUUUCACUUCUAGUGGUGAGAAAAAAUUAUUACUACAAUCUUCAUGACUAUUAUUAUAGUCCAAUUUACUACAUCCAUGUUAAAAAUUAUGUCUUUCGAAUUUAUUACAUAUUGUUACAUUCUCUUCAGGGAAUUGGGGAAUUGUUAGGUUUCGUAGUUAAAAACUUUUGUUCAAUCAUAAGUAAAUUUUUUUUCAUGAUAUUGCUACCAUAGGGGCACAUUUGAAUCAUGUAAAGUUGAAUAAGUUCUUCCUUGUAAGGUUUUUAUCAGUAAUGUUUUUUCACGUGAUUUUAAUUGAGAACUUAUUUUGAAUACUGUAGAAUUAUACUCACAGUUUUAAAAAACUUGCAACUUCAGGUGUAUCAAACCAUAAUGAGCUUUAGAUAGAUUUACCAUAUUUUAUUUCUUAUAAGUAGAUCUUUAACAGUUAAAUAUUUUGCUUUCAGCUCCUUAAUGAGGAUGAUGACCAAAGGAGAUCACAAAAAUAGUCACAAUUAAUUCAAUUUAAUAACAAGAGUAAUCAAUAACUUAAUCCUCCUUUUUUUUAAUCAUUUCAAAAUAGAUAUUUAUAGCAAUAGUGAUUCAUAUGAAAUAUAAGCUUUUCUUCAUUCACAAUCUCAGUAUGAGAUCCAUUACAAUGAAUAUAUUUUAAAACUAAUGCAUUAACCAUAAAAAAAAUUGUUCUUUUAGAUAUUGAUAUAUUAGGUCUUUUGGAGCUUUCAACUAAUUUUGUACUAUCAAAUAUUGAAAUAAUAUUUGUUUAUUUCAAUAACAAAUAAGGUAAAUAUUUUCUAUUUGUAAUGAUAGAAUUCAUUACUACAUUCUCAUAUCAUUCCUCAAAGAAUAUUAACGAAACAAAAUAUUUGGACAUAUGCCACAUAUGUGGUCAAUAAUCUUUCAUAUCACAUUGAUAACAUAUGUUAUCUUUAACCUUUAAAGAAUUAUCUUGAAAAUUCUCAUUGUUCUUUUAUUUAUUAUUAUAUUCUCACUUUUAUUGGUCAAUGAUUAUAUCUUUCAAUUUCUUUAUAUUUUCUUUCACUCCAGGGAAUGCAACAAAUUUGGUAUGACAAACUUCUAAAUUCCUUCAUUGAUUAUUUAUUUCAUUAUCACAAUCGCAAAACAUGCGUGGAUUUCAAAUCAAAAUCUAUUUAUUCAUAUUAUCAUGAUUAGUCUCAAUUAUAAUAAACAUGAUAUAAUAAAUAAAUCAUAGUAAAAUAUACUUAAGAUUCUUUAACAUCAUUGUUAUCACCCUGGCUAUUAUCACUAGCACCAUAAUGCAUAGGCCUCAAUUGAGGACUUAAAUAACAAUAGCUCUAGAAGGCAAUCGACAAUAGCUUGAGUAGCAAAUUUGAGUAACCGGCUAUUGCAUUAGUUGUUGCUUGAAAGGGGUAAGGCUUGGUGAAAGGGAAAAAAAUUUUGUGACUAAUGAAGAAAAACAGUUAAAAGAUAAUCGUGCUGAUAACGUGUUAUAAAAUAAAUAGACAGAAAGUAAAGAACAAAGAAAAUGAGAGAGAGCAAAAAAAAGCGUAUUUUAUUGAUCAAUCAGAGCAUUUAUAAAAUUUCUUCAAAUUCUCUAUUUAUAUGCAUAAGAAAUAUAAAUGAAGUAGCGAUCUACUUCUAAUGGCUAUUAGAAUUUAAAGUACAUCAAAAAUUAUCUUGAUCUUUAUAGACAUCCACUUAAUAAGAUAUUCAUAACAUGUAUAAUAAUAUUAAUUAUUUAAAAAUCAUAUAACAUAACUUUUUUUUUACUUUUGACUAUCAUAUUUAAAAAGAAUAUUUUAACCAUCAACCAUAAUUUUUUACGGUAAUAGAAAAUAUUAAAAAUUCAUAAACCACAUUUUUUUACCUUAUUUUUCAAAACCACUUUAUUUUUAUUUCCUAUAACUUUUCAAAAGUACUUUUGUGGCCAUAAGAAAUGUUAAACAGACAAAUUCUAAAAACAUUUUUGAAAAACACUUUUUAACCACAACAACUAAUAGAAAACUAUCCCUAAGGUGAUGAAAGGCGACAGAGCCACCCAUAACCAAGCCCAAAUGAGAACCUUCAGCUGAGGAGCUCACUUAAAACAACGGGACUAUGAUAGUUACCUUUAUUUUUUCGAUAAUUGAUAUGUAUCUUAACGUAUCCUUAAUUAACACACUUUAACCAACUAAACGAUAAGUUGGGUUUGCAAGUAAAUGAUUAGCCCUUGGCAACGUGAUCCCAAACUUCUCAGUCAUAUCAAGUUCAUCAGGUAACAUCCCAUCAGUCAACUCCCAAUCAAAGCAAUGAACUAAUUGAGCUAUAAUUAGACGCAUGUUGGUCAACCCCAACUGCAUUCCAGGACAUCCUCUACGGCCACUCCCGAACGGGAUGAGUUGGAAAUCAUGUCCUCGAAGGUCUAUGUUGCUAUCCUUGAACCUUUCUGGAAAGAACUCUUCAGCAUUGUCUGACCAUACUUUGUGGUCUCGCCCCAUGGACCAAACAUUCACUAAAAUCCGCGACUUCUUCGGUAUGAAAUAUCCAUCAAUGGUGAUAUCUUUUGUCGACUCACGUGGAAGUAGUAAGGGUGCCACCGGAUGCAACCUUAAACUCUCUUUGAUGACCAUAUCUAAGUAAGUAAGCUUUGGUAGAUCCGACUCUUCUACCAUUCUAUGCCUUCCAACAAUUCUUUCUAGUUCUUGUUGGAGAGCAACCAUGACUGGAGGAUGCCUUAGAAGCUCUGCAAGUGUCCACUCAAUGGCUGUAGUUGUGGUGUCAAAUGAAGCUGCCACCAUGUCCACCAUUAUGGCCUUGAUGUUUUCUCUACCAAUGAUGUACCGCUGCUCUUCAUCGUUAGGAUUCAUGGGCGUAUUCAACAAUGAAAGCAUUACAUGAAAGAAAUCUGUGUAAGGUUUUUGCUCCUUGGCGUUAGUCCCUUGUUCAUGCUCAUCAAUCAUUUUGUCAAUAAUUGCGUGAAGCCCAUUGCCUAUCCUCUUAAGCCUUCUUCUAUAUCCCUGCAGUGUAAUAUAUUAUUUUAUUCUUCAUUACUGUCAAGUCUUUGUGAAAAUACUAGAUUUAUUUGGUGAAUCAAGUAUUUUAAUUUUUUUUAAUUCGAACCAGAUUAUUUCUGGGAAAGGUGAAGACAUAACCAACUUGAUAUUUUAAUCUUUUAAAAAUCUAUAAAAUCAAAUUAUUCAAACUUAAUUAAACUCUUAAAACAUUUCUUUAUAAUUAGACUAGAUCGGUCGAUUGAACCGAUUGGGCUAAGAGUUAAUAGAGUUAUCGGUCUGGAAUGAAGGGUUAAAUUAAUUGAUCCAUGAAUUAAUACGAACUAAUUGAACCGACGAUUGAAUAAGUUUUCUUUCUUUUUUAAAUAUAUAUUUAUGAUUUUUAAAUAAUUUAUUCAAUUAAAAGAAUGCUUCAAUGGCUUCUUUUGAAACUUAAUUAUUUGUUUUCAAACUCAAGUUUUUUUAUUAUUAUUAUCAAUUAUUAUCAAUUUUUAGUGAAUUACAAUAGAAGGGCAAAGCCCUAACAGCAACGCAAAUAGCGUGAGUUGGACCUAGGUUACACCUAGAGCGGUGAAUAUCCUAAUCAUCAAGUUAACACAUAGGGUUCUUUAUCAGUUUUUUUUUUAACUUCAGCUCUUUGGCUUCGUGACAAACUUUUUUUUUUUAAUUCAAAAGGGUGCUGCUUGACACAUUGGCAACACCUAGAUAAAAAUAAUUUUUUAUUUUUUCUUUCAUCAUGUAUAUCCGUGAAAAUACAGGUAUUUUUUAAAAAAUAUAGUACUGCCUAACACAGUGACGAUACUAAUAAAAAAUUAUUUAAAAAAACAUAAUUAUUAGCCAAUAAUUGAACGAAAAAGUAGGGCGAUGUCACCAAUGUGUCAGGUGGCACCGAUUUACAUUGUAACAAGCAACCCAAUUUCGUAAAUAAAUUUUCCCCAACCCAUUUUUAUAAUUAAUGAAAAUUUUUAUAUUAUUUUUAUAACAAGCGACAUCUUAUACAAUUUUCAUAAUUUAUUUAUUUUUAUAUUAUUUUGAUAAAAGAAAAAAACCCAAGAUGGAGCAAGUAAUUACAAAAUAAAUUGUGAAAAGGAAAACAGUGCAUAUAAAAUAGGAUAAAAUGAGAAAAAGAAAGGAUAUUCACCUGAAGGUCAAGUGGAGCAAGAAAAGGUAAAUAAUCGGACAGAUUAAAAACCCCAGCCAAGAUCAUGGUCUCGUCAAUUAGCGGUUUAAAUUGGAAUUUAUCAUCCAUGGAUUGCCCGAAAAUCACUUUACACAUCAUUACUUCAGUAACCUUACCUACCUUCCGGCUAAGGUCCACCGUCUCACCCGCCGCCACUGCCUUCCUCACCGAUUCAACCAAUGACACCACCUCUUUCUUUCGUACUGGGGCAAAGCAUUCGAUUUUUGAAGCGCCAAGGAAGUGCAAAGUGCACCAUUUCCGUACAGUUCGCCAAUAGGAACCGUAGUGGGUAAAAGCCAAGCCCUUGCCACCGUAGGUCAAGUACUCGGUAGAUUGGAGGUUAGGCCUGGAAGCAAAAACGAGGUCAUGGACCUUGAGGAACAGUUCAGCGGCUUCAGGUGAUGAUACCACAAUGGUUGGCACAUAGCCUAGCUUUAUUGACAUUAUGGGUCCAUAUUUUUUGCCGAGAUGGUGAAGGGUUUGGUGAGGAAGGUUCCCUAGCAUAUGGAGGUUACCAAUAAUGGGAAGAGGAGAAGGACCGGGUGGAAGUUUCCGACCAUUUUUGUGGUGGUUUGGUGGGCGAAAGAAGUAGAUAAAGGAACAAAUAGGUGCAAGGAGUACCAAGAAUAUGGCUAACGUUGAAUAAUACAUUUGGAAUGAGAUAGGAGAGGCAGCCGAUUGACAAUUGCACCACCUGAUACGCCAGUUUAAAUAAGAAAGGAGCAAAUAUGAGUUCCAAGGUCAUCGACAACUGGGUGAAAGUAGGUGAAAGUAGGGGUGAGUAUUUUAUCGAGUCGAGUCGAAUUGAGUUAAAAUAAUUUGAGUUAGUUGAGUUGAUGAAUCCCAUUUUAACAACUGAACUCAAUUUGAAUUUUUUUCAAAUCUAAUCGAAUCGAGUUAAGUCAAGUCGAGCUAACGAAUCCUAUUAUUUUUAUUCAAUGUUGCCUUUACAUUGACCGAUUAUUUAACUAAUAGACGAAAUAAAAGAUUAUUUAACUAAAUAAAAAAAUAUAAUGGUUUUUAAUUUAAUAGUUUUGACUUUUAACUUUAGAAAAUGUAAACAUUUAUUAAAACAACGUAGUUUUGUUUUUUCUUAAUCGGAUUUUUGGAUAACUCAAAUUGUAUAUUUCAUAUUCGAAUUAAACGAAAAAAUUUAUUUUUUUAUUCGAGUUUAUCUGAAUAACUUGAUUAACUCAAAUAACUUGAACUAUUUAAUUCAAAAUUUAAAAUUUUUAUCGAAUUUUACUCCCCUAAUUGAAAGAAGUAAAAGUAGACUUUUAUAUUAGAUUUAUUUAAAAUAAUGUAUUUAAAAUGUGGGUUUCAUGCGUCAAACUUAUAUAUUGAUUGUUAAUACAAAUCUCUGGUGAGGAAAAUUUAGAACACACGAACGGAACUCGAACAGAAAAAGAAAUAGGACAAGGCUCCAAGGCGUGUAUCAAGCCACUAUCUUUAAGGUUAUAUUCGCCCCCACCUAUCUUCGGUGUGCAAACGAGUUUUAAGCAAAUUAACCUCGAGGAUAUAAUAAAGCCAAUGGCUAUUUGCGUUUUGCACUAACGAGAAUAGCCCACUAUACACUGAGCAAUGUAUGACAAGGAACUCAAUUUCUAUAAAGGAUUUCUGCUGUAAUACUUUAUAGAAUAAUCUAAUAUUAUUAGAAUAUGAAGGAAGGAAAGAAACAAUAUUAGAAUUUGUUGGUAUGAUUUCCAAAUGAAAUCUCAUUCCUAUUUAUAGGAAUUUUCAUGUCUCUUUAUAGAGACAUCUUUCAUCAAUCGGUGUCUUUUUGAAUAAUAAUGUCUUUAAAAUAAACACAUAAUUAUUCAUUUAAUUAUAAUUAUUCAAAUAAUAUUAUUUAAAUAGUUAUAAUUCUUUUUUCAAAAAAUCAAAUAAUAUAAUCUUUUGAUUAAUUACACCCAUUCAUUUAUAGUUAUUGGAACACUAUAAAUAUUUAAAAAUGUUCCAAAAAUCUCCCCUCAUUUUCAAAAUAUUUUAGAUUUUGAUAUUCUUGGAAAUCAAUUUGCAUAAAUGAAGGUAUCUUAUGAUUGAACCUUCACUUAGUGAAAACAUGUUAAAAGUUAAUCGAAAUUGCAUGGUAGACUAAGUUUUGAACCAACUAUUUCAUUUGAUUAACCGAACACAUCUCACACAAUGAUUUCAAUAUCGGUCAAUGCAUAGUAUCUAGGGACACUAUUAUGGCCAUGUGUCUGUGUCCUCUUUUCAUGAGUGUUGUCAGAGCUAAGCCCUUGAGAUCCUAGAAGUGGCCACACUCCCACUCACAUAGGUAGAUCCUAUCAAGAGUGUUCCCGUAAUUAUAACACUCUAACAUAUUUAUGUUAUGCUUCUAUUAAGAGUACAUUAGUCAUCCUUCCCUUAUCAUUACGGGUACCUAGCACUUUAAUCUUAGGAUGGAUUUAUUUGUAGUGCUAACAGUCACAUACUAAUGAUGUACUUUGUCUCAUUGAACUCAAGACUUGACGUUAUACCAAGCGUUGAGUCAAGUUUCCAUCAUGGGUGACUCUAAUUAAUGGGCUUGAGUCCCAUCCCUUUUGAGGUCCUUUUUACUGCAUCUCUAGCAAGACUUUUUGUCAAAUGAUCUGCCAAAUUUUCACUUGACCUCACAUAAUUAAUAGUGAUCACUCCAUCAGUGAUUAAUUGUCGGACAUAACUAUGUCUUAAUCCAAUGUGUCUAAACUUUCCAUUAUAUACUUGCCUAUAUGCCUUUGCUAGAGUAGCCUCACUAUCACAACGGAUAGAAAUAGGUGAAAUUGGCUUAAGCCAUAAAGGUACAUCAUAAAGCAAAUUUCUUAACCAUUCUGCUUCUUUAGAUGCAGCGGCUAAUACAAUAAAUUCUGCUGCCAUGGUGGAAUCAGUAACACAUGUUUGUUUCUUGGAACCCCAAGAAAUGGCUCCUCCACCAAGAAUGAAAAUCCAUCCACUAGUAAAUGCAUGAUCUUCCAAACUUGUAAUCCAACUAGCAUCUGAAUACCUUUUUAAAACUGGAGGAUAUCCAUUAUAACACAAUCCAUAGUUAAUAGUUUUCUUUAAGUACCUAAAUACUCUAUUCAAAGCUUGCCAAUGCAAACUACUUGGAUUACUUGUGUACCUACUCAAUUUCCCAACAGCAUAUGCAAUAUCUGGUCUUGUACAAGUCAUUAUGUACAUAAGACAACCAAUUAGACUUGCAUAUUUCAAUUGAUCAAUUUUCCUACUAGUAUUAGAUACUAAUUUUACUUGAGGAUCUAUGGGUGUAGAUGCUGGUAUACAGUUGAAAAGAUCAAACUUUUUAAGCACAUUUUUAAUGUAAUGUGAUUGUGAUAAAGCUAUAAUGCUUUCAUCUCGGGUUAUUUUAAUCCCAAGAAUAACAUCUGCUACACCCAUAUCCUUCACAGUAAAGUUUUUUGACAAAAAUUUCUUUGUGUUUUCUAUUUGUUCCAAAUUCGUGCUAAAAAUGAGCAUGUUAUCUACAUAUCAGCAAAUUAUGACACCUUUUCCAUUUUCAAAUUUACUAUAUAUACACUUAUUGGAUGCAUUUAUUUUAUAGCCAUUAGCUAAAACAACAUUGUCAAACUUUUGGUGCCAUUGUUUUGGUGUUUGUUUAAGUCCAUAUAAAGAUUUAACAAGCUUACAUACCUUAUGCUCUUGUCCUAGAACAACAAAUACUUCCUGUUGUUCCAUGUACACUUCCUCUUCCAAUCCACCGUUUAGAAAUGAAGUUUUAACAUCAAUUUAGUGAACAACCAAAUUAUAUAUAGAGGUAAGUGAUAUUAAGAGUCUAAUUGUAGUAAUUCUUGCUACUGGAGCAUAGGUAUCAAAGUAAUCAAUACCUUUUCUUUGUGUAAAACCUUUGGCUACCAACCUUGCUUUAAACUUAUCAAUGGUUCCAUCAACCUUCAUUUUCUUUUUGAAGAUCCAUUUACAACCUAUUGGUUUGGAACCCGGUGGAAGAUAAACUAAAAUCCAAGUUUGAUUUCCUAUUAUUGAAUCCAUCUUAUCAUUUAUUGAUUCUUUCCAAAAAGCAAAGUCUUUAGAUUUCAUUGCCUCUUCAAAUGUAAUGGGAUCAGAUUUCGUAUUAUAACAAUAAGGUAUCUUAUUGCAUAUACUUUCACCUUGUCCUUCUACAAGAAACAUAAUGAAAUCUGGUCCAAAAUCUUUGACUUUUUUAAUCCUCUUACUUCUUCUUAAUUCUUAACAAGAUUCAUCAUUAUUAUUAAUUUGUUCCAAUGGAAUCUCAUUCUCAUUUGAAGAAUGAAUCAAUUGUUGUGGUUGUAAUUGUCUUGAUAUAGAAUCAAAUCUAUUUUCAUCAAAAAUAGCAUCUUUUGAUUUAAUAAUAGUAUUAAUUGAAAUUGAAUCAUUUGGUUCAAUUACCAUGAACCUAUAUGCCUUGCUAUUAUGUGCAUAUCCUAUAAAUAUGCAUUCAAUUGCUCUUUCACCUAACUUUUUACGUUUAGGUGUUGGAACUUUAACAAUAGCUCUACAACCCCAAACCUUCAAAUAAUUAAGGUUUGGUUUCCUUUUCUUCCAUUGUUCAUAAGGGGCUAUUUUAGUUUCCUUAUUAGGAAUUCUAUUCAAUAUAUGACAAGCUGUUAGAACAGCUUCUCCCUAAAAACCUUGUCCAAGAUCUAAAUAUGAUAACAUUGAAUUUACCAUUUUAGUCAAGACUCUAUUUUUUCUUUCAGCUACACCAUUUUGUUUUGGUGUGUAAGGGGCUGAAACUUGAUGGACAAUCCCAGUGGAUUCAAAAUAAUUUGGAUUAUAGUAUUCUCCACCUCUAUCCGAUCUUAAGCACUUGAUAAAUGAUUCAAACUGAAGUUCAACUUCAGAUUUAUAAACUUUAAAUUUAUCAAGCACUUCAUCUUUUGAAUGCAAUAAAUAUACAUAACAAUAUCUAGAAUAAUCAUCAAUAAAAGUAACAAAAUAUUUUUUUUCACCUAAUGUAGGAGUAUUAUGCUGGUCCUAUAAAUUACUAUGUAUCAAAUCAAGCAAUUUUGUUUCUCUUUUAACCUUAGGGAAAGGGUUUCUUGUAAUUUUAGUCAACAUACAUGUAUUGCAUUUUUCAAUAUUAUUAUUAAAAACAGGAAUUGAAUCUAACUUAUACAUGUCAUUCAAUUUCCUAUAAUUCAAAUGACCUAACCUAUAAUGCCAUAAACAAAAAGAUUCAACCAUAUAACCAGAAAUAGUAUUUUUAUUCUUAUUAAUAAUAUUCAGUUUUAACAUACUCUCAUACAUAUACCAUUUCCCUACAAAAAUUCCUCCCUUAGACAAAAUAAACUUAUCUGCCUCAAUUUAAUAGACUUCCAGAGACUAAAUUCUUUCUAAAUUCUAGUACAUAAUAUACAUCAUUUAAGGUUAAAACUUUCCAGAAGUGAAUUGUAGUUCAACAGACCCUUUGCCUUUGAUUGCUGCGGUGGAAGAAUUUCCCAUGUACAAGACAUUGUCAUUUUCACAUUGUGUGAACUUUGUGAACAUGCUUUUGUCUUUGCACACAUGUUUGGUUGUUCCAGUAUCAAUCCACCAUGUAUCAUCAUCUUGUGCGAUAUUAAUUUCAGAUAUCAUUGCAAUGAACUUUUCGUUAUUAUCAGCCUUAGAAGAUGAUUUCUUCUUUAAAAAUCGACAUUCAUUCUUGAAAUGUCCCUGCUUACCACAAUGAUAGCAUGAACCGUUUUGUUUCUUUUUUAACUUAGGUGCUCUAUCAGUCUGUGUGAACUUUCUCUUGAAUGGUUUAGUAGUUUGUACUUCCUCCGUAACAUGCACUUUGGCAUUUUCAGAAUUUAGAUUUUGAUCUUGCUUUCGGUAUUCUUCUUCAAUACGAAGAUGAUUUGCCAAAGCCUUAAGAGAUAUUUCCUAUUUCUUAUGUUUUAGACUUCUUUUAAAGUCUUUCCAAGAUAUAGGAAGUUUUUUCUAUUAUGGAGGAUACAACAAUCAUUUCAUCCAUUUUCAUACCAUAUUGUUUGAAUUGAUUCAGCUUUUUUUCAAUACCACGGAAUUGUUCCAUAACAGAACGACCAUCAACCAUUUGAUAAUUAUUAAAACGACUGACAAGAAAUUUCUUACUUGUAACAUCUUCAGUCAUGUAUCUGGUCUCCAAUUUGUCCCAUAUUUCUUUAGCGGUGACCUUGUUUUGGUAGGUGUCAAACAAAUCAUCAGAUAAACCAUUCAAUAUGUGGCCCAUGCACAUGUAAUCAACAUUGUCCCAUUUUUGUCUUUCUCGGAUUCAGCAACAGAUUCGUUUUCAGAACAAUUAUCAAUAAAAGUAACAAAAUAUUUCUUUCCACCUAAUGUAGGAGUAUUAUGCAUGUUACAUAAAUCACUAUGUAUCAAAUCAAGCAAUUUUGUUUUUCUUUUAACCUUAGGGAAAGGGUUUCUUGUAAUUUUAGUCAACAUAUAUGUAUUGUAUUUUUCCAAUAUUAUUAUUAUUAAAAAUAGGAAUUAAAUAUAACUUAUACAUGUCAUUCAAUUUCCUAUAAUUCAAAUGACCUAAUCUAUAAUGCCAUAAACAAAAGGACUCAACCAUAUAAGCAGAAAUAGUAUUUUUAUUCUUAUUAAUAAUAUUUAGUUUGAACAUACUCUUAUACAUAUACCCUUUCCCUAUAAAAAUUCCUCCCUUAGACAAAAUAAACUUAUCUGCCUUAAAAACAAGUUUGAAACCAAACUUAUUUAACAGACUUCCAGACAAUAAAUUCUUUCUAACUUCUGGUACAUAAUAUACAUCAUUUAAGGUUAAAACCUUUCAGAAGUGAAUUGUAGUUCAACAGACCCUUUGCCUUUGAUUUCUGCGGUGGAAGAAUUUCCCAUGUAUAAGACAUUGUCAUUUUCACAUUGUGUGAACUUUGUGAACAUGCUUUUGUCUUUGCACACAUGUUUGGUUGCUCCGGUAUCAAUCCACCAUGUAUUAUCAUCUUGAGCCAUAUUAAUUUCAGAUAUCAUUGCAGCGAACUUUUCGUUAUUAUCAGCCUUAGAAGAUGAUUUCUUCUUUAAAAAUCGACAUUCAUUCUUGAAAUGUCCCGGCUUACCACAAUGAUAGCAUGAGCCCUUUCGUUUCUUUUUGAACUUAGGUGUUCUAUCAGUCUGUUUGAACUUUCUCUUGAAUGGUUUAGUAGUUUGUACUUCCUCCGUAACAUGCGCUUUGGCAUUUUUAGAAUUUAGAUUCUGAUCUUGCUUUCGAUAUUCUUCUUCAAUACGAAGAUGAUUUGCCAAAGCCUUAAGAGAUAUUUCCUCUUUCUUAUGUUUUAGACUUCUUUUAAGGUAUUUCCAAGAUGGAGGAAGUUUGUCUAUUAUGGAAGAUACAACAAUCAUUUCAUCCAUUUUCAUAUCAUAUUGCUUGAAUUAAUUUAGCAUCUUUUCAAUAUUACGGAAUUGUUCCAUAACAGAACGACCAUCAACCAUUUGAUAAUUAUUGAAACGACUGACAAGAAAUUUCUUACUUGUAACAUUCUCGGUCAUGUAUCUUGUCUCCAAUUUGUCCCAUAAUUCUUUAGUAGUGACCUCGUUUUGGUAGGUGUCGAACAAACCAUCAGAUAAACCAUUCAAUAUGUGGCAUAUGCACAUGUAAUCAGCAUUGUCCCAUUUUUGUCUUUCUCAGGUUGCAGCAGCAGAUUCGUUUUCAGUCUCGUCAGGUCUUAGAGUAUCCAAAACAUAAGCAAUCUUCAAAGUUGAUAAUAAGAAGUGCAUCUUUUUCUGCCAUCGUCGAAAAUUGCCUCCAUCAAACCGAUCAAGUUUGACAAAAUUCGAGGCCAACUCCCUUAGUGUUCCACUUUCAUGAGUUGUGGUAGUCAUCAUGAAAUAUAACCUUAAAAUUGUUAGUACAAAUUUCCAGUGAAGAAAAUCUCGAACACACGAAUGGAACUCGAAUAGAAGAAGAAAUAGGACAAGGCUUCAAGGCGUGUAUCAAGCCACUAUCUUUAAGUUUAUAUUCACCCCCACCUAUCUUUAGUGUGCAAAUGAGUUUCAAGCAAAUUAACCUCGAGGAUACAAUGAAGCCAAUGGCUAUUUGUGUUUUGCAUUGACGAGAAUAGCCCACUACACAUUGAGCAAUGUAUGACAAGGAACUCAAUUUCUAUAAAGAAUUUCUGUAGUAGUACUUAUAGAAUAAUCUAAUAAUAUUAGAAAGUGAAGGAAAAAGAGAAACAAUAUUAGAAUUUGUUCGUAUGAUUUCCAAAUGAAAUCUCAUUUCUUUUUAUAGGAAUUUUCAUGUCUCUUUGUAGAGACACAUUUCAUCAAUAUGUGUCUUUUUGAAUAAUAAUGUCUUUAAAAUAAACACAUAAUUAUUUAUUUAAUUAUAACUAUUCAAAUAAUAUUAUUUAAAUAGUUAUAAUUCUUUUUUCAAAAAAUCAAACAAUAUAAUCUUUUGAUUAAUUACACCCAUUCAUUUAUAGUUAUUGGAACAUUAUAAAUAUUUGAAAAUGUUCCAGCAUUGAUUGAGAUUGAUGCUUAAUAUGUUUAAAAGAAUUAUACAAAUGCUUAAUGAAAAUAUGAGUAAAUUGAGUUACUAAGUAAUUAAAUUAAAUUUAACCAAGUAUGUAAAACUAAUUAAAACAAUAGCAUAAAAUGUAAUAGCAGUAAAAACAAUUACACAAGUUUCAAUAAAAAUGACAUGAAAGGCUAGAACAAUUAUUUCCUCCUAACAUGCAAUCAUAGAAAGCAAUGAUGUAGAAUGUUGUGUUGAUGCUACGGUGAUAUGGUAGUUUACUAAUUCGGAAUCCACUGAUUGUAGGCAUCUCUCCAAGUCACUAUCCUAAAUCUUCUAAUCACCUUAACAUGUCUAUGCCAAGGUAACCUUAAGAUCAGAUUUUUAGGCGUCAUUUUUAAGGAUUAUGCGAGGUAACACUAUAUGUCUAUACAAUUACAAAUUUAAUUACUAGAAGAAUUAAACAUGCACCUUUUGAGUUGUAUGUCUAUUAAUUACCAUAUUCUCAGAUGUAAUAAUUAACCCAAUUGCUUACUAAUAUUACCUGUGCUUUAGCAAGUGUUAAAUGUGAAAACUAUUCAAAUGAACAAACAACCAAUUGCACAAAACAUUAUUAGCAAAGCAUCAAUAAUUUCAUGCUAAGGAUCCAUAAAUAUUCUAGCAUAAAAAUAUAAGUCAUAAUCAUUAAAGUGAAAACCAUCAAACAAGUUGCAGAUAUGAUUUUAAAACAACAGAAGAAAGAAUAAAUAAGAGAAAGAAAGGAUGAUUAGUCGAGUGUUGGUGGUUCUCCACAACUAGCUCAUGUUUGUUUCCUUAAAAGCUUUCUGCAUCAUUCUCAGCCUCAAUGCUCUCACUUUUGUGUUUUGAUUUUCCUACUCUCAAAUUCAAUGUGUUGCGUUCAAUUUUGUUCUCUUGUGUUCUCUGUUUGUCGAGUUUUGUCCCUAUUGCUGAAAUUUACUCCUUAUUUGUACUGUUGAGCUCCCCUCAUCUUUUCUAUUUUUAGGCGUAGUGGUUCCUUAAUUUCUUUUUUUGUUAUAGUGGUUUCGUGAUUUUUGCUUCCCACAAUCUGACAGUAGACUAAGUCUCUUGAGCACAUGUUGAAAUUUGACUAGCCAUGCCACAUCUUGUAGAUUUGUAAACUAGCAAAGUGCAAGAUGGGAACUGUGACGUGAGAUCUCCAUGCAUGCAAGCUGUGAACUACGAGCUCUAUGUAGGUGAGCAGUAUAUGCGACCUUAGGAUUUUAGACUGUUUACUAUAUAUAAGCAAGCUGCAAACUGUAUACGACGAGUAGUAUUGUAGGUGAGCAGUGCAUGUAAGCUGAGAACGCAAGCUAUGUAUUAUGAGCUAUAUACUAAGAACUCCCCGUUAAUAGGUGCUGCUUGCGAAUUAUGAAUGCGAACUGGCUAGCGUACAGGUGUAGUGGGAACAGCCUUGUGAACAGGUAAAGUGUGAACAAACAAAAUGUAUGCUGCAAGCAGAGAGCUUGAAAAUUGAGAUGGAACUGUGAACUGGUAAAGUGCGAGCUGUCUCAAGCACUGCAUGUAAGCUGCAAACAGUCGAAUUGCGAGAUAUCCAUGAGCAAUGAAUGUGAGUUGAGCUCUAAUUGCAAGCUAUCCACAAGCAAUUUAUGCAAGUUGAAGUCUCAUCAGCGAAAUGAUAACUGUGAGCAGUAUGCAAGUAAUGCGUACUCCCUGCAGCUGAAGUUUUGAUGCGUGCUGACUCUAUUUUCUCUGUUGUCCUUUUACUUUUGUAACACCCUGAAUUUUUAGGUUAUAGGUUUUGGGGUUUUGUGGUUAGUGUCUGUGUGAAGGAUGUGUUUUUGUGUUUAGUUGUUUACUUUGGUGUCAGAAUGGGCUUGUUGGUCUGGUGGUGGAGCGAGUGUUGGUGUACCUCGAGGUUAUGGGUUAGAGUCCUCAUGCGUGUUUUGAGGAAUUAUUUUUAUGUGACUUCAAUUUGUUUUAGAUUAAAGAUAUUUACUUAUUUUGUUACUUUCUAUUAUUUUUUUUAUUUUUUAUAAUUUUUAUUAUUUUUGUCUUCUUGGCUGGAACCUUUUUAUGUCUUUUUGUUUUCCUCUUUCUUGGGUUUCUUUCUUUUUGGCCUUGCUACAUUCCUUUCAGAAAUAGAUUCUGGAAAAAUUUCACUCCUCGUCGUCAAGUCAGUCAUUUGGACACUUCUGAUCACGAAUCAAGUGUGGGUUUGAAACUCUUCAACUCUAUUUGUGAAUUGUUUAAUUUGGGGAAAAUUCGUGUGUCAGUUUCGAUUAUGGGGUAAUCAUAAUGUGGAUUUGAUACUAAAUUGCAUCAAAUUCAGGUUACUAUAAUAUGUGUUGAUCUUAAUGGGUUUAGGGAGUGUUUGGGGGUGGAAUUCAUAUUUUGCAGGUUGUUUUAAGAUGGUUUCGUGACCACUAGGGCGACCACACGGGCGUGUGCCUAUUCGCAUGGCCGUGUGGAAUUAGGGAUUAGGGUUUUUGAGCAAAAUUUGGUUUCACACGAUCGUGUGGCCGAUUUGAGGAUUUUUUUCAUUUUUCACACGGCCGUGUCUUCUGAACACACGGGCGUGUGAGUUUGAGAAUUAGGGUUUGAGUGAUUUUGUGCCAUACGGCUUGGUCAUACGACCGUGUGGCUGAUUUAAGAUUUAGGGAUCCCACACGAGCAUGUGUUUUGGACACACGACUGUGUCUAGUGGGCACACAGACGUGUGACACCCUUACAUGGCAGUGUCAGCCCUGUACUCUAAGUUAGUGCAAAUGGACAAAGAGUUGCACGACCUGUUCCCACGACCAUGACCUUAGCUCACACGGGCAUAUACCUUAGUCAUACGACCGUAUGCCUCUCUUCACACAGGUGUGUACCUAUGCCACAAGGCCAUGUGCCCCUCCUCACAUAGGCUUUUGAUCUCCCAUACGGCCAGAGUACAUGGGCGUGUGGUUUUAAGACACUUAUAUUGGUUUUUUGUGCAUUUCUGAUCUGAAUAGGUGUUUGUGUGUGCUCCGACCCUUAGCUAAGUUUAGUGAGGGUGUUCAAGACUCGAUAUCUGUAAUGAUUGUGUGUGAUGUAUGAUUUUGAAUCUGGUUUGUAGGGUGUGUUGCAUAUUUGUUCCGUCUGACUGACUGUGUAAGAGUCUCUGUUCUCUGAAUUUGUGUGCAAGCAUACACUUGCAUAAAGUUAAGGAUUUUGGGUGGGUUUGUGAAGAGAAUGGACUCUAAUUCUGAUUUGGAUCUAGUAGUUCUACUGCAUUUUUACUCGUAAAUCGCACUAUACUACAGGUGCGUCAGCUUUGAUGCAUACUAUUAUCUGUUAUAGCAGUUAAGACUACAACUUGUCUGUAUAGAAAAUUACCACAUUGCAAUGUACGGCACAUACGCCAGCUUUGCUAUGUAUUUUUAUCUAAGUGGCUUAGUCCACAUAUGUGGUGUGUAGGGUUGGAUGGGCCCUCGAGGUCCUAUGUGGUGUGUUUCGGCUAGAUAAGCUUAAACAACUCUUGUAGGUUGUGAUCGGGGGAUGGAGAGGUGUGUUGGCUGGAUGGGUGGGUUUUAUUUGAUAGCAUUUCAUCCAUGUCUAUUUGUAUGUUCUGGGUGCCUAACUGUUUGACUAUACUUUGUUUGUCUGUUUGUGAAUUGAUAUGAGUGUGAUUUCUAUUCUGUUGGGACGUUAGUUCCAAGUUUCUUCUGACGCGGUGAUGUAAUACUGAUUUGAAUUCUGAAAAUGUGUUUUUAGUCUUGUUUCGUUCUCACAUUGAGCUCGACUAGCUCACCCCCUCUUAGUGUUUCCCUUUCAGGUACACUUCCGUUUUCUGCAGCUAGGCUCAGCAAAUCGGAGGUCUUAGAGACAUCACAUUUUUCUUUUACUGGUUAGUAAAAAAUUUCUUAAAAUCUAAGUUUUAUGUAAAUGGUUUUUGAUUGUAAACUCUGUUUUAAACGCUGUGGUUUGAACUAUUUUAAAUUAAACUAUUUGAAUUAAACUACUUUGUGUUGAAUAUUUGGACUUGAUAACUGAAUGGUUUUGUGUAACUCACUGGGUGUUUUCUAACUAGAUAAACUAAAAUUUUACCUAGAUCACUUCGGUGAUCAAUGUGACAUCCGGGAUUUGGUCUAAACUUCUAGGCUGGAUUUAGGGUGUUACAACUUUAUUUUGCCCAGUAGCUGUCAUGGUGCUCUUUGAGCGUGAGCUGGCUUGUUCCUAUUGGUCUUGAGGCUUGUCAUAUUGCUGCGGAAUUGUUGUAUUCAUUGAGUAAUAUCCACUUUCAAAGAUAAAAGUGUGUAUUUUAGCGUGGAAAUUUACCAAAAAAACAAUAUUCAAGUCAAACGUUUCAAUAUCAGAUAUUCAAUAGAAAUAUAACAUAAAUGGCUACUAAACAUGUAACACCCCACACCCGGCCUAGAAGUUAUGACCCAAGUGUGAAGGUGGCAUUGAUAAAUUUAAAACUUAAACCCUUUGUCCCUAUAACAAAUCUUAUUUCGGAAAAUGAAAACUCAGAAAACGAAUGGUCAAAAAACAAUAAUAUUAGCUAAACCUUUCGUGCAUUCUUUAGAAAAUCUUAUGCUCAAAAACACUUAUUUUAUUGUAAAAUCACUUAAUCACUUUCUUAGUUUGGCAGUGGAAAAUUUCUAGGGUUUUAGCUAAAAACAGAAAUUCAAUUUGUUAACUUGUGUGAUUUUCCAGUUUUAUGUUAAAAAUACCCAAAAACCGACGAAAAAAAUCUAAAAGAAACAAACUACAGUCCAAAAGUCCAUUAAAGUUAAUUACGUAAACCAUCAUAUUUAAUGAACCGAAAAAAACAAUCUGAGCUCCCGCAGUCCGUCCAAUCCUAAAUUUGUUGAUUACCUAAAAGGUCAAAUACAAAAGGGCGAGCUAACAAGUUCAAUGUGUAACUAAACCCAAACAAAAACAGAAAUAACAUAAUAACCAAUUAAACAUUGUAGAGAAUCUUAUCAAACUCGCAUGGAAAAAGCAUGCAUGCAUGAUUACGUCAAUGCAAUAUUUUACGAAAACAAAAUGUAGAUUUUUCAGAAAACUUUCUACCCAACUCUGCUACACACCAAAUUAGAGUUCCCAGAAUUCGUCCAUCCAAAAACACACCAACAGAUAAUUGUGGACAAAGCCACCAAAGUUGCAGUUAAAAUUGUCAUAUCAGAUAUAUGUAGUCAAGCCACUAUAUUACAACCAAGCUGCCAGAAUAGAAGUGUGGUUAAACCACCAGAUAGUGCAGAUUAUUAAAUUACUAGAUCUUCCUCCUUACCAUAUUAUCCCAACCCCAUGCGAUGUGACAUGGCAUGUAAGUACAAAAACAAAAUAAUAAGCAUGUUGAACAUGCAUUCAUAUCUUUAACAGAAACCAGUAAGCAUGCUAUUUCAUGCAUUGUAGAUAAAAAUAUAUCAAAUUACAAAUCACUUUAACCAGAAAAACCACAAUGUCACAUGCUAUGGAAUUUAAACAAAGCAUAACUCAUCAUUAAACAGAGAUACAUUGCUAAACAGAAAACAAGUAAUAGAACUCCCAAAUUUACAAGUCAGAUACGAAUCACACACUAUUGACACGCUUGCAAAUGUUACACAUGCGAUAUCAAUCUUACGAAUAUCAAAUACAAGAGUCACACAUACUAUACACAUCAUAUUUUCGGAUAUUAUACUAACAAAAGCAGAAUAUCAAAUCUCACAUUUUAUAGUCUCAUUUAUACAGUAAAAACCCUACGGAAGGCCUAAAUUGGAUUCGCACAUCAAAAACGACCCUAAGGUAAAAUUUCAGAAAAUUGGCCCACACGACCCAAUUGGCUAUCUCAUGUGGACCACACAGCCCAAUUGACCUAGCUCGUGUGGCUCACAUGGCCUGCCACACGACCGUGUGACAUCGAUAAUGGGCUUUUCGGUAUCGUGUGGUUCCCUGUUUUUCGAGUUUUUUUGUUACACUCCCGAUCGUUAUGACACACAUCCAAACCCUAAAACAACAAUUUAAUUAGGUUAAUUAGCAACACUAUACAAAAUAUCCAAACACUAUAUCGGCCAUACACACAUACUAAACAUUCUGCAUUAGCCCCAAAAAUCAGCCCCUUAUAAACUUUUGGUCACUUACCCCCGAUUGAAGAAACAAUUCCUAAUGCUCACUAAUUUCCAGAGGAAUGCAUGCCCCACGUUCCACACCUACAAGAACCACAAAGAAAAACUAUUAGCGUCCACAACCAGAACACCUCAGUAACACGACAACCUUGCCUUUUACCAUGAACAGAUCUCACUUACAAUAAUAUUAAUAGACAAACACAAUUGAAAUCCAAAAUUCGCUUACCACACUCAACCAAUAAUGGAUCCGGAAGAAAAUUGACACAGCAAAAAAGGUCCGAAUGAUAAUAGAGCAACAGAUAACAAUAACAAAAGAGAAAGAAAGAAAGAAAGAGUUGGAUUGCUUAAUAAGAAGGUAUAGACGAUUUUGGGAAAGAAAAAGAAAAAGAAGGAAAGAAGGAAAAGAAAAACGACAGAAAACUUUCAGAGAGAAUAAAACCAAUGUGAAAACAAAACUCGGUCAAAUGGAGAAAGAGGAGGAGAGAGUGGUAAGUUGUGGCUUUACCAUUGAACUAGUAGACUCAUUCUUGUCAUCAGUUGAGCGAAAAUAUUAUUUAUGCCAGAUGAUUUAAGGAUAGGGGUUAGGAAAAAAUAAUAAAAAUUAAAAAAAAAAGAAUCAAACGCAAAACCUCUCACACACAAGCACAACACCUAUCCACUGAACCAAAUAACUUCACUUGAUAUAAUUUUCACAAUCUUAACUCAAAAUAAAGAUGUUAUCACUCUUGGUUUCACUAACCCAAUUUCUACUAAUCAGGUUUUUGGGAUGUGACAAAACAGUUAUCAAUCCCUCUUAACUCGCUCGAAAUAUAAGCUUAAAAGUACAUUAAUAACUCUAUAUAUUAGAGUUAUCAUUUACCAUAAAAAAAUUCAACAUGGCCACAUCACCAUUUAACAGAAAAGAAUUUAACGAACGGGCUAAUUUACACGUUUCAAAACGCAAAAAGAUUAAUUUACCCGAUUUUUUUCAAUAAAAGAGCCAAAAUGCAACCUGCUCUAAGGACAUCGGCUUCCUUAGUACUUUUACCUAAGCAGUAUUGAUUCAUAAAUCAUGAUCUUUGGGGAUUUGAUGCCUACUUUUACCUAAUGCCUUGUUCAUUAACUUUCUCUACUUCAAAGGAGUUUCUAAGAGCAAUCAAUUCAAAUUUCACUUCAUUGGCAUGAACAAAGAAAUGUGAAAAAAUCAAUUAAGUUCUUGUAUUAAAUUCGCACUCGAUUCCCUGUUAUUCAUUAAACAAUUAAUUAAGCUCAUUCGUUAACAAAAUUUGUGGUUAAUCAUGUUGGCUGUUAAAAUAAAUUGAUAGACCAAUCAGGCAGUGAUGUGGUUAAUUCUAGUUUAAUGUAAUAUUUUCUCGUAAAAAUUAAAAAAGAUUAAAAAUAUAAAAUUAUUAAAAAUUGGAAAUAUUAAAAAUAUAUAUUAAAAUUGUUAUAAGAGUUAGCCUUUGGUAAGUUAGCCUUUGGUACAUUGACAAUGUACUUUUUUUUAUUCCACAAGUAGUCUUAAAAAUUUUUCAUGUGUCUCUAUUUUUUAAGUAUUUUAUUUUUUAAUAUUUUACUAUACCCCUACAACACACUUGUCAACUCCUUGGCUUUGCUUAUGGAAUCUAAAAACUCCAUUGAUAAUGUAUCAAAUAUUUUAUUUUGAUAUAAACUUAUAAAAAUUAUUAAAAAAUAACUUAUAAAUAUUAUAAAAAUAUAAAAAUAAAUAAAAUUAAUAAAAACAUACUUAAAAUUAGGUUUGUAUUUGGUACACUAGCACUAUACUUUUUUUUUAUUCUGCAACCAGCUUUACAGAAUUACCAUGUGUCUUUUUUUUAUACUUAUUUUUUUAAUAUUAAACUAUAUCAUUAUAGGAUACUUGUCAACCUCUUUGACUCUGCUUGUAGAGUUUAAAAACUCUAGUAAUAGUGUACCAAAUAUUCUCUCUUUAAAAUUUUAUAAAAUGUAUAAAAAUUCUUAAAAGUCAUAAAUAAUUAGUUAAAAAUAGUAAAGGUAUCAAAAAAAAUAUUUAAAUUGAUAUAAAAUUAUAAAAAAAUAAAAAAAAUCAUAAAAACUUGAACAUAGCUAGAUUAGUCAGAUAGACCGGUUAGACCGAAAUCGAAAAGCGUACUAGUUUGAAGAAAGCCAUUACACUAGUUAACUUAAAAAUCGGGCCAUUGAACCGAUUUUUUAAUAUUUUUAUAUAAUGUUUUAUUUAAUUAAACUCAACAGACCGAUUGAACAGGCUGAACUAACGAACCUAUGGCCUGACCAGUUCGAUCACUAGCUUGGUUCUGAAAAUCUUGGUCAGAAUAUUUCAUACUAAUAUCUGCUAAUAGUUGGAAAAUGAAAUUUUGGUUUGAUAGUACCUAAUUGUACCAAAAGUUCUUUAUAUCACACAAUACUUAGCAAUUAAAUUUCAAAUUUUCAAGGUCCAAAUUAUUAUAUUGUAAAAAUUAGUGAUAAAAUUUUAAAAAUAAUAAUAAUUUAUCCAUAAAAAGAGAGAAUCCCAUAGUUAUCAUUUUAUUUUGGAAUAUCAAGAAAUGUCACGUCUUAAAAUAAAUGGGGUUAAUUGAAAUGAUUAAAUAAGAAAUGAGCCUUAGGAUUAAUGGUUAACUAUUAGUUCCCCUUCUUAGAGGUCUUAAGUUUGAGCCCUCUCCUUCCAUUUCAUUUUCUUAUGAUUUUUUGGCAAACAUGGGUAAAUUACUAGUGCCGCCCCUAAAGUUUACUAACCCCAGAUAUUUUGUCACAUCCAAAAAAUAGGUCUAGAUAAAAUAGGGCUAAAAUUUGAAUUUUUUAAAGCAUAGGUUAAGAGAAUUAAAAUGCUUUAAAAAUUAUUUUUGUUAAGAAUGAGUUUAUUGGUUCAGUGGCAAGGUCUUAGCUUACCCAUAGGACCUAAGUUUGAAAUCUCUUGCGAGCAUUCAGCAAAAAUAUUUUAUUUUCCUAUUUUAAGUUAUAAAAGUGCCAAAUUUACAAAAUAACCUAGCCAAAAACUUUUUUUUCACUUUAGUCCUUAUUUCAAAAUUGUCUUUGUAACAGCCCAAAUUUGCCCGGGCCCGUGUAAUGAAAUAAACAAAAUAAAUAAAUGUCCAUGUUGUAAAUGUCCAGUAUACAAAUGGGCCUAAAGGCCUGAUGACUUAAGAACCAUGUAGCCUAAGAACCUUAUGCCCGGUUACACCUAACCCACAAAUGGGCACGGCCCAAGGAGGCCCAAAUUACAAAUAGAGGAUGGAAGACCUAGGAUUUCUGAAACCCUAGGCGCCGCAAACGCUAGAGGAAGGUUCCAGAAUUCGCGCAGCAAGCACGCCAAUCGUCACACCCUUUUUGCGCCGUUCCAGUGACCUUCAUCAACACCUCCAUCAGUGUCGUGAUUCCAGGCUCCGUAUCGUGCCGUGAUCGGCGCAUGGAUCAAUGCCAGCCCACUCCUCGCCGUGAGAUCCUCGAUGGUACCUACAAAAAAAGGAAAGAGGAGCAGCAAAGACAAAUGCAAAUAUGGCAAGAAUCGAGCAGAGAAUAUACAAACAUGCAAAUAGAGGCUAUAAAAGCCGAAUGAUUUCAUUGUAACUGGGAAACCUUUUUUUGAUAUACACGAAAAUAUAUACAAAAGAGAACAGAUAUACGGAUAUUCAGAGAAAUUCAAGCAGUUUCUUUAAAAGGUGACUUAAGUUUCAUAUUCUGUUAUCUAUGGUUCAACAUGUAUGCGAAUUAUUUUGGUAAAAAAUUGGUAUUUUAAAAUGGGAAAAGGGGUUACCUGCGAUUCGCCAAGGAAAGUGAAGGUUUUGAACCUUCCAAACCGUCAUGUACGGUGGCACGUGUAGCGCGUGGACGCAUGAACCCAGUGACCGGAGUCUGGUCCAACAGGAGGUCGGAGAAACCUGGAAAGGCUCUCCUAUUCUCCUUCUCAGAGAAUUUUCUUUGUUUUUUUUUAAACAUGGAACCUUUAUUGAUAGCCCAUACGACGUCGUUUUAGAAUGGCCGUUUAAUAACCAAAACGACGUCGUUCCAAAGUUAGGAUCCGCGCAUUGACUCAAGACCCAGGUAGGAUCCGCGCAUUUUUGUUUAAAGGGCUAAUUUCCCAAUUGAGCCUUCCGCAUUUUUAUGUUUUCUAAAAUUCAUUUUAUUUUUAUUUUAAUCUGGCCAUAAACUUUUACAUUUAUUGUAAUUUGGUCCUAAUAGCCAUUGUAAGACAUAUGCCGAGAACGAUGUCGUUUUUGUGGGAUUAGGGAUAAUUUCCUAGUGAGUCCCUCAUUUCUAAUGCGCAUUUCAAUUAAACCCGAAUUUUUUUAUUUAUUUGUAAUUAGCCCUAGUUUUUUUAAAAAAAAUUCGAUCUUAGUUUUUUUAUAUAUAUUUAAUUUAUUUGCAAAUACUAUAUGUAUUAUUUUUAUAUAAACAUUAGUUAUAUAUAAAUAGUGUAUAUUAUUUUUAUAUUAUAAACGUUUUUUUAAUAUUAUAGAUACAUUUUACUUCAUAUAUUAUUUAUCUUACUAUAUUUAUAUAUGGAAAUUAUUAUAUUAUAUCGUUUUUAUUACUUAUUAUUUUAUUUUAUAUCAUUUUAUUAUUAACUAUUUAUUAUAUAUAAUUAAUUUUUUUAAAAAAUUAUUACUAAAAAUUACAUUUAUAUGUCAUUAUUUAGAGGUGAGUUUAUAAUAUUUUUUAAAAAAAAAAGUAUAAAAUUUUGUUCCUAUUCAAUAUGAUGAUUUGACCUUGAAUUAUUAUAUUAUGUAAUGUAUUACAUAUAUUAAUUAUUUCUAAAAACUCUCCUUUAUCAUUUAUACAUUGCUCUAAUAUAUUUUUUUUGUUUUUUUUAUGUUCAUGAUUUGUUUAUUCACUUUAUAUUUUGUAUUUAUUGUUUUAACAUGCUAAUGCUAUCUCACUAGCUAUUUGUUGUUUACAUGAUUUGUCGUUUAUCACGUUUGCAUGAAAAUUAAUUGUUUAUGUUGAUUUAAGCUACAAUUGCAUGAAAUAUUGUUGUAUAUAUAUUGCAAUUUAUAUUAUUGUAUUCAUUAUGCGCUAUGUUGUAUUUUGCAUGUAACGAUAAUGCAUGUAUAUUUAUGUUAUCUAUGAUUAUAUAUGCAUAAAAUGAUAACGUAUAUUGUGUAAUUUAUGCCAUUAUUCAUUUUUUUUCAUAUAUUAUAUUUGCAUAGAAUGUUAAAGUAGGUAUCAUGUAGGAUAAUUUAUUUAAUAUUGAUCCUUUGCAAUAUGUUAAAUACAUCAUCACUUUAAAGAACUUUUAUAUUUCAUUCGAUCCAAAAGGAAUUUUAAAAAAUAAGGCAAUGUUUUUUUGGUAGUUAGGAAUUUGGGAAGUAGUGCCCUAACAUGCUAGGUUACAAUUUCCCGUUUGUCUAAAUGCCUAAAAUAUCCUUCUAAAUAAGUUUUGAAAAUCACAAGAUGAUUUUAGUUACAAAAGUUUAAAAAUAUCGUGUCCAAUCAUGCUGGAUGUGAUAUUUAUAUUCUUUCGAAGCAAAGGAAUCUUGAUUCUCUUUAACUCAAAUUAUUACGGUUUUAAAAGAGAUCUUAUUUCUAAAUUCUUUCAAACUUUUGACAUUAAGGCAAAAUUAUUCAAUUUGGUACCAAUUUUGGGCGUUGCGAGGGUGCUAAUCCUUCCUUGUACGUAACCGACUCCCAAACCUGUUUUCUCAUAAUUCCGUAGAUCAAAAUAUUUUAUAAGGUGAUCCAACCACACCUAAAAGAUUGGUGGCGACUCCCGUCUUUUCAAAAAUCUCGUUUCCUAAAAAAUAGAGGUUUCGACAGCUUGGCGACUCUACUGGGGAUAUUAUAAGAGAGUCAAGCCAAGAAAUUAUUUUUUUAUGUCUUAAUGUCAAAAGUUUGGAAAAUUUUAAAAUAUUAAUCUUGUUACAUGUGAUCGCUACAUAUGUUUGUAUUUUGAUUUCGCACUCAUUGCAUUUGCAUGACCGCUGUGGUCGCACCCCUAAGUGGGAGUGAGAAGCUAUGCUUUCGUGAGGUUUUCACCUCCGUAUGAGCUAGUGGAUUGCUUCCGGGAUACUAUAUCUAUGUCUUCGUGAGAUUUUCAUCUCCGCAUGGCAUAGGAAAAUGUGUCCCCCUGAACUGAACUUGGUCUAUAUGAGCCUAUAAUGGGUGAGGACCGAGGAAUCUGUUGGUUCAGGUACCCUUGCUUUAGAACUAAAACGCACACUUAUAGUAAACUUUAAGUGCUUACCCUAGGGAGUAUAGUGAUAGCCUUCAGUAAAUUACCCUUAUAGGUACUUGUUUAUUAUACUUUUAUAUAUGAUACUAACUUAUUUUAUUUUGCUAUCAUUGCAUGGCAUUCAGCAUUUAAGGGUGUCGAUUCAUGGUUUGAUUUCUAGAUUAGAAAGUUUUGUAAUGAGGAGCGAAAAUCUUGAUAAAGUGAAGGACAAUGCCUCUGUCUGUACCUGGUAAGAGAAAACCCAGUUAGAGAAAAGAGAUAGUAUUACCGAGGGGUAUACAUCAGGGUUAUGGGACUUCACUCGUAUUAAUUCGACACAGAAUGAGUUUCAGGAGUUGAGAGACAUUUGGGCCCAAUGGGAUGACGAGGUUAAGCAGGUUUUCUAUCAGAAUUAUGGAGGUCUUCCCUAUUUUCUAGACAUCAAGGUAGAUAAGCAUCUGUUCCGAGCUAUGGUACAGUUUUAGAACCCUGCUUAUAGUUGUUUUACAUUUGGAGAGGUGGACUUAGUACCUACUUUGGAGGAGUAUACGACCUUGCUUCGCUGCCAAAAAAUUCAAGGUAACAAAGCUUAUGUUAGGGCUGCUAAUCCCUCAACUUUUGUGAAGAAAUUAAUAACGAUUACAGGGGUGAGUGAACAGUGGGCCGCAGCUCGAAUCCAACAAAAGGGUGAUAGCAAAUGCAUCUCGUGGGCAAGUUUGAGGGAUUUGAUAUUGGCACACCCAGAUGUGAAGAAGAAGGUUGAUGUAUUGGCUUUAAGUAUGUAUGGAUUGAUGAUUUUCCCAAAGGCUAUGGGGUACAUAGAUGAGGCAGUUGCAGAUUUAUUCGAUCAAAUUAGUAAACAGAACACGCAUGUGCCUGCAAUCCUAGCCGAGACGUUUAGAUCCUUGAGUGCGUAUCGGAGAGCUAGUGAAGGUAGAUUCAUUGGAUGUGCACAAUUGUUAUUAGUUUGGUUCCACAAUCACUUUUGGAAGGUUGAUAAGGUUCCUUUUCGGGUGUUCUUUAAAGACUAUUCUCCACUAAAAGAAGCAGCAGCUACACCGAGGAGGGAUGGCAUUACAGAGGAAAGGUGGAUAGAAAUAAUUCAGAACCUCCAAGAAGAAGAUGUUAUGUGGAAAGCCCCUUGGAUGACUCGUAACGAAAUCUUUUAACGUUGCGGGAACUUUGAUUGGGUACCUCUUCUUGGAAUUUGGGAGGUUGUUGGUUAUGUACCAUUACUUGUCUUAAGGCAAUACAAGACAGUGCAGUUUAUACCAGCAACACAAGGGUUAGCUCAGAGUGACUUCUCAUAUAAAGAGGAUCAUUAUAAGAAGAAGAUGCGAGAAAUCUCUGAGGCUUGGAAGAAGGUUUGCUGUGUGAAGAUUCUGACUAAAGGUUUGACGAAAACUCUUGAAUACAAAGGGUGGUUUAGUAAGAGGGUCAAUGAUAACAUCCCUAAACUGAGUUUGGAGGUUGCUCGAUCGAUGGAAGAGAGUUUACAAGUGAUUCCAACAGAAUUAGAAGUCAUAAAGUAAGAGUUUGAAAGAAAAAAUUUGGAGCUCGGGAGAAAGAUAGAAAGGCUUGAGGAGGAGAAAUGUACCUAAGCUUAGACGUCGACGUUCAUAGAAUUGAGGUCAAAAAAGAGAGGAAAGAAAAGAGGAAGAUUGAGGAAGACCGAAAUGACUUGAAGACGCAAUAUAAGAGGAUACAGUUAUCGAUGAAGAGAGCUGAAUUGGCGAAGUCUUCAGAGCAAUGGCAACAAGAGGUUUAAGAAGAAAGAACCAAAGUCGAGUAUUGGGAGAAUAAGUUCUAAGAGAUGCAUGCGCGUAAUCAGGCCCUAGAGAAAGAGAAUCAAGGAUUAAAAACUAAGGUGACUGAGCUUAGACGAUCUCUUCAUCAUCACCGAAGUCGUAACUCUGCGGUCGAGUUAAAGACAAGCUUGGAUAAGAUCGAGAAAAUGAAGCACAAUAUUGGAGGGUUGGAAGCAGCACUACAGGACUUUGAGCUACGGAUUAAGCAGCUCGAGGCAAGAGAAGAACAUUGGAAGGGAGAGCUUCACCAUUUUCAGGAUCAAGUCAGAGAUAGGGACUACCUCAUGGGAGAAGCUAUAGUACAGAUUCGAGAGGUUGCUGAUCAUUCGUAUGACUUAGCGGCGCAAGCUAAUGUAUUAAGUACAAAGUAUGAGUUAGUGUCAGAUAGAGGUCUAGAGUUAGCUUCAUUAUUGAACAGGGUUAAAACUUUGGGCCUGAGGGCAAAGGCGUAUUUGUAAUCCGUUUUGUGUAAAGAUUUUUGUUUCUUAAAUAACGUUUUCUCAAAGAAAUUGGAUCAGAAUCGAUAUCUUUUUACAUUCAUGCAUUUGCAUCUCAUCGAAUCAUAUGCAUUCAAAUUUAUAGAAAGACCUAAUUAGCUAAAAUUAACAGAGGGAGAAAGAGAGUGAGAAAAUCUGAAAGCAACACAUCCUUACGAUACACGUACUAAGACAAAGAAUAUGGAUCACAGACUUGAGCAGAUCUAGAAAGAAAUGCAGGAACAAUUAUAGGAACAAUUGAUGAAAAUCCAACAGGAGAUGAAGGAUCAAAUGUUGGAGGCUCAAAGGAAUAUGAUGGCUGAGAUGGAUCAGUUGUUGAGGGGGACAACAGAUAAAGAAAAAGCCCCUAUGACUACCACUGAAGAGGAUAAUGAGGGUCAUCCUCCUGGUUUUACUCCACCUCAUGUGCAGACUCAACCUGAGGCAUAUCCCCAAGGGCCGUCCGUCACAAUAAGGCCUCAACAGGGACAAGUCGAUGUAGGAAUACCCAUGAACUUUCAAACUGGUUCAGGAUUCAACCCUGGAUAUAACCCUGCCAAUCCAGUUAUCCCUGAUUUAGAUGUAGCUGAGAGGGAAGAGAUGAGACUCGAAUCAUCAAGGCAAUUAAAGGAACGUUGCAGAUGGUUUGAGAAGAAAUUUAAGGCACUAGAAAACGCUGAUAAUCGUCAGGGAGUUGAUGCUAAGGACUUGAGUUUAAUCCCAGAUUUGGUGCUUCCCCAUAAGUUCAAAAUACCGAAAUUCGAGAAGUACAAUGGGACUACUUGCCCGAAGCCCAUAUCACCAUGUUCUGCAGACGGAUGACUGGUUAUGUAAACAAUGAUCAAUUAUUGAUCCAUUGUUUUCAGGAUAGUUUGGCUGGGGUAGCGGCUAGGUGGUAUAAUACUGAGUCGUGCAAGGAUCGGUUCUUGGAGAGACUUAGCGCAAGCUUUUAUGCAGCAAUAUAAUUAUAUGACUGACAUGACUCUUGAUAGAAUCACUUUGCAAAAUAUGGAAAAGAAGCCUAAUGAGAGCUUUAGGCAAUAUGCACAGAGGUGGAGGGAGGUUGACAUGCAAGUUCAACCACUGCUCUUGGAAAAAGAAACUACCAUGUUGUUCAUCAACACUUUAAAGGCUCCAUUCAUUAUUCACAUGAUUGGAAGUACCACCAAGAGUUUUACUGAUAUAGUUAUGGCGGGAGAAAUAAUUGAGAACGCCAUAAGAGGUGGCAAGAUAGAGGGGGAAACUACAAAAAGGUCUGCCUCAAGAAGGAAAGACAAUGAGGUGAACAAUACGAGUAGUUAUAAUUCAAAAGCAGUUACGGUUAGUCAGCCAAGAGUAACUACGGUUGGGCAACAAGAUUCUCAAAAGCAGAGAUCUGGUUUGAGACAAAAUUCUAAAAAGGUCUCAUUUAUGCCUAUCCCAGUAACGUAUCGGGAGCUUUACCAAAGUUUAUUCAAUGCGCAUGCAAUAGCUCCUUUUCACUUGAAACCGUUACAACCUCCAUAUCUCAAAUGGUAUGAUGCAAACGCUAAAUGUGAGUAUCAUACGGGGAUAUCGGGACAUUCAAUUGAAAAUUGCACUGGUUUUAAGAAGGCAGUGGAAAGACUAAUCAAAAUGGGGGUCGUAAAAUUUGACGACACCCCUAGUACAGAGAACCCGUUGCCAAAUCAUGGUGAUCAAGGGGUAAAUGCAAUUGGUGACACUGACAUGAGAAAGAUCAAAGAGGAUGUGACCGAGGUGAGAACACUGAUGAAAAUAAUUUAGGAAGAAAUGGUGAACAGAGAGAUGAUAAUCUCUAAAGAAAGGAAUAGAGGAGUAAGGGACUACUGCGAGUUUCAUGCUGAAAAGGGGCACGAGAUCCAGGAAUGUAACGAGUUUAAGGCCUUAGUACAAAGCCUUAUGGAUAAUAAGGAGUUGGAAUUUUAUGAAGCUGGCUCAGAUGAGAGACGAAUAUGCACAUUAGAAGGUGGACCGAAGAAUCAAAACCGGUCAAGAAUCAUUAUUUCUUUACCAAGAAAUAAUGAAGUUGAAAUACCAACGGUACCGAAAGUCAUGAUUCAUAAACCUGUUUCCUUUCCUUACAAGGAUAACAAGAGAGUACAUUGGAAUUAUAACUGUAAUGUAACAAUGUCGGAGAAGGAGGAUAUAGCUAGUGCCACUAAAAAAGUUCGAGAUGAGGGUUCUUAUACACGUAGUGGGAAGCGUUAUGAUGCAGAAGGUGUCAGAGUUGAGCCCGCAAAAGCAAAAGCUUUUGACAAAAGAAAGGGAACUGAAAUACUGGUUAACGAGCCAGUGAAAGAAGAAAAAGCCAGAGAAUUUCUAAAAUUCUUGAAACACAGUGAGUACAGCGUAGUUAAGCAAUUACGCAAACAACCAGCUCGUAUAUCAGUACUGGCUUUGCUUCUGAGUUCAGAGGUACAUCGUGAGGCGUUAAUGAAGGUGCUCAACGAGACUUAUGUUACUAAUGAUAUAUCCGUCAAAAAGUUGGACCGAUUGGUUAGUAACAUAAGUGCUGAUAAUUUCAUUUAUUUCAACAAUGAUGAAAUUCCACCGGGAGGCAUGGGAUCAGCUAAGGCUUUGCACAUUACCACUCGUUGCAAAGGAUAUACAUUGCCGAGUGUGCUUAUUGAUAAUGGGUCAGCCUUAAAUAUCAUGCCGCUCUCCACAUUGAACAGAUUACCCAUUGACAGUUCUCACAUAAAAACAUGCCAUAAUAUAGUGAGAGCAUUUGAUGGCACGAAAAGAAAGGUCAUGGGAAGAAUUGAUAUUCCUUUGAUGAUUUGGCUAAACACGUAUGAGGUGGAAUUUUUAGUAAUGGACAUCAAGCCCUCUUAUAAUUACCUAUUUGGGAGACCUUGGAUACAUUCGGCAGGAGCGGUGCCCUCAUCUUUGUACUAAAAAUUGAAGUUAGUAGCCGAUGAACGACUGGUCACCAUAAAUGUGGAGGAGGACAUUAUAGCGACAGCUACUAGUGAUGCACCUUAUGUAGAAGCAAAUGAGGAGGCCAUUGAAUACUCUUUCCGUUCAUUAGAAUUCGUCAAUGCAAUAUUCAUCUCAGAGGGGAAUGAGGUGCCGGUGCCCAGGAUAUCCAGAACCACAAGAAUGAGUUUGCAGAUGAUAGUGGGGAAAAAACCCUUGCCAGGAAAAGGAUUUGGAAGAUAUCUCCAAAGAGGGAUUCAAGGUCCUGAACUAAAGGAGAAGAGAGACCGUUUUGGCUUGGGUUUCAGGCUAGAUUACAAGCAGAGGAGGAAAGAAAUAGAGAAGCGCCAAGAGAGAAGAAGGGCACGUUUAGAUGGAAGAGAGGUAGAGUGGGAACUGAUAACAGUCCCCCAUAUAACUCAAACCUUUAUAUCAGGAGGGAUGAUUCACCCUGAGAGAGGAUUGCUCGAGAAAAGAGGUUAUCACAUUAAUGCUGUGUAUGAUGAAGAGUCUGAACAAGGAAACCUUGAGGGCAUUCGCCCUUAUGAACCGAGAAGCUCUUUAAACAAUUGGGUUGCAGAAGAACUUCUUGUAGUUUUUAAAGAUUCUUCGGAGUAAUUUUCAGAACACUCUUAUUGCUCUAAAGCCUAGGAAUAGUAAGAUUUCUUUUAUAAAAUAGGUUCAUGUUCGGAUAUUUAUAUUUCAAUAAAAUGCAACCUUUGUUAUCGAUUCAAGUGAGUAUUCUUUUAUACCGUUUAAUAUUCUUUUGACAUUUAAAUUCUUUCAAAUAUUUUCCAUUUCAUUCAUAACAUAUAAAUAAAUUCAUUCAUUCUUUUUACAUUCUUUCGUACCCCGCAGGCCCCUAGAUAUCAAUGACAUGAACACUGAUACUACGAAUCCUAGAUUCUCUUUUGAGCAAGACAUGUGUUUAGAAGAACUUCAGGAUUUUGAAGAUGACAGAGAUUGUGAUAUGUCUCCAGAUCUGUUGAGAAUGGUGAAACAAGAGGAUAAACAAAUCCUACCCCGUGAGAAAGAGGCAAUAGAGAAUGUAGCCUUGGAGGAAGGGAAAGAGGUGAAAAUUGGCAUACAUAUUGCUAAGGAAACGAGACAAAGCCUUGUUGAGCUACUACGGAAAUUCAAAGAUAUCUUUGCAUGGUCAUAUGAGGAUAUGCCGAGUUUGAAUACUGAUAUUGUGGUACAUCGUCUCCCCAUAAGAUAAGAUUGCAAGCCAGUCUAACAAAAAUUGCGGAGGAUGAGGCCUGAUAUUGUGUUGAAAAUAAAAGAUGAAGUCAAAAAGCAGUUUGAUGCUGGAUUCCUACAAGAGGUUAAGUAUUCAGAAUGGGUGGCCAACAUUGUGUCUGUCCCUAAGAAGGAUGGGAAGGUAAGAAUGUGUGUUGAUUACAGAGAUCUGAAUAAAGCUAGCCCAAAGACAACUUUCCUUUACCGCACAUUGAUACUUUGGUGGACAAUACAGUGGGAUAUUCGUUGUUCUCCUUUAUGGAUGGUUUCUCGAGGUACAAUCAGAUAAAGAUGCAUCCUGAAGACAUGGAUAAAACCACCUUCAUAACAUUGUGGGGCACCUUCUGUUACAAGGUAAUGCCCUUUGGGUUGAAGAAUGCAAGGGCAACAUACCAAAGGGCUAUGGUGACCUUAUUCCAUGAUAUAAUACACAAAGAAAUUGAGGUGUAUGUUGAUGACAUGAUUGUUAAAUCUCGAACAGAGAAGGAACAUAUUGAAGUUUUGAGGAAGUUGUUCCUGAGAUUAAGGAAAUUUCAGUUGAAGCUUAAUCCGGCAAAGUGCAUCUUCGGAGCUAGGUCGGGGAAGUUAUUAGGCUUUGUGGUCAGCGAAAAGGGAAUAGAAGUUGACUCUGACAAGGUUAGAGCUAUACGAGAAUUGCCUCCACCACAUACUCAAAAGGAAGUUCGGGGUUUUCUUGGAAGAUUGAAUUAUAUUGGUCACUUUAUUUCACAAUUAACCGAGAAAUGUGAUCAUAUAUUUCUCCUCCUUAGAAAACACAACCAAGGUACUUGGGAUGAAGAAUGCCAGAAUGCUUUCGAUAAGGUUAAGCAAUACUUGUUAAACGCUCCAGUGUUAUCUCCGCCUAGUCCAGAUAGACCAUUAAUUCUGUACUUAUCAGUGUUUAGUAAUUCUAUGGGAUGUAUGCUUGGCCAACACGACAAGUCAGGAAGAAAAGAGAAAGCAAUAUACUACCUCAGCAAGAAAUUCACAGAGUGUGAGAUGAGAUAUUCGCCAAUUGAGAAAUUGUGUUGUGCUUUAAACUGGAUGACUCGAAGGUUGAGACAAUAUAUGUUAUAUCAUACGACUUGGCUAAUUUCAAAACUUGAUCCAUUAAAAUACAUGAUGGAGUCAACAGCACUAAAUGGAAGAAUGGCAAGGUGGCAAAUAUUGCUUUCAGAUUUGACAUAGUCUACGUGAGUCAAAAGGCUAUAAAAGGAAGCGCGAUAGCAGAAUUUCUGGCUAGCAAGGCUCUAGAAGAUUAUGAGCCAUUGAGCUUUGAUUUCCCUAACGAGGAGUUGAUGCAUGUGGCAGUCAUUGAAGAAUAUCCCUAGAAACUGAACUUUGACGGCGCAUCUAAUGCAGUAGGAAAUGGAAUUUAGGCAGUCUUGGUAUCCCCAACUGGUGAUCAUUAUUCGUUUACAUGUAAAUUGGAUUUUGACUGUACGAACAACAUGACCGAAUAUGAAGCAUGCAUUAUGGGGAUUCAAGCAGCCAAAGAGCGGAAAAUCAGAACCUUGGAAGUAUAUGGAGACUCUGCAUUGGUAAUAUACCAACUUAGGGGUGAAUGGGAGAUAAGGGACCCUAAAUUGAUUAAUUAUCAAAAGGUAGUCUUGGAGUUACUUGAGGAGUUUGAUAAAAUCACCUUCAAUUAUCUCCCACGGGAUGAAAAUCAGAUGGCGGACGCUUUGGCAACAUUAGCUUCCAUAAUUAAAGCAAAUAAACAAGAGGAUGUGAGACCAAUUCAGAUGAGCAUUUUUGAUGUUCUGGCUCAUUGCUGUAACAUCAAAGAAAAGGAAAAGGAUGACCAUCCUUGGUAUCAAGAUAUACUACGGUAUGUGAGAAAUCGUGAAUAUCCUGAACAGGCAACUGAGAAUGAUAAAAGAACUUUGAGAAGGUUAGCUUGUGAAUAUGUACUAGAUAAAGAUAUCCUUUAUAAAAGAAGGAAAGAUCAGGUACUUUUGAGAUGCGUUGACGCUAUAGAAGCUAAACAAAUCCUGGAAGAAGUACAUGAAGGAGUUUGUGGUACACAUGCUAAUGGAUUUACGAUGGCCAGACAAAUCAUGAGGUUUGGAUACUAUUGGUUUACUAUGGAAGGAGAUUGUAUCAGUUAUGCUAAGAAAUGUCAUAAAUGCCAGAUAUAUGGAGACAAGAUCCAUGUACCACCUUCACCCUUACAUGUUAUGACUUCUCCAUGGCUCUUUUCCAUGUCGGGUAUGGAUGUCAUUGGGCCAAUAUCGCCAAAAGCUUCGAAGGGGCAUCCUUUCAUUUUUGUGGUCAUUGACUACUUCACGAAAUGGGUAGAGGCGGCUUCUUAUGCUAGUGUCACCAAGUCAGCAGUAGGGCGAUUCUUGAAAAAUGAGAUUAUUUUUCGGUAUGGAAUGCCUGAGAGGAUCAUAUCAGACAAUGCAUUGAACUUGAAUAACAGCACGAUUGCGGAAGUUUGCAGUCAAUUCAAGAUUAAACAUCAUAAUUCAUCCCCAUAUCGCCCAAAGAUGAAUGGGGCAGUGGAAGCUGCUAACAAAAACAUCAAGAGGAUAGUUGGGAAAAUGAAUGAAACGUACAGAGAUUAGCAUGAGAAAUUACCAUUUGCACUCUUAGCCUACCAAACGUCCAUCAGAACCUCCACUGGGGCAACUCCUUUCUUGUAGGUUUAUGGGAUGGAGGCAGUGUUACCCAUUAAAUUUGAAAUACCUUCUCUUCGAAUUUUGUCAGAGAUAAAGCUAGAUAAAGCAAAAUGGACUCAAUCGUGGUAUGACCAAUUGAACUUAAUCGAAGAAAAGAGGUUAAAAGUUAUUCGCAACAAUCAGAUGUAUCAGAAAUGAAUUAUGCGAGCCUAUGACAAGAAGGUUUGUCCAAGAGAAUUCCACAAAGGUGACCUUGUAUUAAAAAAGAUCCUUCCCAUACAGAAGGACUUCAGAGAAAAAUGGAUGCCGAAUUGGGAAGGGUCGUAUGUUGUGAAGAAUGCUUUCUUUGGUGGUGCUUUGAUUUUGACAGAAAUGGAUAGGAAAAGUUUACCCAAUCUAGUGAAUUCAGACACAGUCAAAAAGUACUAUGUCUAAAGAGAAUGGAAGACAAGGUGAAAACCCACAAAGGGCUUUUUGAGACUUCUAAAAACAAUAAAUAAAAAAUAUAAAAUGGAGAGGCCAAGGUGAAAACCCACAAAGGGCACCUUGAGACCAAAGGGGUUUUGAGUUGAAAAACCCAAAAGGGCUGCUCAAAUAUUCGAGAAACAUGCGGUGACUUUGCUAUACCGGAUUUAACGAGAAAUGGAGUGUGUUACAUACCGGGGCAUCAACAAAGUACUUUGGAUCUUCUAAACACAUGUUAAAACUCAAAAUAGUCUUCACGGAAUUUGUACACAGAAGCUCAAGCUGUGAUAUGUUGGACAUCGAAUUUUUGUUCUGUUUAUUAUCUUUGGAUUCUUUUUCUUCUCAAAGAUAUGUUUUCAGAUUAAUUUCCUAUUGUAUUCUGAUGAUUUAUCUAACUAUUCUCAAGAUUAAAUUUUUUGUCUUCCAUUACUCAUAAGGAGUGUUGCGUUGAAAUAAUAAUUGAUGAAUUAAAUAUUUUUACAAACGAAGUUUUGCAUAUUAUUCUAGAAACCUCUAGAGAAUACAAGAAACUAAAACAGAACAAUUGUUUGAAGAAUUCCCAUAAGUAAAGGUCAGAGGUACUCGAGGAAAUUUCUUUUCAGUCCAAAGGAUGAUUGGACAAUUCAAACGAUUCAACCGUAGGAGAGGAUAGCCUUUAGCAAGUCGUAAUGUUAGGAGAAUGGUAUAAUAAGGACCAAUUUGAUUCAAAACACAUGAGCAGAGUACGGUUGAUACUUGGAGUAAAAUAAAAGUGGAACUUUGAUGGAUGAACGAGUAAAGACGUCCGAAAUAGAGAUCAUUCCCAUAACAUUUUGUAUAAUUAGGAGCAUUUGAUUCAUUUUGAGCAUGACAUCUUAAUCAUCAGGCAUGAGUACAUAUGCAUUCUAUAGGUUAUGUCCUUUAAAGGACAAUGUAGAUCACUGAUAGCAGAUUUGGCGUCUCUGUAUUGUCAGAGAGCAGAUCUAAGAUAGCAGAUUUGGCAUCUCUGUAUUGUCAGAGAGCAGAUCGAAGAUAGCAGAUUUGGCGUCUCUGUAUUGUCAGAGAGUAGAUCGAAGACAGCAGAUUUGGUGUCUCUGUGUUGUCAGAGAGCAGAUCGAAGAUAGCAGAUUUGGCGUCUCUGUAUUGUCAGAGAGCAGAUCGAAGAUAGCAGAUUUGGCGUCUCUUUAUUGUUAGAGAGCAGAUCGAAGACAGCAGAUUUGGCGUCUUUGUGUUGUCAGAGAGCAGAUCGAAGAUAGCAGAUUUGGCGUAUCUGUAUUUUCAUAGAGCAAAUCGAAGAUAGUAGAUUUGGCGUCUCUGUAUUGUCAGAGAGCAGAUCGAACAUUUCGGCUUGGCGUCUCUAUACUAAUAGGAAGCCGGUGGAAGAUAGCAGAUUUGACAUUCCUGAGUUGCGGUGAAGCAAGUAUGAAGCUAUCAGAAUACCUUUAAGGAAGAUGAGGAUCAAGAUUUCGAGACAUUGGCCAGGCCGAGCAAAUUUGGUCCUUUUAUAAUCUUUGCUCUAUUCCUGUUACACAGUAAUAAGCAAAGAGGGGCAGCUGUAACAGCCCAAAUUUGCCCGGGCCCGUGUAAUGAAAUAAACAAAAUAAAUAAAUGUCCAUGUUGUAAAUGUCCAGUAUACAAAUGGGCCUAAAGGCCUGAUGACUCAAGAACCAUGUAGCUUAAGAACCCUAUGCCCGGUUACACCCAACCCACAAAUGGGCACGGCCCAAGGAGGCCCAAAUUACAAAUAGAGGAUGGAAGGCCUAUGGUUUCUGAAACCCUAGGCGCCGCAAAUGCUAGAGGAAGGUUCCAGAAUUCGCACCGCAGGCACGCCAAUCGUCACACCCUUUUUGCGCCGUUCCAGUGACCUUCAUCGACACCUCCAUCAGUGACGUGAUUCCAGGCUCCGUAUCAUGCCGUGAUCAGCGCACGAAUCAACGCCAGCCCACUCCUCGCCGUGAGAUCCUCGAUGGUAUCUGCAAAAAAAGGAAAGAGGAGCAGCAAAGACAAAUGCAAAUAUGGCAAGAAUCGAGCAGAGAAUAUACAAACCUGCAAAUAGAGGCUAUAAAAGCCGAAUUAUUUCAUUGUAACUGGGAAACCUUUUUUUGAUAUAUACGAAAAUAUAUACGAAAGAGAAUAGAUAUACGGAUAUUCAGAGAAAUUCAAGCAAUUUCUUUAAAAGAUGACUUAAGUUUCAUAUUCUGUUAUCUAUGGUUCAACAUGUAUAUGAAUUGUUUUGGAAAAAAAUUGGUAUUUUAAAAUGGGAAAAGGGGUUACCUGCAAUUCGCCAAGGAAAGUGAAGGUUUUGAACCUUCCAAACCGUCAUGUACGGUGGCGCGUGUAGUGCGUGGAUGCAUGAACCCAGUGACCGAAGUCUGGUCCGACAGAGGUCGGAGAAACCUGGAAAGGCUCUCCUAUUCUCCUUCUUAGAGAAUUUUCUUUGUUUUUUUUUAAAACAUGAAACCAAAUGAAUUUUCAAAUGUUUUUUUUUUGUAUUUAUUGAUAGCCCAUACGACGUCGUUUUAGAAUGGCCGUUUAAUAACCAAAACGGCGUUGACCUGAGACCCGGGUAGGAUCCGCGCAUUUUUUUAAAGGGCUAAUUGCCCAAUUGAUCCUUCUACAUUUUUAUGUUUUCUCAAAUUCAUUUUAUUUUUAUUUUAAUCUGGCCUUAAACUUUUACAUUUAUUGUAAUUUGGUCCUAAUAGCCAUUGUAAGACAUAUGCCGAGAACGAUGUCGUUUUUUGGGGAUUAGGGAUAAUUUCCCAGUGAGUCACUCAUUUUUAAUGCGCAUGUCAAUUAAUACCGAAUUUUUUUAUUUAUUUGUAAUUAGCCCUAGUGUUUUUAAAAAAAAAUUUGAUCUUAGUUUUUUUAUAUAUAUUUAAUUUAUUUUCAAAUACUAUAUGUAUUAUUUUUUAUAUAAACAUUAGUUAUAUAUAAAUAGUGUAUAUUAUUUUUAUAUUAUAACCGUUUUUUUAUAUUAUAUAUACAUUUUACUUCAUAUAUUAUUUAUCUUACUAUAUUUAUAUAUGGAAAUUAUUAUAUUAUAUCAUUUUUAUUACUUAUUAUUUUAUUUUAUAUCAUUUUAUUAUUAACAAUUUAUUAUGUAUAAUUAAUUUUUUUUAAAAUUAUUACUAAAAAUUAUAUUUAUAUGUCUUUAUUUAGAGGUCAGUUUAUAAUAUUUAAAAAAAAAGUAUAAAAUUUUGUUCCUAUUCAAUAUGAUGAUUUGACCUUGAAUUAUUAUAUUAUGUAAUGUAUUACAUAUAUUAAUUAUUUCUAAAAACUCUCCUUUAUCAUUUAUACAUUGCUCUAAUAUAAUUUUUUUUUUUGUUUUUUUUUAUGUUCAUGAUUUGUUUAUUCACUUUAUAUUUUGUAUUUAUUGUUUUAACAUGCUAAUGCUAUCUCACUAGCUAUUUGUUGUUUACAUGAUUUGUUGUUUAUCACAUUUGCAUGAAAAUUAAUUAUUUAUGUUGAUUUAAGCUACAAUUGCAUGAAAUAUUGUUGUAUAUAUAUUGCAAUUUUUAUUAUUGUAUUCAUUAUGCGCUAUGUUGUAUUUUGCAUGCAACGAUAAUGCAUGUAUAUUUAUGUUAUCUAUGAUCACAUAUGCAUAAAAUGAUAACGUAUAUUGUGUAAUUUAUGCCAUUAUUCAUUUUUUUUCAUAUAUUAUAUUUGCAUAGAAUGUUAAAGUAGGUAUCAUGUAAGAUAAUUUAUUUAAUAUUGAUCCUUUGCAAUAUGUUAAAUGCAUCAUCACUUUAAAGAACUUUUGUAUUUCAUUCGAUCCAAAAGGAAUUUUAAAAAAUAAGGCAAUGUUUUUUUGGUAGUUAGGAAUUCGGGAAGUAGUGCCCUAACAUGCUGGGUUGCAAUUUCCUGUUUGUCUAAAUGCCUAAAAUAUCCUUCUAAAUAAGUUUUGAAAAUUACAAGAUGAUUUUAGUUACGAAAGUUUAAAAAUAUCGUGUCCAAUCAUGCUGGAUGUGAUAUUUAUAUUCUUUCGAAGCAAAGGAAUCUUGAUUCCCUUUAACUCAAAUUAUUAUGGUUUUAAAAGAGAUCUUAUUUCUAAAUUCUUUCAAACUUUUGGCAUUAAGGCAAAAUUAUUCAAUUUGGUACCAAUUUUGGGCGUUGCGAGGGUGCUAAUCCUUCGUUGUACAUAACCGACUCCCGAACCUAUUUUCUCAUAAUUCCGUAGAUCAAAAUAUUUUAUAAGGUGAUCCAACCACAUCUAAAAGGUUGGUGGCAACUCUUGUCUUUUCAAAAAUCUCGUUUCCCAAAAAAAGAGGUUUCGAUAGUCUUAAUUCUACAUAAAUUAGGAAAACAUAUUUCAAUUAGGGUAAAAUAUGUUCUAUAAAUAUCCAAAUUUGUUUAAACCCUAGAAUUUUAUCUAGCAAAAUUUUUUAAGAAAAACACUCUCAAGCUCUUUUCUCUUUAAAUCAGCCUUCAAAGCAAAAAGGAGUCAAAGUUUUCAAAAUCAUUCCUUUCGAGUAGAUCAUCAAACUUUUCUCUGAAA
RNAcentral lists this long non-coding RNA (95322 nucleotides) under Gossypium barbadense (sea-island cotton). RNAcentral's name for it is "long non-coding RNA (GBAR_LNC012103)". The record is from RNAcentral. Lineage: Eukaryota; Viridiplantae; Streptophyta; Magnoliopsida; Malvales; Malvaceae.